CCACAACUUUAGUCCUGGAAGGCCGCUCGUUAGGAGUCAUUUGGAGGCAUUGUAAAGCAAGCUGGGCCAUUUGGAAUGCAGAAUCUAUAUAUGUAAGGUGUAGGGAUGGUAUAAAUUUGGUUCCCAUUUCCUGCAGGAGGCAACAUCAUGAGCGACCAGUUUCUUCUAAAAUAUCCAGUGUUUCUUUUUUGGUAGUUGGAGCAUCUGCAGAAAAUGAAUAGUUAUGUAGGCAAUACAACUAUAGAUUCCAUGCCAAAGGAUUUAAGUAGCUAAAAGGAAACACACCUCGUAUUUCAUAUUGUAUUGUACUAAUGAAAUGGGAACCAAAUUUGUACCAGAUUCCUACACCUUAAAUAUAUAGAUUCUGCAUUCCAAAUGGCACAGCUUCUUCUAAAAUAACAGCGGCAGACUGUUUCUGAAUCUAGAACCAGUCCAGGACACAGCAUGUUCCGAUGUACUCCAGCUCUUCUUUGUAUUGUCAUUAUAUGUACUUAUAUACUCCAGCUCUUCUUUGUAUUGUCAUUAUAUGUACUUAUAUUGUAUAUUGUCUUGUUCAGUUAGAAUAUUUUUUAACAAGAUUCACCCUCGAAUAUUGAGUUGAAUAUAUUCAGCAAGCCUGCCACAUUGUUAAUAACAGAACGUCCGCCAUCAAAAUGGAACGUGACAAACUGUAUGUAGAAUGUGAUCCCGAGAAUACAAAACUAGUUAAUGAUGGGGCCAAUGAUGCUGCCAUAGUUCAUUGAUUCAUCAGAAUUCAAUACUAAGUAUUUAUGAGAGGGAGCGAGGGAGGGAGGCUAAGUAGUGUGACACUGAUAUGCGACACAGCACAAUACACUGAUACGUCGUUUUUCAAACAAUAGAGAAUUCUGGCAUGUUGGGACAUGUUGUAUAUUAGAUACAUAUUUUUAUAUAUACAUGAUAAAUUACCAUUUUUAUGAUUAUUUUAAUCAAAUUAAUUUAAUUCAAAUUCACAAAUAAAUAAAUAAUAAAAAGAAUAUAUAAUGGAUUUACACUAAAAAUAUUAAUCUACCAUUUGUUAACAUCAUUCAUUAUUUUAAUUUGAUAAAUUCAUUUUCAUUUCAAUAAUCCAUAAAACUUAGGGGAAAAAAAUAAUAAGUAAUCUAAAUCUAUACUCAUGUGUCAGUGCGUCGAAAGAGAAGAGGAAAAAAUAACCAAUCUUAAGGGUGAAUUGUAUGUUACAGGAAGCGAGAAUAGGAAGAGAAUAGAAUAUUAGAUUUUUUUUUCUUUCUCCAUUUACUAUUUCUUUUUUUAUUACAUAAUUACAUUUUAAUUCCUUAUUUAAUAAAACAUUUUAAAAUUGACCCCGCACGUGUUAGAAUUACUUGUCAAAAUUCUGAACUUGCAUGUUAGGAUUCUAGACUCGAGUGUUGAAGAGUGUCGAGGAAGUUGACCAACUGUUGGAUUUUCUGACAUGUGUAGUGUUGAUCAAAUGUCAAAGAGUGUCGGACAAAUGUUGGAGUAUCUGACACGACACAGAAAACUCUUAGAGAGUGUCAGUGCUUUAUGAGGAGAGAGAGAGAGAGCCAACGGGAGAGCCCAAAAUAAAUAGAGCAAUCGAGAUUUGCUGUCAUUAUUCAAUUAAAAUUGGGCACAAUGACUCUUGAAGUAAAAUGCAAGCACAUCGAAGACACGAUUUGGAAUUCCAAGAUCAACGGGCACAAAGAUAAUGCAGAAGUUCAGAAAUGUUGAGGAUAGCUUCAGAAACAGAAGGUUGCAAAGGAGUUGGGGCAUCGAUCCCAUUAUCUUCUCGGGGAACCCGUAAUCGACCCUGGUUUCGGCCAACGCUUCAAGGAAUUGCUAGUGCUUUGGAGCCGGCGUCUCUCUCCUCCUUCGCUAAGGUGUUUGUUUCUUUAUUGGUUGUUCAUGCCGUGCCUCUCUAGUUGUUUGUUUGCCUUAUUUUGGGUGCUGUCUUGUGUUUUACAUCAUGACAUACUUCCACUCAUUAUGUUUUUUUUUUUUUUUGGUAGAAGGCAAAAAUUCCACUCAUUAUUUUUGUUCAUCUUGAGUGUAAGUUUUUACUACCAUGAUCUUUUGUACUUUUGACCUUUCUUCUUUAUAUUUUUACCUUUUACCAAGAAAAAAAAAAAGGACAUCUUCCUCACCGUCUCUUCUGACAUUAAGCACCCUUCUUCUUAAGCAGCUCUUCGACCAGGUCCGCAGCAUCCUGGAUAGACGCGAUCCUUUGAGCACCGUCUUCCUCCACGGUAACAUCGAAGUUCUCCUCAAUUGCCAUCACAAUCUCCACCUAAAAUGAGGAAGAGCAGCGUUCUCAUCACAAUCCCAUUUUAUCCAACAAAGGAAAUAAGGCGGUAAGCGUCGGAACCAGAUUUUUUUUUUUAAAAAAGAAAAAAAAAAAGCAAAUCAAUUCCAAUAUUGUAGAAGUACCGUCCUGCACCACUUAAGAACGCAUGGAUCUAGCAAAAGCUCGUCAAAGUCUGCAGAAGAAGGAAAUAGACUUGUGGAUGAAGGGCUUACGGUGUCCAGAGAAUCGGCUCCCAGGUAAGCGAUUUUUGACUCUCCGUUUACAACAGCAUCUUCUGGCAAAGCUAGCUGCUUCCUCACUAUUUCGCACACUUUAUCUAGCGUCUCCUUUUUAGCCUGCUCAUAUAUCGAGUUGGUCAUUCACAAGUUUAAAACCUACGUAUGGGCUUCGCUCCGAGCAGCUACAAAAUUGGCAAGACCAAUUCAAGCAUUCCCCCAUGAGCAAGACAAUGAUAGGCUUGAACCUGGUAUGAACAAACUCCUGCUCAUCCCCUUUCCCCAGAAGCAGCAUCUUUCGAGCGACACAAUUAUAAUCACACAGCAAGAUCGUUUGAACCAGGACAAACAUAAUGACCCAGACUUCAGAAAUACGUAAGUUACUUGCAGUCACUUUGCUAUGGUUGUUGUUAUAGUUGACAUGACAUGGUGGACUACUUACCGCACAUGAAACCUGGAAACGGCGUGCUUUCAGAGAUGGGAAACUUCUGCCGCCGACAGGGAGGGAGACGGACCUGACAUUCGAUAUCUUGCAGACAGGUACCUGUUAAAAAUGUCAACAACUAGUUUUCAGAGAUGCGGUCUCAUUCAAAGUGCAGAACCUCAGCCGGGUCAGCCAAGCUCUCUGCCUAAAUUGCAGAGAGUAUUUGGUAAAAUUGCAUCUUGCACCCUAGUUUUCGGGAUAGCGGCAAAUUACCCCUGUCGUUUCGAUAUUUGCAAUUUGUUAACUGACUUUUUGAAUGGGAGGCCAUGUGCCCUCAAACGUUGACUUUGGCAAAAAAUUUCUCACAUAUCUGACAACGUGACUUGCUAUUGAAGGUAAGCUGGACAUUUAUCAUUUACGUGAAAAAAAAAAUAUAGAGACUACCCAAAAAUAUAUUUGAGAGCUAUAUAUUGAUGUACAUUUGGUAUUGAUUUUGGUCAAAAUAUUGCCGAAACUUUGGUCACAUGCUCUCACAUGUACUAUAUUUCUGAAUUUGAUAUUCUACUUUUCAUAUCCGUUUACUUAUAUGAUGAAUUUUCCCUUCGUGGUCAGUCAUGCACUGUCGCGUGGUCGGAGCUCCAAGAAAAAUUUGACCGGAGUCAACACGAGGGGACACAUUGAUACGGACUUCUAACCUUCAGGGGCUAGAUUGCAAAAAUUGGAACCCCCUUUGGCAAUUUGCAACAAACUCAGAAGUUAGAAAAUACGUAGUUUGCCCCCAGAAAAUUUACUGAGUUUCCGGACCACUAGAUCGGUAGCAGGAAGCCAAAACCGAGUAAUGCCGGCCUGAACUCAGUAUCAAUCUCACACAGUUCAUUGUAAGUAUCUGACAAGCUCAUUUGGCAGCGCUGUAUCUUUUCGAUGCAGUUUUAAAUGCACGAAAAACUCAGCAUUUACCACAACUCAAUGGACAUAAAAGCCUCCAGCACCAAAACAAAAGCAGAUUCAUCCUAGUCCGGGAAUACUUAAUGUCAAGCUGAUAACAUCCCUUGAAAAUCUAAAACUGGAGGAAGACAAAAAAGUGCCGCACCCGCAUUUAAUAUCGAUCAUAAAACUAUAUCCAGCGGCCACAGUGAUCGAGCAUCAAAACCCAUCACAAAGAAAACACAAGUCAAGCAAUCUCGAACCGACUGAUACCCAUUUUCAUACCUGCGCUGGCUUCAAAGUGAAUGAGGCGCGAGCAGGUGUUGCAGUGAAGGUGGCCAUUCUGAGCUCCGGUUCAACAGAAGGUGAAGGAAACUGUUAGAAUUUGAAUGUGCGCGGAAGCAUGGUUUUAGUUAUGGAUGAUAGUUUUUGAUUAGUGAGGUGUGCAAGUGUUGGUAUUGAUGAUAGUUUUUGGUUAGUGAGGUGUGCAAGUGUAUGGUAUAGUUUGUAGAGGAUGGACAAGGGACAAUAUAUGAUAAUUGAAGGAUAUAGAACAUGGGAAAAAUAGUUUCAUUAGUUGAACAAAAUAGUUUGAUGGAGGUACAAUAGAGAUCUUGACCUCUCAUGGUGGAGGGUUCACCUCACACACAAGGUGGAGGGUUUACCUCUCACUCUCUAAAAUGAAUGAACUACAAGCCUAUUUAUAGGCAUGAGUCACACCUUAGUAUAACAUUCUAGAUUUCUAUAGAAUGUUGUCCAUGUAGGCUUCAUCUAGGUAAUUCUAGAUUGUAGUUCUUCUAGAGACUUCUACAUUUUCUUAGACACAUAAGCUUGUAGACAAUUCUAGAAUUUUUCUUGAAUCUUCUAGCUCAAAACUAUCUUGAAGUUUCUAGAAUUGGAUCACAAACUCCAACACUCCCCCUUGAUCCAAUUUCGGGAUACUCCGGACUUGUAUCAUAAAUCCUCGAACGUACCUUGAAAUUCUCCUUGUAGUUUGUCCCAUGCCUUUUAUGUCGUCUUCAUUCCACGAUCCUUUGCAUUCUCUUGUCGAAUCACUUGCACCUACCUUGGAAUGUGCAUGUCUUUUUUCGGCGAUGUCCCAUAUGUCUCGGGCCAUCAAAAUUUUCUUAGUUGUAGUUGUUAGCUCGGGCUCUGGCUCUGGCUCUCGUAGGCUCUGGCUCUGGCUUCGGCUUUGGUUCUGGCUCUGGCUCCGGCUUUGGCUCUGUUGGCUCUCGCUCGGGCUCUGGCCUUUGAUUCUGGCUCUGGCUCCGGCUCUGGCUCUGUUGGCUCUCGCUCGGGCUCUGGCCUUUUUAGUUGAGGAUGGUGAGGACAAACGCCCAUAAUCAUCCGAUGUGCCUAUCUCUGGCUUCACGAUCCUUUACACCUGGCUCAGUUACGAACCUGGGUGCAACUGGCUCUGAUACCAUGUUAAAAUAUAUUUCGGAUGUGAGCGUUGCGUGGUUUUAGUUAUGGAUGAUAGUUUUUGAUUAGUGAGGUGUGCAAGUGUUGGUAUUGAUGAUAGUUUUUGGUUAGUGAGGUGUGCAAGUGUAUGGUAUAGUUUGUAGAGGAUGGACAAGGGACAAUAUAUGAUAAUUGAAGGAUAUAGAACAUGGGGAAAAUAGUUUCAUUAGUUGAACAAAAUAGUUUGAUGGAGGUACAAUAGAGAUCUUGACCUCUCAUGGUGGAGGGUUCACCUCACACACAAGGUGGAGGGUUUACCUCUCACUCUCUAAAAUGAAUGAACUACAAGCCUAUUUAUAGGCAUGAGUCACACCUUAGUACAACAUUCUAGAUUUCUAUAGAAUGUUGUCCAUGUAGGCUUCAUCUAGGUAAUUCUAGAUUGUAGUUCUUCUAGAGACUUCUACAUUUUCUUAGACACAUAAGCUUGUAGACAAUUCUAGAAUUUUUCUUGAAUCUUCUAGCUCAAAACUAUCUUGAAGUUUCUAGAAUUGGAUCACAAACUCCAACAGAAACGAAUGAGAGAGAGAGAGAGAUCACAGGGAGAACGCGAGAAGUUGUGAGAGGGAGGCGAUGUGUAUAUAGGGGAGAGGGAGGGAGCGGGAGCUUGUAGGACGGUGUUCGUUUCAAGUUAUCUGAAAAGCAAACAUUUUAAAUGAGCACUUUGCCAACGUUACAAAAAAGAAAUUCAAAGCGGAGCAAAAGAACAUUAGAGAAAUUGGCAAUUUGCCACUUUAGGGACGGUCAAGGAAUUUAGGUAAGUGCACUUUUAAUGGAAAGGCCUAGUUAACUUCUUCCUAAAAUUUCACCAUUUUAUCCUGCCUUUUUCUUUUGACAAUUUUACACUUUCGUCUCUCUUUAAAGAUAAAUUGUAUUACAGUAUUAACGUAACAUGGAGAUGAGUGCCAAAAUGAGAAAUUUAAAGAGCGAGAUAAAAUGGGGUUUUGGGUUUUAUGUAAAUGGAUAGAAAAGCCAGUUUCUUUUUCUUUUUUUUUCCUACGAUAAUCAAAACUAGAAGAAUAGUUUUAACAAAAAAAAAAACUAGAAGAAUAGUGUAUUUCAUACUGCCGUGGCUACACUGUGAUGUGUUGAAAUACAUGUGUACGUGUUUGGCAAUGCAUCUUUAAAAGUGGCCAUGCUAUAGACAGCUAUGAUGAUUAAUAUGUUUGAUCACUGUAGCUAUUAGAACGAAGAAAAGACCUUUUAAUAUGGUCGCAGAGUUUUUACAACAUUUAUAUUUGUGUUAUUAGAACUUUUGCAGGAUACCAUUUUCACCAUAUGAUGAUGAUGAUGAUGAUGAUGAUGAUGAUGAUGAUGAUGAUGAUGAUGAUGAUAGUUGAAUCUGGAAUAGACAUUUUGAGAGGGCUUCAUUUCCAACUGAAAUACCAAAGCAAUACAUGUUUAUACAUGAAAUUGCAGUAAGAAAAUGUACGGCAGUACAAUGCUGAACCCUAGAAAUGCACAAUCUACUACAGCCCAACGAUGCGGGCAACCAUGCGGAUCCAAUUGCAAAGGGCAACGAGAGCGACUGUACAAUCACACAGGAGAGGAAAUCCCACUUGUCUUCCUCAACAUCAUCUCCUGUUGAACACAGUAGCAUCUGUCCCUGUGAGCUUAACUAUUCAGAUGUUGAAAGGAUGUAUUAUGCACCAUGGCUUGGAGAUACAGCAAGAUUGGCAUGAUGCCAGGUGAGGGGUAAAGAUAAAAAAGUUCACAUUACUCGCCAUGCAAGUGAUGGGGGUAAAGAUAAGCGCAUCUCUGCUCUNNNNNNNNNNNNNNNNNNNNNNNNNNNNNNNNNNNNNNNNNNNNNNNNNNNNNNNNNNNNNNNNNNNNNNNNNNNNNNNNNNNNNNNNNNNNNNNNNNNNGGGGGGGGGGGGGGGCAGAGGUGGAAAGAAGAACAGCAUUGAAGAGAAACGGAAAAGCAGACUUGCAACAGAAGGCACGGAAAGCUGUUUGCUUUAAGAUACACGACAACCAUGCAGAUGGCCAAUGUUGUCUUCACCACUUAAAAAAUUCUUUCUCGUGGCCCGUAAUGGAAUUUUGUAUGAUUUGCAUUUAAAUAGGAGAAUAAUGUCGUACUUUAAGAUCAUCUACCGCCUGCAAAGUUGCUAUUAUUUUCGUUGAAAAUUCAAAAGAGGGGGGAGGUAUAGAAAGAGAAACAACGAAUGAAGAGAAAGGGAAAGCACAGGCUCUCAACAGAAGGCACAGGAAAGCAGUUUGCUUUAAGAUGCAUGAUAAACUACUAACGAACGAUUUGACGUGGUCUUUAAUAUAAUGUUAUAAGAUUCUACAUCAAUGAUAAUAGUACUUUGUGCUCCACUACUGCCUGCAAAGUUGCUAUUAUCUUUUUUGAAAACUCAAAAGAAGGGGCAACGUAGAAAGAAAAACCGCACCGAAGAGAAAUGAACGUCACCGACUGUCAACAGUGGGCACAACAAAGAUGCUUGCUUUAAGAUGCAUGAUAAUCAUUUCACGUGGUCUCUGAUGAUAUUUUAUAAGAUUUACAUCUGAGUACCAGAUCGAUAUCGUACUUUAUGCUCCACUACUGGCUGAAAAGUUGCUGUUAUCCUCUUUGAAAACUUCAAAGAAGGGGGGAGAGGCAGAAAGAAAAACAACAUUGAAGAGAAACGAGCAUCACCAACCCUCAACAGAAGGCACAAGAAAGCUGCCUGCUUUAAGAUGCAUGAUAAACUACUAAUAAACAAUCAUUUCACGUGGUCUCUGGUUAAAUUUUAUAAGAUUUACAUCCAAAUACAGAAUCAAUAUCGUACUUUAUGCUCUACUAUUCCCUUGAAAGUUGCUAUCAUCUUCUUUGAACGCUCAAAAGAAGGGGAGAGGCAGAAAGGGAAACAACAUUGAAGGGAAACGAACAUCGCAAACUCUCAACAGAAGGCACGAGAAAGCUGUUUGCUUUAAGAUGCGUGACAACCAUGCAUAUGGUCAUUGUUGAAUUCCUACUUAAAACCAAUUAUUUCUCUUAGCCUCUGAUGAGAAUUUACAACCAUUACAGCCAGAUGGAGAAUGAUAUUUUACUUUAUGCUUCAUUACUAUAAUAUAUGUACAUAUCUAUUCAACACAACCAAAAGAAUCAUGUUUCUCACACAUAAAUAGGACAAGUUUUUGGAGUGUCUGAAAUUUUUACAUUCAAAAUGUUAUUGUUUUGCAUCGAAAUAUUGUGACUUGACGCUGGAGAAUUGAAAUUCAAUUGUAAACCUAUCGUAUGAAUUCAAAUUCAAUCCCAAACAUUUUAAUUCAAACAAUGUUGUUUUAAACCUUAGAGUGAAAAUGUAAUCAACUCCUCCUAGUCAAGUCUCGCCUAAAUGGCAGUCCAAUCAUUUGUCAUUGUACGUGUCCCGACUAGUGAUUUGACAUGGACAAAUUUACUCGAAACGGUGCCAUUGUUGCUCAACUCCACAAGCUGUCAACCUUGCCUAGAACUGCCCUCUCUCAAGUUGAUUUCUAUCAACAGUCACAGCUCAGCUAGAGCUGGCACCUCCAAAUGUGGAGGCUCGGCAGUCGGUCACCAUGCCCAUCGGGCUCCUUGGCCCCUCCAUGGAAGAUGAUUGUACAAUCCUGAAAUUUUGAGCGAUGUUUGUUUUCCCUCCCUGACCCUUCCAUGCCAUGCAAGAUGAUUGUAUAACCCUUAAUUUUUUUUGUGACGUAGAAUUUUUUGUUUAAUUUUUAAAUAAUUCUUUUCUUUUCUUUUUUUCUUCCUUCUUCUUCCUCCUCUAGAUGGUCAUGGGACCUCGGUGACUAGCCAGAGACGAGUUGACAAGGCCAACCUUGCCCAACCAUCGCAAGGCUCCCUCGAGACUGGUGAGGCCACCCUUGUCGGCCCUCCUCUCUAGCCGGUCACCGGCUAUCAUCGAGGCUUGACGAGAAGAGGGAGAAUAAGAAAGGAAACAAAAAAAAAAAAUGACCUUCAUUAGAAACUGUUCCUGAGGGCAAAUAAGUAAAUUCCUUCUACUUUCUGUUUUCGUUCUAAAUCUAUUUUCUGACUAUUGAUCUAUUUCGGAAAAAAAAAUUAACUAACAUUAUCAAAUAAUUUUUUUUUUCUGUUUUGGAGAAAGAAAUAACAGAAAAAUAGAGAAAUAAAAUGAUCACCAAAUAGGACCUAACUUUAUAAGUGAAUUUGUAAUUCUUCCCACUCAACCUAUGCCUAUUAUAAGUUUUCUUUUCUUUUAAUAAUUCUUCCUCUCUUCUGUCUCCUCUCUUCAUCGGUAUAAAAUGGGUAAUCAGGGAUGGGUGGCUUGUGUAGUGGAAGAGAAACCUAUUCCCAAUGGUCGACACAGCGAAUUUGGAUCCAAAUUCAAAUACACCAGGGGAAGUCAACUGACCUCUUUCACCAUUACCUCACCACGUUGAGUGUUGAUUUUAACUCCGUAAAAUCCUCUUGUUGAUUUUAACUCCAUAAAAUCCUCUGACACGUCUGCCCCUCGGGACCUUCCAGAUUAUAAAAGCAAGAGCAAAAGUCAUGCUAUUAUUUCCAAUCUUUACCGACACAGAAACGGAUUCGUGCAUAGUUAAUAUGAAAAAACAGCUACCCUAUACAUUGGCAUUUAGUUGAUAAAAAAGGUUGAUCAAUUUAUGGAUGACAUGCAGCGACUUGAAUUCCAUCCACACAUAGAUAACGUGCAGCCAAGGCUAUGUCAAAGCCCCAAUACAUUUAUUAGAUACUAUGCCAUCUCAUUCCACCAAGAGAAGAGGUAUGCAUUUUCGACUCCAGCAGAUGAGAUAUCCUUUGGGAUGGUAGUCUCGGAAGAUGAAUCUUGCUUCUGGUCUCCAUAAUUUGGCAGCAAUGAUGGUGAUUCCACUGGACCGGUUAGGACUACUUUUAUCUUCCUCUCCUCUAUGUAUUUACCACUUUCUUUAUCAAAUUUAAAAUUUAAAAGAAAACUUCUCAGGUUACUUGACCCAAAAGAUUAUGGAACACAAAGCAGCAAAAUCUACCAUGUCAGCAGUAAUGUCCUCUUCAACUGUAUCAAAACCUUGUCUCGACGCUGCAAGACAGGUGGAGCUACCUGCUGUGCUUACAUGGUAACGGCAUCAAACAGAAGAUAGGAUGAAGGGCCUACCCUAAUUCUUUCGAAGUAUCAGGACAUAGCUUCUGAGGCCUAUUGUGGUUUUCCUCUGUCUCAAUGUAUAUUAGGCUACUAUGGUAGGCAUUCAAAAUCUUAUUCAAAGAUGAUCCUUACUGCAAUGCGACUGACAUUGCCUUAAGCAGUUCAUGUCCUAGUAAUAAUACAGUCUUACAGACAUGUCGUGGCAAAGAAAUUGCAAAAUAAUCGUUCAGCUGAUUCAAGUACUGUGGGCAUGUCCAUCCUCACAAGUAUGUCAGUGGCUUUUUAGUAAGUAUGUGAACAUGAUGUUUCACUGACUUGAGCAGAACAAUUUCGAAUCAGAUUAUCCAUUUGGUUGAUGAUGCCUACAUUUGGCCGCACACAGAAUUUCUUCUGAGACGUAGCCUUAGCCUGGAAUGUUUUGGAUAUCCAAUAUAGAUCUCAUAAUGUUUCUCCACAAUAGAGAGUUCUUAAUGCGCUGAUGUACUACUCUGAAAAUUAAAUUACAUCAAGAGAAUACAAGAUUGAAAGGAUAUUGUCCACCCGCCAUAGCCUAAAAAAUAAAACUUGAUCACGGUGAAAGAAAAGGUCCAAAGAAUAUUCACCUUGAAAGCAACAUACCGAUCAGUCUUAUUGCCUAGCGGAAUGAGCAUGAGCUUUGUUUGCUCAACUCAAUUGCAUAAACACGGAGAAGAGGCUUCAGAUGAAAGAAUUUAAAGAGAAAGGGGGCCUGACAUGAGGACAGGAUGUGAUGAAAUGGACCAUCUUACAUUUUCUUUGAUAUAAUGCAGUAAUGCAAUCUCGUCUUGUUCAUUCAUUUUCUCUACUAAUCAUUCUCUCGGUCAUUUGGUUACAACAACCAUUCACCUACUUAAUCUCCAGAAAGAAAUUUACCGCAGAAGUCAUUCUAAGAGUUUGUGGUGUGNNNNNNNNNNNNNNNNNNNNNNNNNNNNNNNNNNNNNNNNNNNNNNNNNNNNNNNNNNNNNNNNNNNNNNNNNNNNNNNNNNNNNNNNNNNNNNNNNNNNNNNNNNNNNNNNNNNNNNNNNNNNNNNNNNNNNNNNNNNNNNNNNNNNNNNNNNNNNNNNNNNNNNNNNNNNNNNNNNNNNNNNNNNNNNNNNNNNNNNNNNNNNNNNNNNNNNNNNNNNNNNNNNNNNNNNNNNNNNNNNNNNNNNNNNNNNNNNNNNNNNNNNNNNNNNNNNNNNNNNNNNNNNNNNNNNNNNNNNNNNNNNNNNNNNNNNNNNNNNNNNNNNNNNNNNNNNNNNNNNNNNNNNNNNNNNNNNNNNNNNNNNNNNNNNNNNNNNNNNNNNNNNNNNNNNNNNNNNNNNNNNNNNNNNNNNNNNNNNNNNNNNNNNNNNNNNNNNNNNNNNNNNNNNNNNNNNNNNNNNNNNNNNNNNNNNNNNNNNNNNNNNNNNNNNNNNNNNNNNNNNNNNNNNNNNNNNNNNNNNNNNNNNNNNNNNNNNNNNNNNNNNNNNNNNNNNNNNNNNNNNNNNNNNNNNNNNNNNNNNNNNNNNNNNNNNNNNNNNNNNNNNNNNNNNNNNNNNNNNNNNNNNNNNNNNNNNNNNNNNNNNNNNNNNNNNNNNNNNNNNNNNNNNNNNNNNNNNNNNNNNNNNNNNNNNNNNNNNNNNNNNNNNNNNNNNNNNNNNNNNNNNNNNNNNNNNNNNNNNNNNNNNNNNNNNNNNNNNNNNNNNNNNNNNNNNNNNNNNNNNNNNNNNNNNNNNNNNNNNNNNNNNNNNNNNNNNNNNNNNNNNNNNNNNNNNNNNNNNNNNNNNNNNNNNNNNNNNNNNNNNNNNNNNNNNNNNNNNNNNNNNNNNNNNNNNNNNNNNNNNNNNNNNNNNNNNNNNNNNNNNNNNNNNNNNNNNNNNNNNNNNNNNNNNNNNNNNNNNNNNNNNNNNNNNNNNNNNNNNNNNNNNNNNNNNNNNNNNNNNNNNNNNNNNNNNNNNNNNNNNNNNNNNNNNNNNNNNNNNNNNNNNNNNNNNNNNNNNNNNNNNNNNNNNNNNNNNNNNNNNNNNNNNNNNNNNNNNNNNNNNNNNNNNNNNNNNNNNNNNNNNNNNNNNNNNNNNNNNNNNNNNNNNNNNNNNNNNNNNNNNNNNNNNNNNNNNNNNNNNNNNNNNNNNNNNNNNNNNNNNNNNNNNNNNNNNNNNNNNNNNNNNNNNNNNNNNNNNNNNNNNNNNNNNNNNNNNNNNNNNNNNNNNNNNNNNNNNNNNNNNNNNNNNNNNNNNNNNNNNNNNNNNNNNNNNNNNNNNNNNNNNNNNNNNNNNNNNNNNNNNNNNNNNNNNNNNNNNNNNNNNNNNNNNNNNNNNNNNNNNNNNNNNNNNNNNNNNNNNNNNNNNNNNNNNNNNNNNNNNNNNNNNNNNNNNNNNNNNNNNNNNNNNNNNNNNNNNNNNNNNNNNNNNNNNNNNNNNNNNNNNNNNNNNNNNNNNNNNNNNNNNNNNNNNNNNNNNNNNNNNNNNNNNNNNNNNNNNNNNNNNNNNNNNNNNNNNNNNNNNNNNNNNNNNNNNNNNNNNNNNNNNNNNNNNNNNNNNNNNNNNNNNNNNNNNNNNNNNNNNNNNNNNNNNNNNNNNNNNNNNNNNNNNNNNNNNNNNNNNNNNNNNNNNNNNNNNNNNNNNNNNNNNNNNNNNNNNNNNNNNNNNNNNNNNNNNNNNNNNNNNNNNNNNNNNNNNNNNNNNNNNNNNNNNNNNNNNNNNNNNNNNNNNNNNNNNNNNNNNNNNNNNNNNNNNNNNNNNNNNNNNNNNNNNNNNNNNNNNNNNNNNNNNNNNNNNNNNNNNNNNNNNNNNNNNNNNNNNNNNNNNNNNNNNNNNNNNNNNNNNNNNNNNNNNNNNNNNNNNNNNNNNNNNNNNNNNNNNNNNNNNNNNNNNNNNNNNNNNNNNNNNNNNNNNNNNNNNNNNNNNNNNNNNNNNNNNNNNNNNNNNNNNNNNNNNNNNNNNNNNNNNNNNNNNNNNNNNNNNNNNNNNNNNNNNNNNNNNNNNNNNNNNNNNNNNNNNNNNNNNNNNNNNNNNNNNNNNNNNNNNNNNNNNNNNNNNNNNNNNNNNNNNNNNNNNNNNNNNNNNNNNNNNNNNNNNNNNNNNNNNNNNNNNNNNNNNNNNNNNNNNNNNNNNNNNNNNNNNNNNNNNNNNNNNNNNNNNNNNNNNNNNNNNNNNNNNNNNNNNNNNNNNNNNNNNNNNNNNNNNNNNNNNNNNNNNNNNNNNNNNNNNNNNNNNNNNNNNNNNNNNNNNNNNNNNNNNNNNNNNNNNNNNNNNNNNNNNNNNNNNNNNNNNNNNNNNNNNNNNNNNNNNNNNNNNNNNNNNNNNNNNNNNNNNNNNNNNNNNNNNNNNNNNNNNNNNNNNNNNNNNNNNNNNNNNNNNNNNNNNNNNNNNNNNNNNNNNNNNNNNNNNNNNNNNNNNNNNNNNNNNNNNNNNNNNNNNNNNNNNNNNNNNNNNNNNNNNNNNNNNNNNNNNNNNNNNNNNNNNNNNNNNNNNNNNNNNNNNNNNNNNNNNNNNNNNNNNNNNNNNNNNNNNNNNNNNNNNNNNNNNNNNNNNNNNNNNNNNNNNNNNNNNNNNNNNNNNNNNNNNNNNNNNNNNNNNNNNNNNNNNNNNNNNNNNNNNNNNNNNNNNNNNNNNNNNNNNNNNNNNNNNNNNNNNNNNNNNNNNNNNNNNNNNNNNNNNNNNNNNNNNNNNNNNNNNNNNNNNNNNNNNNNNNNNNNNNNNNNNNNNNNNNNNNNNNNNNNNNNNNNNNNNNNNNNNNNNNNNNNNNNNNNNNNNNNNNNNNNNNNNNNNNNNNNNNNNNNNNNNNNNNNNNNNNNNNNNNNNNNNNNNNNNNNNNNNNNNNNNNNNNNNNNNNNNNNNNNNNNNNNNNNNNNNNNNNNNNNNNNNNNNNNNNNNNNNNNNNNNNNNNNNNNNNNNNNNNNNNNNNNNNNNNNNNNNNNNNNNNNNNNNNNNNNNNNNNNNNNNNNNNNNNNNNNNNNNNNNNNNNNNNNNNNNNNNNNNNNNNNNNNNNNNNNNNNNNNNNNNNNNNNNNNNNNNNNNNNNNNNNNNNNNNNNNNNNNNNNNNNNNNNNNNNNNNNNNNNNNNNNNNNNNNNNNNNNNNNNNNNNNNNNNNNNNNNNNNNNNNNNNNNNNNNNNNNNNNNNNNNNNNNNNNNNNNNNNNNNNNNNNNNNNNNNNNNNNNNNAAAACCUCUGACACAUCCAGCCCUUCAGGAUGCUGGCAUCAAAAGACAAUCCUUCUGGAUUAUAAGAGUGAGAACAGAAGUCAUAUUCUAUCAUGAGUAAUAGAAAUGGAUACAUGUACAGUUAAUAUGAGAAAAAAGCUAUCCUAUACACUCGCAUUUAGUUGCUAAAGAGGUUGAUCAAUUAUAGAUGAUGUGUAGCAACUUGAUUUCCAUUUACAUAAAUAACAUGCGGCCCAGCCAAUGCUGUGGCAAAGCCCCGAUCCAUGUAUUAGAUACAAAGCCAUCUCAACCCAGAAAGACAAUAAAGUGACAUAUUGAUGUUUUCUGGCAGUCAUACCCUGAGAAAAGGUGAUGCAUUUUCGACUCCAGCAGGUGAGAUAUCCUUUGGGAUGGUAGUCUCGGAAGAUGAAUCUUGCUUCCGGUCUCUGUAAUCUGGCAGCCCUGAAGGUGAUUCCACUGGACUGGUUAGGACUGCUUUUAUCAUCCUCUCACUUAUGUAUUUACCGCUUUCUUUAUGCAAUUGAAAAUUCAAUAGAAAAUUUCUUGAGUCGCUUGACCUGAAAGAUUAUGAAACAUAUAGCAGAAAAACCUACCAUGUCAGCAAUAGUGUCCUCUUCACCUGUAUCAAAAACUUGUCUCUGCACAGCAGGACAGGUGGAGCUACCUGCCGUGCUUACAUGGUAACUGCAUCAAACAGAAGAUGGGAUGAAGGCCUACUCCAAUUCUUGUUGCCUAGCGGAAUCAGGCAUGAGCUUUGUUUACUUAACUCAACUGCAUAAACACAGAGAAGAGGCCUAAGAUAAAAGAACUUAAUGGGGCAUGACAUGAGAGCAGGAUGUGAUGAAAUGGACCAUCAUACAUUUUCUUUGAAGAUAUAAUGCAGCAAUGAAGUCUCAUUUUGUGCGUUAGUUUUCUCUACUGAACAUUCUCAGUCAUUUGGUUACAGCACUCACCUACUUUUAUCUCUAGAAAGAAAUUCACUCACAUGGCACUAUAAGAGUUUGUGGUGUGAAGAUAGAAACUAUGCAAAAAGAAAGAACCUGACCAAAUAUUCGAAAACAGCACAAGGAAAAGAACUUGAAAAACAGGGCGACCAAUGACCGAUUCAUACUCGCCAUUGAAGCUCAUGCUUUUAGAUAUUUUUUUUACCAUUAUUUAUGAUGUUGAACCACAAUUCUCAAGCAAAUUAUUGUAGAAUAGAGGANNNNNNNNNNNNNNNNNNNNNNNNNNNNNNNNNNNNNNNNNNNNNNNNNNNNNNNNNNNNNNNNNNNNNNNNNNNNNNNNNNNNNNNNNNNNNNNNNNNNNNNNNNNNNNNNNNNNNNNNNNNNNNNNNNNNNNNNNNNNNNNNNNNNNNNNNNNNNNNNNNNNNNNNNNNNNNNNNNNNNNNNNNNNNNNNNNNNNNNNNNNNNNNNNNNNNNNNNNNNNNNNNNNNNNNNNNNNNNNNNNNNNNNNNNNNNNNNNNNNNNNNNNNNNNNNNNNNNNNNNNNNNNNNNNNNNNNNNNNNNNNNNNNNNNNNNNNNNNNNNNNNNNNNNNNNNNNNNNNNNNNNNNNNNNNNNNNNNNNNNNNNNNNNNNNNNNNNNNNNNNNNNNNNNNNNNNNNNNNNNNNNNNNNNNNNNNNNNNNNNNNNNNNNNNNNNNNNNNNNNNNNNNNNNNNNNNNNNNNNNNNNNNNNNNNNNNNNNNNNNNNNNNNNNNNNNNNNNNNNNNNNNNNNNNNNNNNNNNNNNNNNNNNNNNNNNNNNNNNNNNNNNNNNNNNNNNNNNNNNNNNNNNNNNNNNNNNNNNNNNNNNNNNNNNNNNNNNNNNNNNNNNNNNNNNNNNNNNNNNNNCCAAUGGGCUAAGUUACUGAGAAUAUAAAAAUAAAAUUUAGUUGUUUCUGAUGUCAUAUGGAAAGUCUUAUCUAAAACUGGCAUAUGAUAAGAAAUAUGUCUCUUAUUCAGCUAAGACAAUUAGACAUAUCUUAGCUGCAACAUGACAGCACCAAGUCAUAUCUUGCUCUUUCUGAUAAGAAAUAUGUCUCUUAUUCAGCAAUAAGACAAUUAGACAUAUCUCAGCUGCAACAUGACAGCACCAAAAGUCAUAUCUUGCUCUUUUUGAAUGGACAAGUGAGCAACUCUUUGCCUUAAACGACUCCACCACAUGAACACAUUCGUGAUGGCAACCAAAAUGAGCUUUUGCUCAUGUUCAAAGCCUAAGCAUGCAAGAAAAUUAAAGAGCUCCGACUCUUGAAGAGCAAUGGACUUCUUCUGCAAACCUCAGAUUGCUGACAAAUCGAGGAUUAGCCUUAAAAAACUGUUCCUCUCAUAAACAUAAGUACAAUCACAACAUCUCAAUUCACAAGGCAGUGCAUGUAUUAAUAUACACAUCAUGGAUAUUCCAAAGAACUUACAAGAGAAGAUAACUCCUAGUAACUGCUGGGUACAAUGGAAAUGAACAUUCAAAGCCCAGGAUUAUUCCUGGGAAAAAUGGAAAAGUGGGGAACAACAGACUUUUACAUCACAUGAAGUAAGAACGACAUAAUGAGUGAAUUUAACCGUCCCAUAGAAUUCUAUUAGCAAUGGCAGUGUCCACUGAUUCCAGUUCUUCCACUACUUCAGUCCUGGAAGGCUGCUUGUUAGGAGUCAUUCGGAGGCAUUGUAAAGCAAGUUGUGCUAACUGGAAUCCAGAAUCCAUAUAUGUAGGGUAUAGGGACGGUAUAAAUUUGGUUCCCAAUUGCAGCAGGUUGCAAUAUCAUGAGCGACCAGUUUCCUCUAAAAUAACCAGUAUUUCUUUUUUGGUUUCUGAGGAAGGGGAACAUCUGCAGAAAAUGAAAAGUCAUGUAGGCAAUGCAACUGUGGAUUCCAUGCCAAAUGAUUUAAGUAGCUAAAAGGGAAACACACCUUGUGUUUCAUAGAGGGGAUUAUAGUGAACUCAUAUCCAGAAACUCAACCAAAGCUCUGCAUCAAUUGAAAGUAAGGUUAACAAAAGGAAAAACUUAAAAAGAAAAUGGAGUUUCAAAAGACCAGUUGCUCAUUGAACAAAAGCAAAAGUAGAUCAAUUGCAAAUGUUUACAUCUAGGUUCUAAAUCAAUCAAUAUAUUUAACCCUACCCAAGUAGCUGUUCCAAGCAAGCAAAAUAACAAAUAUUUAAUUUCAGAGACCAAAAACAAGCAAAGCAUCACAAAGGAGGGUCUAUGUGUAUAUGUAUGCAAGCAACGCUCUUUUUUCCAAGACAACCAAGGAGUAAAAUAUACCCAUUUGGAAUUUUAACAAACCAAACCCAAGAACUUCACAUUUAUCACAUUGCACCUACUGACGAUUUGAACCAACAAAACAACUAUGAAGAAGAAGACAAGCAAGCAAUACCCUCGACAGAGGGAACUUAUAAAUCCAAUUGCCAAACAAUAAUUAGGCUGCAAAUAUAAGUAUCAUCUAGGGGCUUUUUCCCUCCUUCAUGCUCUCCAACAACAACCAAAUAAGCAUUGAACAUCGGUGACUCACUGGAAUAGAUAAAUUCAUCAUUCUUCAAAAUCCUACAUUCCAACAGCUGCUCACUGCCAUCAUACGGCAUUACCUAACAUAUAUCCGACCAUCAAUCACGACAUGGACUAAUCUACUCAAAACAAGCUCAAUCACGCAGAGUAUUACAAUCAGAAGCACAGAACAGAACAAUCCGUGAUGAUGGAAAUAAUGAAAUCCCAAGCAGCAUUGAGCUGCUGUCAUUCAGUUCAAUUGAGCAAGCUAAACUUGGGAAAAAAAGGGUAAUAAAUCGAUAGCCACUGCAGUUUUCACAUAGAUUAGCUAGUCAAACCGAAUCACGUCCUACCCAAUCAAAGGCAACUAAAUUGCCGAUCGGGUUGAGCUGGACAUCAAUGGUAGAGAUUAGUAGUGAAAGCAAAGGUACCUUGCUGGUGGUGGCGCGGAGAGAGAGGAAGCUGUCGCAAUAGACCGUGCGCUUCAGCUUCUGCUUCAGGUGCUUCUUGAAGGUGACAUUCCAGCAAGCAUGGUCUCAAGCACAUAGUUCAUUUCAUCAAACACCAAAAUUGCACAUGAUCACCAAACACUAGACAGGCAAAACUUAGAUGGUUCACACUCACACAAAGCAUAAUUCAGCACACUAAUUACAAACACAAUCCAAGAGCAGUUCAGGAUUGAAAAAGAAAACCAGAGCACAUCUGUCCAUUCCUAGAACUUGCAUUACCAGCUCAAAAUGCAAGCAUUGAGUCCAUCACAAAGGAGUCAUACUGGAUUCCUGAAAGCUCUGACGUAUUCAUCUGUGGGAUUCUGCUGAGUCUGGAUGUUCUGUGGAAGGGCAACAAGGAUGUCGAUGCCAGAUUUCUGUCCCUCAAUAUUCUGUUUGAUGUGAAGUUCGUUUUCCUAAUCAAAACUCCAGAGUUAAAGCAUAAGCUGGUAGACUUGGGUGCAAUUUCUCCCUCUCUGCCCAGCCUUGAUUGAGGAUGAGGACCCCAAUACCAAUGUGUGUGCAGAAGCUCCUUCCGAUGCUCAUAGAGUUCAACUUGACUAAAAUUUCUGAGAUUCUACAACCAAAGACAGUCAGCCACUGCUUCAGAUUCUCACUUGGUGAUCUGUCCUGUGCAAAUGUGAAUGAUGGUGAGCUGCGCGUGGCUCUGGCAUCGGCUCUGGAAAUGGAUCCCAAGUUGCUUUCUCAGCUGAAAGUAGUAUGGCAUAUUGGAAACCUUUUGGAGUUUGUGCAUGAGAAAAAUAUGGAAGAUUUUCUCAAAUUGAUGCUUGGCUUGUGCAAAGCUCUUCUUUUUUGAUCACUAGGUUCUAUGAAAGGUUCCACAUACAUGGAAGAGCCAAUACUACUUGAUGAAAGUUCUUCUAAGGCAGUGAGUAACAUAUGAUACAUAACUGACUUUGGUGGCAGUGCCAGUGUUUUCCGGGAAUUUAGUGGUUCUCAUGACAGAAACAGUGCCAAUAUUGCUUCUAAAUGCACAGCUCUAUUACUGAAGGCAGCUCCAAGGGAAGGUGCUCUCUUUUUCUUACCAAUCUCCUGUAAGCCAGUGCGAUUCUCGAGUCUCAGCAAAAGGGUGCUCCUUCUCUACUGGUACCAACGAAUGCUGCAUUCUCUCAGUUACUCCUGUAGGCGAUGUUUACUGCACGGAAUGACUUUUGUCAGUGUGCCUGUCAAAGAUUGCUAUGAUUGAAGGCAUCAUUGCUGAGAUAAAAUAUUCUGGUGCUGCUGCUUUAGCCAGUGCUGCCACAUUGGUAAUCUCAGAAUUGCGGUGGCUACCUCAUUUAUGACUUCUCCAUAACAUCUGCAAGUCCCACUAAGAAGCACACCUUUCCCGAAAAAUAAACUGAACUUAAGCAUGGCAAUACAGAGUGUCUGUCUAAUUCAAAAUCGCAACAAUGAGUUGAUUGUGCUUUCAAGUCCCAGGAUGAGAACCAUAGUUGUAUGACCUUCCAACACACAUUCCAUCUAUUUGUUUACAGCAUAGCGAAUUUAUCUCCCAUGCAAAGUGAGGUUAUCAAUUUCAAAAUAUGUGUGAAGCAGCAAAUCAACAACGAUCUCUAAUAAUUUGUUACAUAUCAAGUAAAAAUGAUGCAAUUGACAUGCAUAUAUCUCUAGGAGAAACCAUCCUAAGAAAAUGUAGCUAAAAAAGCCAAACCAAACUAGGAAAAGAACACAAUACUUGUACAUAAUUAAGAGCCCUCUGGCUGUUCGAAGGCAUCAUAAUUUAAAUACCUUCAUCAGAUUUUCAGAAAAGAAUCCGCUAAAAGGUCAUUAAAAAGUGCAUGCAAAACUUCUCUGUUCAUAUCUGUGAAAGAAUUUGAUUGCCAAAAAAGGAAAACAUUGGUACUUACCUCAAUUUGUUUAAGGUUUGAACACAAGGGAACAAUUUGUGGUCGCGCAUCAAAAAGCUUCCAAGUGCAAUGUGCACUUAUUCAUCUUCUUCAUCGUCUUCUUCAUCAGAUUCGUCUUCUUCAUCGUCUUCUUCCACAGAUUCGUCUUCUUCAUCAGAUUCGUCUUCUUCAUCGUCUUCUUCCACAGAUUCGUCUUCUUCAUCGUCUUCUCCCACAAAUUUGAUUGACUGCUCCGAGCAAAGCUGAGAAAUUUCCUGCACUGCUAAUUUCCCACAACGUAAUAUUGUAACCUCUCGCACACUCUUCAAGCUUGAUAGAUCAGGCAACUUCUGUAAAGAUCCACAAUCUUUAAUCUUCAAUAUAUUCAAAGAUUGGGGUAGUUUGCCUUGAAUCUCAACCAGAUUAUGACAAUGUACUACUGAAAGAUAUGUUAUUCCGUCCAAAUUGCUAAGAUCAGGGAUCUGCAUCUGUUUAAAGCCAGAAAGCAGCAACCGAUGUCCACCACUAUAUUCAAACUCCUGAUUGCGAAAUUUUAUAAAAACAUUUGCCUUACCCACUAAGCUGAACAGAUCAGGGAACUCCAGAAACAAAUCUAAUUUAUCUAAUUUAUCGCAUCCUCUUAUUGUGAACCCCCCUUGCAGUCUCUUCAAGCUUGACAGCUCAGGCAACUUCUGUAAAGACUUACAGCAUUGAAUAUCCAAAUGUUCCAAAGAUUGGGGUAGUUCGCCUUGAAUCUCAACCAGAUUAUGACAAGAUUCUACUCUAAGAAGUGUUAUUCCAUCCAUCUUGCUUAGAUCAGGGAUCUGCAUCUGUUUAAUGCCAGAAAGCUGCAACCGAUUUCCACUUAAAUAUUCAAAAUCCUGAUUGCCAAUAUGCACAUACACAUAAACAUGUGUCUUACCCAUUAUGCUGAACGGAUCGGGGAACUCCUGUAACGAAUCGCAGGAACAAAUUUUAAGUUCAUCCAAAAACCGUGGUAGUUCGCCUUGAAUCUCAACCAGAUUACCACAAGUGAUUACUUCAAUAUGCCUCAGCUUGUUUAACUUGCUUAGAUCAGGUAGCAUCACCAGCUGUACGACGUCCCAAAGGCGGAAAUAUCGUAGGUUCUCCAAACAACCAAGGCCUUCAAUCUUUGCAACUGCAGAGCAGCAAAUGUCGAGAUCCGAUAGUUUCCUCAAAUUCGAUAGAUCCAUCGAGCCAAGUGAGUCGCAACCAGAGAGACGUAAGACGGAUAAACUUGAGGGAAGCCUCGGGGGGAGAGGCGGAUGAGGAGGGAGGCUGAGGUCUGUCGAUGAGGCGGUCCCCCCGAAAAAGCGCAAUAGCAGAGAUUCCAAUUUGCUUAAGUUCCCAAUCCACCGUGGUAUCCGUUUUUCCAGGAGCCCAUCAGAUUUCCCAUCACAGUUAGGUGGGCCAAAGCCUAGAUGCAAUACCUUUAAGUUAGCGAGAUUUGAGAGAUCCGGAAACGUGUCCACCCUCAACUCCUCCACUACUAAUUCGAUGAGACUUUCAGGAAACCUUGGUAGGGCGUGUACUCCCGGCCAUCCCAAUAUCUCCUCAAAUGGACCCCCGUAUAAGCAAUAGCCACUUAUUGCGUGGGCAUGUGUGACAUGAUUAUAACGGUCGGCGAUUUCCAUUCCCUUGACCUUCCCCAUCUUCUUCUUACAAGCAUCAUUGUUCGUUCUGUUUUCGAAACCAUUCUGCAUCUUCAUUACUUUCAAAUUCUUCAACAUUCCAAUGGAAUCGGGUACUUCUUCGAUGCUCGUGUGACUUAUGUCCAACUUAGUUAGCAAAUCCAAAUUUCCAACCGUCUCCGGAAGCCUCUGAAGAUUCCAACAAUUGCUUACAUCUAAGAAAAUUAAGCGUUUCAACUGACAAAUUGAUCCAUCAAUUUCGAUUAAUGAUUCACAGCCUGAUAGGAUCAAACGUUCUAAAUUUGAAUGAGCUGAGAAGUUGGGGAUUCUCUUCAAGUGUCGACAAUGGGCCAGAUUCAGAACUUUCAAAUUCUUCAACAUUCCAAUGGAAUUGGGUACUUCUUUGAUGCUCGUGUGACUUAUGUCCAACUCAGUUAGCAAAUCCCAAUUUCCAACCGUCUCCGGAAGCCUCUGAAGAUUCCAACAAUUGCUUACAUCUAAGAAAAUUAAGCGUUUCAACUGACAAAUUGAUCCAUCAAUUUCGAUUAAUGAUUCACAGCCUGAUAGGAUCAAACGUUCUAAAUUUGAAUGAACUGAGAAGUUGGGGGUUCUCUUCAAGCGUCGGCAAUGGGCCAGAUUCAGAACUUUCAAAUUCUUAAUCACCUGUGAAAGAAAAAUCAUGCAAAGUUUACUUUCGAAUUUAAUGAGAUGGAAGAAUAAGUGUUCUCUAGCAUAUAACAUACCUUCAUGUGGCUCCACCCCUUCCAAUCAUGUGUAAUUUCACUCUCAAAUAGAUCAAGGAUAGUCAAAUUCUCUACGGAGAAAUUUGCAAUCUCAAAUGUUGGGUGAAUAUUAUGCCAAGAAAGCCAGCGUAAUUCUGGAAGGAGAUUUGAAUCCAAAACAUCAGUUGGAAGAAGCAUCUUUUCUACACAAAAAGUUUGCUCCGAGUCAUCAACUUCAAGGAACCUUAGCCUUGAUAGGCUCUUAAAGUCCUUGUAGGUAAAACGGUUCUGAUGGUCCAAGCGGAGGCGAAGAGCUUCAACUUUUUUCUUCGUCUGCCCAAGGGAAAAUUUUUAAAAACAAGAAAGUUGAAGGGAAACACAUUUAGCCAAAUUCACUAUUUUAAAGGACUGAGUUGAGUACUACCGUUCCAUUAAUCUUAAAAAAGCAAAAAUGUCCAUAAGUAACUUGGAAAUUAAUGCACAGGGGAUUUUACCUUAGGGCUCUUCAGCAAAUCCAACGCUUUCUCACGAUCCCACACCCUACUUUGUUUAUUUAUAUUGGUUUCUUGACAAACUAUUUGUCUUCCAAGGUCUCUAAGUUGGUCGUGCAUCCACACUUUAUUAUCCUCUUUAAUCUUUACCAAAGACAUGUUCUCCAAAACAUCCAUGGCAUAUUCCGAAUGGAAUUCAGAUUCCCAAAAAUGAACUACAAUGUCUUUAUCAUAUCCAAUUAAGAGACAAGCUAUAUCAAGGAACUUUUGCUUUUCCUUUUCUUCUAAUUCAUCAUAACUUAUUUUCAAUCUACUCUGGACAUCCUUAUGAGGAUCACUUUCCCACUUACGUAAUUCGAAAUCCCACUUUUUCUUUUCAGUAGUGCAAGAUAAAAGUGAACCCAUGAGCUCAAGAGCUAGUGGAAGACCUCCAGCAAUUUUUAUCGCCCUCUCAGAUUGGUCGAUAUACUCGUCUAAAGGAUGAUCUCUUCUAAAGGCAUGUUUGCUAAAGAGUUGAAGAGAUUGAUCAUGAUCCAUGCCCGAAAGCUCAUAACAGCUGUCCACUUUAAGAACAUCAAGAACUUCUUUGUUUCUAGUAGUAAUAAUAAUUCUGCUCCCUUUACCAAACCAAUCACACUCACCAACAAGUGCAUCGCUAUGAUUCUUUUCAUGUACAUCAUCGAGAAGGAGGAGGACUCUUUUAUUAGACAACCAGGCUUUGAUGGUAUUAAUCCCAUCAUCAAUGUUUCUUAUAUAUGUGCAUUUGUCUUUGAGAAUGCUGGAGAUGAGCUGAUUCUGCAAGGAUUCAAUGCCCUCGCGUUCUGACAUUUCACGGAUGUUGGACAGAAAGCAACAAUCCUCAAAAUUUUCUAAAAGCUGAUUGUAGAUGAUUUUGGCAGUUGUCGUCUUCCCGAUGCCACCCAUCCCAUAGAUUCCUAUAAUCCGUGUUUCACUUGUGCGAGGACCUAUCAAUUCCGUGAUUGCAUCAACAUGGUUGUCGACAUUGACCAAGCAAUUUGAUACUACCAAAUAAGCCUUUUUCAACUCAUUGAAAACCUUCUGCAUGAUUGUUUUUGCAAACUGACCUUCUUGCCUAUUAUUCGUUGAAAGUCAAAAGGCAAUGAGUUAGAAAAUUGAGUUAAGCCAAACUAUGCUCUAACAAGACCAAAUUGAAAACUACAGACCUAUUCUAAAUGCGUUCCUCAACGAUUUAUACCAUUUUGAUAAACUAGCACUGGAACUUAGGGUAAAUGAAUGACCUGAACUAACGGAAAAAUGUUGCUUGCUGGGAAUGAAAUGGGACAAAAAUUGACAUGGUGAUAUUAUUUAGCCUGAUUUUGCUGCAUAAUUUCAAUUGCAUACAAUUCAAUUUCAACAAGACUAACACAAAUUUAGAAAAGAAACCAAUUUAAAUGCAUCGAGUUUAACGAUACAAGGCACAUGAGAUGGAAUGCUAAAAGUAGUCACCUGUUGGGCAUGCUUUGCAGGUCCCAUCCAUUUAUAUCCGCGACUGUAGUGAGAGCAUCCUUCCACUCCGCAAUAGUCUUUUCGUCAUAUCGCCUCUUUCUUUUGUGUGAAACAAAAGCUUUUUUAAAACUCCCGGUUUGGCGUCGAACAUCCGAAGGUGUCACAUCAUAAAAUAUGGGCAUGAUCUUUUGUCCUUCAUUUUUCUGGCACUUGACCAUUUGAACUAGCUCUCUGAGACACCAUACGCUAGAGGCAUAACCUUUUGAAAAGAUAGGUAUUAAGAUCUUCGACUGAUUGAUUGCUUCAGGAAGUUCUGGGGCAAACUCUUCCCCGACACGGAGCGCGUCAUCGUCCCUAAAUGUGCGGAUUCCUGCAUCUAUAAGAUAAUUGUAAAGGAAGUCGGUAAAACCUGAUCGUGUGUCAGGCCCUCUGAAACUCAAGAAUACUUCAUAGUCAUGUCCGGAAGAUGUUGCCGUUUCCUCAACUUGUGGUGUAGUGCAAGUAUGAGCAGCCCUCUCUACGGUACCAUUCUGUGGAGCUGAAUCAUUAUCUGCACUGCCCUCCACAGCGGUCUGACCUGCUCUUUUCUUCAGGAAUCCUUUGAACAGGAUGGCAGAGAGAGAUAUGGCAGCAACUGUCACCAUACAGGGCAACCGCAAGUGCUCAAGCAUUUUGUGAGUUAGCAAAGAGAAGGUUUUUAGUUAGAAAUACAGGGGAAUGGUGGAACAGCAGAGAUGAGAGGCGGCACUUAAAGAUCAGGAUGGAGUAACGAGGAACGGCUAGAAAUCGCCAGAGAAAGAGUAGAGACUGAGGCGAGGGCGGCCACUGAUGCUGCGACGGAACAUCGACGAGGCAGACGAGGAGAAGGAUCGAGAGAANNNNNNNNNNNNNNNNNNNNNNNNNNNNNNNNNNNNNNNNNNNNNNNNNNNNNNNNNNNNNNNNNNNNNNNNNNNNNNNNNNNNNNNNNNNNNNNNNNNNAUCACCCAUUCUGUAUGCGGUAAUUCCGCUCGGGGUAUAACAUUCAACUGCAAUUUCAUAAAAGGUUCUGAAGGAUUAUUCUCUACACAUCAGAAAAGGUCACCAUCUUUCAUCUGGCAUUUCCUAAACAUUGUUCACACUGCGCUAGCUUUGAGGAAGAAAAAAAAAAUAGUAGCAACAACGUUUCACGUGCUAUGAUGCAUAACAAGUUGGUCUCCAAGACCAACCCAUCACAUCCGCUUUGAUGUAAGUUGUCUCUUCUCAUAUCUUAGGAACGAAAAUUGUCCCUUUCUAAGGUUGAUUCUAGAGAUUUGGCCCUCCACUUUCCUUUUUGAGUUCAUAUUUGAUCACAUCCUUUUAUUUGAUGAGCAAAACUAAAAUACGAAUCCUACACUUCGGUGACCGUUUGAAUUCUUGCCCAAGGCUUUCAUAUUACAAAAAAAAAUAAAAAAUCAAUGUAUUUAAAAAAUACUUCAGCUGUGCUUGCAAACAAGUGUAAGCUGAAGUAUUAAAGUGGUGGAAUGUCAUUGGAAGGUUAAACCAACGAACAGACCAUGGCUAGCAGAGUAUCCUUCCAAAUGUCACUUCUAGAAAUAUAGACAUAGCACAAUGUAGAGUUUUCUUCUUAAAAAAAUUUGGCUCGAAUCUCAUGAACUUAAAUAAUUCCCAAAGGGUCUUACAUCUCAACAAACAACAUGAUUGCAUUUACAUUGGACACAGCACAGUGCAAAGUUUCCGGCCGGCCACCCCGGAGGAGUUGCCCUCCUCCGGGACCUUUCAUUGGAGGUUUACCAACCUAGUAUGCUAGGAGAAGGCAGUGACCUCCCUCCAGGCGGGAUCCCAGCACUAGAAGUGCUAUGGCCGGAGAGCCCAAUGGGGACUCUAUCCUGUUUUCCUCCCCUCACUUCCCUGUAAAUGGGUUGUGGGAGGAAGCACCCUAGGAUGUCCUAUUAAGGGUGGAGCACUUUAAGGACCUGCUUAGGUCCUCACUUCUAGAAAUAUAGACAUAGCACAAUGCAUAGUUUUCUUGUAAAAAAAAUUUGGCUCGAAUCUCACGAACUUAAAUAAUUCCCAAAGGGUCUUACAUCUCAACAAACAACAUGAUUGCAUUUACAUUGGACACUGCACAGUGCAAAGUUUUUUUUUUUUUUUUGGUUAGUGCAAAGUUUUUAUUCCCCUUAAAAUAAAAUUAAGAAAAAAGACAAAAAGACAAAAGUUCGAAUCUUUUUGAAUCUCUAUAAUAUAAAUAAUUUCUUCCUAAUGUCACUUCCAGAAAUAUGGACAUCUAGUCUCUCUAGAUUAGAUCAAAACAUUAUCCAACGCAAUUCAUUUGAUGAAUGGUUGUAGUUUGAAAUCUUACAAAGUUCUAAAAUUCCGCUGGCCAAAAAGGAGUUUUGAUAUAUGCGUUGUAAGUUUGAAUAAUCAAAUAAUAAAUUUCAAAUAUAGCUGGUAAGUGAAAAUUACAUAUGACUUUAUAUAUAUAUAUAUAAUAGACCAAGUAACGAUUGCAGCCAUAAGGACGUACUUAAGCUGAACUUGCACCGAGAGCAACCAUGUCUACUGAAGAGAAAAUAGCCGACCCUGAGGCGGCGAAGCCGGCUGAAGCGCUGCCGCUGAAAGAGGAGGCCCUGCCUCCACCCACGAGGCCUCCCGACGAGGCGAGCUUGCUCACAGCGGACGUGGCUCUUCAAGGGUUGCUGUUUGCUUCGAUGCUAAUCGCGCUCUUGAGGACCAUUCUAAGUUUGGUUCUGGAGAUUUGGUCCUCUACUAUCCUUUUUGAGUUCAUAUUUAUAUUAUUGAUGCACACCAAUACACACGCUUUUACUUGAUGGGCAAAAUUUAAAAAAUCGAGCAAGUUAAUUGAGUCGAGCCCCGAUACCGCGGCCACAUGCAACCACGGCCGUGCGAGGCCAGCAACCUCCGUCUGUCGCGACUUCUAUUGGACAUAGGUUGUGAGUUCCGUGCGGAGAAAAAAAGAGACCAUAGGAUAGCAAACAAGUCAAAUCGGUGAGGAGUUAAUGUCGCCGGUGGAUUCACACAUGAAGGUGAGGGCUUGUGAUGGCAAUGGGUGGGCGACACGUAAAAAUCCUAAACUAUAUUAACUAUGACACUAAUUAUUCCAAAUUUUUUUUUUCAUCAUAAAAAAUCGAAACUCGUAUCAGAAAUCCAAAAGUACUCUCCAUCCAAGUUGGUCAUUAAAAAUUUAAUGUGCCUGUUUGCGUGGACAACAAUAGACAAAUGAAGCAGACAUGACUCGGGAGAAUUCCACCAAAAAGCCUAAACCUUGCCUGGUGUGACAACGAAACCCAAUUUUUUUACCUGUUACUAAUACUAUAUAUAAACUUGUACCAGUGACUUGCAAAUAUUAUGCAUCACAGUUCCAUUCAAGACGGCCGUUAAAAAUCCAAUGUGACCGCUUGCUUGGACAUCGAUAAGCAAAUGGAGCCAAUGUCGAUAUGAUGUGAUUUUAGUAUGGUCUAAAGUGACUUUAGACCACUUGCCAAAGUUAUAAGUUUUUAAAAAAUUAAAUCUCCGUGGUAACAAGUUGUCUCUCACAAUUUUUAGGGUCCAGGAAGUGGUAUAAUUUGGAGAUGCAGUUUUUUUUAAGGGCUAAUACCCUAAAAAACCCCAAACUGGUACACUCGUGAUAAAUUUACCCUAAACUAUUUUUUUGACCACAAAAAAUCCCAAAUUGGUAUUACUUUUGACAAAUUUACCCCAAACUGGUAUAAUUGUGAUAAAUUUACCCUCUGUUAGUUUUCGUUAAAUUUUAUUGUCAAAUUAUUAAGUUAAAUGACACGUGACAAUUAAUUAAUAUAUCAAUUUGAGAUUUUAUGAUCCAUUUGUCAUAGUUUACAAUUUUUGUGAUUUUUUUGUAGUAUUAAUCCAAUUUAGCGAAUAGUAUAUUUGUCACAAUUUAUCAGUUUGGGGCUUUUUGUGGUUGAAUAAAUUAGUUUGGGGUAAAUUUGUCAUAAAUGUACCACUUUAUGGUUUUUAAUGGUCAGUCGGGGUAAAUUUGUCACAAGUGUACCAAUUUUGGGUUUUUUAUGGUAAAAAAAAUAGUUUUGGGUAAAUUUGUCCUAGAUGUACCAGUUUGAGGUUUUUCAGGGUAUUAACCCUUUUUUUUUAAUAAUAAUUGGGACGAAUUCCUCUCUAUUUAACUUAAAGCGCUCCGAGCUUAAUUUGAAACUAAUAUGCAAAAUAAACGAGCUUCAACUUAUUCUCCAUUUAUUUCGUAAAAAAUGAAUGAUUUGGAAAACAUUUUAUAUCGUUCAUAAAAAUGAAUAAAUUAAAUAUAUUUUCAUUAUCUAUGAAAAUAUUUAGAUAUAAAUUAUUAUCGAUAGUAAAAAAAUUUCAUUAAUUAAUUAUUUCAAGAAAUAUAAACGAUGAUUAUCAUUCAUUUUUCACGAAAUAAACGGAGUGCUAACUUUAACAAAAGUGUAAUGAAAUAUAUUCUUGCUUUGCCUUUCUUUUCCUUUUUCUCUAUGCACUUGAGACCUUACAUUCGUCCACCUUCUUUUUAGCAUUUCACUUAUGUUCUUCUCCUUUUCGGGACAAGAAAGAAUAUGAAGGGAUAUGAUUGUUCACUUUGGAUCUCUUUAUUGGCAUCAAUUAUAUGGUCUAUCGUCAUACCAAUCUGAUAUCUAUCAACGUCUUUUUUUUGGAUAUGGAUUCAUCAACAAUGUUAGCGUGCAAACACUCAGUACAAUUUUGUGCCGAAGGGUAAUACUUUUCCCCAAAAAAAAAAAAAAAACUGGAAUCCCUCACGAUCUUCCUUCUUUGUUCGAUGAAAAAUCAUUUCUGGAAAAUUUCUUUCCUUACUUUCCAGUUUUUGAAUCACGUAAAGCUACUCGAUCCAUAAAAACGUUUACCAUGGGCUAAAAGUAAUAAAUAAGCUUAGAGAAAAAUGACUUGGCAAGAAGAAUUGUUUUCCCUGAUUUUUUUCCUAAUUUCUUUGUAAAUCGUUGUUAUUUUCAUGGAUUAUAGAAUAAACGGUGAUGAUAGUCAUCACAUGUUACUUUUAACUAUAUAAGCCACCCUUAAUGAAUUCACUUAUUACCAAUUAUGAUAAAAUCAAUUUCUUCAACUUGUUUUCAGCACGAUCAAAAUUUUGUGUUUACUUUUUCUGAGAUUGAAUUUCCUAAAACAUUUUCCCUCAAAAAAAAAAAUUCUUAGUGAGAUAAACACAACCUAAGAGUUUGUUUUCACAUGAUGUUAUUCGAUUGAAAGAAAUAGUAAGAUGGAAUUAUCAAUGGAUAUGAGAAUUGGACAUUGAUUUGUUGUCAUAUGAUUAUUGGGGGUUGAAUAAGAGAAUAAUGAAUCGGUGUAGCAUUUUAUAGAAUGAUCUUAGUGAAAUAAUUUUACGAUAAAAUCUCUACGUUUAUGGAAGUCUGAUUGGGAGGCACAGAGUGCCAAAUCAAUGGAUCAUUGAUGUGAUUCCUUCCUGAGCAAGCUGGUUCAUCAUGGACUCUUGGUAGUCAAAGUCUUCGUUGAUUUUGACUUUGCCAUUCUAAUCCUGUGACGUUUCCUUCUCGUUGCACCACUCCAUACGCUGUUCUAUCUUCUUUUUUUUCUCUCUUUCUGAGAGUGGUAGCUAAUGCGAUUUUAAAUCUAAUGAUAGUAUUUUGACGCAAGGCAAAAUUAUAUGUAUACUACAUUUUUAUUCUUUCCAUUCAAUUAAAUUAGAUUUUAUCAACUUUUCUAUUGAUUGAUGACACGAUUGGCUAGAUUAUUUAAAGAUAAAAUAUCUUCUGAACAUAUGGUAUUUGUUUUGCAAGUAUUUUUCAAAUUUCUAAAUCAAUUCCAUGGCUACUAAACAUUUUGUAUUUCACGAGAGAAAGUAGCCACUUCGCAACUAAAGUUUCAUGAUAUCGACUCGAUAGAAACCAAAAUAGCCAAAGUCAACUUCUUUCAACCAUUCUUUAGCCAACCAAAGUCACUCGUAAAGAGUUGGCCUUUAUAAUAUCAUAAGCUUUUCAAGAUCGGGAUAACGAUCAAUUCCAUGAUGAAUAAACAAAGCAUUACCUCCUCUUCAUUGAUCUCUCUUGAUCUUCUCUCCGAGAAAAAAAAGUCGAACUGUAUAACAGCAAAAUCAAUGCAGCACAUUGCGAAAUCUAAAUCACUUUUAGAAGCCAAAAUUACAAAUGGAGAUCUCCAUGGGUCAAUAAAAGUAGAACACAGGAUAUGUUGACUAAGCUAAGAGCCGGGGGCAGUUCGUAUUCUAAUGAUAUGUCUUUGUAGAGUUUGCUUUCACCCUGAAACAGAACCGCACGGUGUCCAAUGCGUCUUCCUUCUUCCAUUGAAUCAUAUCAUCCGAGAGCACCGUGUCGCCAUAAAUGCCCCCGCCCUUGCCCACAAAUUAACAAGAAUGACGGGGGCACGGGGACCCACUCGUGGCUUUGCUUGAACAUAAUUGUAGUGUCGCCUUCAGGACAGGGGUGUGUCCCAUUCGGGGAAAAAGUAUCAUGUCUAUUUUGAAGAAAACGCCCCGUCUGUUUUUCGUGCUCUCCAAACCUCAAAAAUACAAAGGAAGUUUGGGAAAAUAUGGCAAUUUCAAUGGGGACGCAUGGGCUAAAAAUCCAUGAUUUCGGGGUUGCCCUGCCAAAUGCGGCGUAUGGACUAGAUUACACCUCUCUUCACUUCCUCCCUAUUCUUCGAGCAGGUCUUGCCCGCUCGAGCCGCAGGGCAUGUGAACCUGACUCGUGCACAACUGGAUUAUGUGAAUUCUCUAUACGUUCCAUCUCAUCCAUUGGUACGCAUGACCCUAGAUUGAUUUAGCAUCUUCUUCCUAUUAAGUGGCUCCCGCUUCACCGCACCCGAUAUCAUCAAUCUCCUCAUGUGAGUCAUGUGACCACCGACAGUUGACAAGUUUAUGUUCCAUCCGCCAUGUGAGUUAUGUGAUCACCAACAGUUUAUAGGUCUAUGUUCCAUCCGCCAUAAUCAUGGCCCCUUGUCCUUUUCCCUCUGCUCCUCUCCUUUCUUCCCUAUCAAUUGUGUUUUGUCUUUUUUAUGCUGCCAAAAUACCCAAUGCCCUCUUGGCGAGGAAUUUAUUUAUCCUUUUCUUUAUGGUAUUGAUUUUAAUGAUAAACUGGGAUGAUGGCCUUUCUCUGUUCCUAAAAAAAUCUCUAGAUAUAAAUUUGGGAGUUUAAUAAAUAUACUUUAGGGGAUUCAAUGCUCUCAUGCUUUAUUCAUGUAUAGAUUCUCUGCCCCAGUCUUAAUGAUGAUCUUAGGAGUUUUAGCAUCUCGUUGAAUUACAAAGAUUUAUUCCUCCACACAUUAGAUCUGUGUUUAUCUAACAUAUUAUGGUUGUUUUCAUACAAUGAUGGUAUAGAGGAAGCUGAAUCUAGGCAUGCACCAUCAACUAACAACAUCAUAAUUAUUGAAGAAUGAAUUUUUUGGCGUGUACUCAUCACUGACAUAGACUCGAGAUAUGGUGAUUGGUUGCCACUUUUGUUUGACAUAUCUGUUCAUGUGGAACGAGUUUGUGUUUAACUUUGCAAUUGCUCCAUCAAUCCUCCUUAUGUUCUGGAUUUGGCUUUGUUUUUUAGUAUUCAUGCUCUGUUUUGAUUUGCUUUGUCAUGAAAAUUAUGUACUUCUGCAUCCUUUUGAGUAAUGAAUACAAUUUUCUUUCGAUCGAAAAAAAAAAAAAAACUAAGUCAAGCCCCGACACCACAGCCAUUCAACCAUAGAUUUGUGGCUCUGGCGACCUCUGCCAAUCGCGAGUUCCAUGUACAUAGGUUUAUGAGCUUUGUGCAAAAAGAAAAAUCCCAACGCUGAGUGCGCAAUUCCAUAAAAAACCUAACCUUUAUAUUUACCGUAAUACCAAUUAUCCAAGCUGUAUUUUUAUCAUCAAAAUCCCAAACUUAUAAGGUAACCAAAAAAUACGUUCCAUCAAAGUUUGGUCCAAGAUAAAUGUUGAAAAUCUAAUGUGGCGUCUUGGAUGGCGAUGAACUUAAAAAUCUGAAUAAAGCUUUUGAAAGAAAACUGGACUUAGCAACUUUUAGGGUCCAAGAAGGAAGAUAAUCCACUUGGCGGUCCUUUUUGUAAAAGAAAUGAGCUACAAUUUUAACUUCAAAGGAAAAGUGUGAUGGAAUACAAAUUCUUGCUUUGCUUUUACCCUUUUCCGCUAUGCGCUUGAGACUCACAUUCGUCCACCUUGAUUUUAGCAUUUCACUUUUGGUCUUACUCCUUCUCGGGAGAAGAAAGCAUAUGAUGGAUCUCUCUUUAUUUGGAUUUUUUUUUUACGACUCUCUUUAUUUGGAUGAAGAGACCAAAAUAUUCAACAUGCCCCGGUUUAGAAUUUUUUUAUCUUUCCUUUUAUUUAGUUUCUUUUCUAGGUGAACUUCGUUUAAACUCCACGACAACUCCUUCCACAUCAUUCCUUGACCUUUUCGCACGUUUCUUCCUUUGCUUCAAAUCCUUAAUCUUCCCCUCGUUGGCACUGCUCUCUGCUCACACGCCUCCAAAACCCUAACCCCAUGCCCAUGGCCAUGGUCAUUUCCGGUGAUUGACGAACUGACCUCCUCAAAGUUGCCGGGGAGUGCAUGAUCGAUGUGAACGCUCCAACACCAGCAAGACCUUCAGACUUCGAUGGGUACAGAUGUGGACUAAAUGAACCUAUUGGUAUUUGACAAGGAUGACAUGGAGGAAACACGAUGAGGCAGCCAAGGAGGAAAAAUAAAAUCCCGCAAGAUCCAAAGGUGUGAAACUGUUUGGUUCUAGAAUUCAUGGGCUCUUAAGAGUGCGUUUGGUAACGUUUCUGUUUAAAAAUUGUUUAUGGGAACAGAAAUUAAAAAAAAAAAGUGUUUAUGUUCCAGGGAACAAUUUUUGAACAAAAAAACGCGUUUGGUAAAUCUGUUCCAGAAAUACAAAAAUAAUAGAAACACGUUUGGUAAGUUUGUAUAAUUUUUUUAUUUCUUUUAAUUUUUUAAUAUUUUUAUUUUUAUUUUCUAUUUUCUUUCUUAUUUUUCUUAUUUAUUUUUCCUUUUUUCUUUUUUCUUUUUCCUUUUUCCUUUUUUCUUCUUUUGGCCGGCGGCCUCGCCUAGCCACAGCGAGGCUCGCUGGCCCCUGGCAAGGGGCGGCGUCGUUGGCCGCUGUGUGAGCUCGGCCUCGCCGGGUUUGGGCGAGAUCGAGCUCGCCCAGCCAAGCGUGAGGUCGGCCUCGCCGCGCCGGGCCGACGGUGACCCAGAGCCACACCGUCGUCUCCCUCCACCGCAUCGGCAACCGCGCUCGACGCCUCCUCACCGCCACCGCAUCGGCGACCACCCCUCCGCCUCACGCUCGAUCGACGCAUCUGCAGGUCUCGAGCCUCCGUUCGCCACCGCCGCAUUAGAUCUCACCGCGCCAUGACCCACGACUUUGAGAUCCGCUCGAUCGUCGACCCCGCGCCGGCCCACGACUCGACCGGCCGUCCUCGCCGCUCCGCUCCUAGACGUCCGCCGCUUGAGACCCCACAGCCGAGCCCCGCACCGCAGCCGCCGCCGCCGCCGCCUAGCGACCCGCGACCCAGCUCCGUCACCCGCUCGCAGGUGGAGACGCUUGCAGCGGCUGUCGGUGCCAGAGAGGACGACGGUGGAGAAGCCAGAUGGUCUCGAGACAGAGGCGGCUAUCGGCGCUGGAGAAGACGACGGUGGAGACGCUUGCAGGAGGAGAGGCUCGCAGGAGAACAUGAUUUUGUUUCUUUUUUGUUCUUCAAAUAUGUUUCAGAAAUAAGAAACAAGAAUUUCUCAUUUCUUAUUUCUGUUCCCUUUUUGUUUCUGGGAACAAAAAAACAAAAAAGGAACAGAAACGCACCAAAACGCGUUUCUGUUCCUUUUUUGUUUCCAGGAACAAAAAAACCAGAAAUUUUUGUUUCUGGGAACAGAAACACGGUGCAAACAAACGUGCCCUAAGUCUUUUCAUACGUACAUCCGAAUUUGACAAAAGCAAAAUUUAAAAUUGAAGCAAUUAAUCACGAUUGACUUGAUGAGUCAAAAAAGACUCUUGGGAAGUAUAAAAUUCAUCGAUUCGAGACCAACGGAAGAUCAAAUUUGUUUUCCGAUAGCUUUAGCUUUGAUUAAACUCCACUAAACUUUUGUUUUAGUAAAACAAAACUCCAAAGGUCUCAUUGCAAUUUUUUUUUUCAAAAUCGGACUCCUUCCAUUUAAAUUGAAAUUGAGUGUCCUCCAUUAUAGCUCAGAAGCUCCAGGAAGAAGAGAAAAUAGGUGGGAUCCCAUUGCCUUAACUCAUCUCUUUAUAAUAAAAAAAAGAGAGAGACUUUUCGUAUUAGAUGCAGGCCUUAACUAUCAAAGACCACUCCUUCACCAUAGAAAUAUCAAGGAAAUAAAAAGGAAAGAUCUUUUUCAAUGACUUUUGGGUAGGUCAUUGAACUUAGAAGCCAUAGGAUUGGCUGAACAUGCAGAGAGAGCCAGUUUGCUGCAAAAUUUGGUCAAUAACGAUGAUUCCUUGAAGCAUCGGUCAAGCUUGCCAAAGUUGACAAUUAUUUAUGUUUCUUAACACAAAAAAAAUCACUAGACCAUGUGAUGCAAAAAUUUUGGGAUUAGAAUCGACUUUUGCGCCCCCCCCCCCCCCCCCCCAAAUAAAUGGCAUAUUCAUUCAAAGUCAAGUCAACAAAAGCAUACACCAAAUUUUGGUAAUUGACGAGUGUAUUAAUUUGGAGUUUUAUCAUUUAUUUGUCACAUAUGAUUGGUUUGUGCUUUUUCCUAGUAUUAAUCCUAUUUAACGGAAACUAAUGGAGGGUAAAUUUGUUACAAUGUGCCGAUUUGAAGUUUUUGGUUAUCAAAAAAUUAAUUUGGGAUAAAUUUAUCACGGGUAUAUAAGUUUGGGAUUUUUCGUGGUAUUAACUCUAAAAACAAUAAGAUUUAGAGAAAAACAACUUGGCAAGAAGAAAUCAUUACCCUUAUUUUCUUGCUACGCUUUAAAGUGAGAAGAAUAUACUUUAUCAAUGCUCAAUUUUUCUACAUUCCCAAGCACGAUUAAUCUAAUAUUUUACAAAUAUGAUUUCAUAAUUUCUAUCUUGAUUUCUUUGUAAUCGUUUUAUUUCAAUGGAUUAUAGAAUUAAUGAAGAAGAUAUCAAUUCUAGUUUAUUAGUCAUUCCAUGUUACUUUUAACGAUACAAGCCACAUCUAGUGGAUUCACUUAUUACUAAUUACAAUAAAAUCAGUUUUUUUCAACUUGUUUUCACCAUAAUCAAAUUUUUCCGAUUCCCUUUCUCUGAAAUUGAAUUUCCUAAAAGCAUUUUCCCGCAGCAAAAAUUAGCGAGAUAAAGAAAUCUUCAGGGUUUUUAUUUUUAUUUUUAUUUGAUUUUCUAAUUUCAUAUGACAUUAUAUGAUGGGAGGGAAUUGUAUGAUGAAAUUAUCAACGAAUAUGAGAAUUGGAGAGCAAUUUGUUGCCAUGUAAAUUUUGUGGUUGAAUGGGAGAAAGAUCAGUAAGUGUUGGAUUUUACAGAGUGAUAUGGUGACCUUUUUUUUCUCUUCUUUUUGAUAAAAUCACUACAUUUAUGGAUGUCUGUCUGCAAGGGACAAAGUACCAAAUGAAUGAACCAUUGGUGUGAUUCCUUCUUGAGCAAAAGCUGGUUUAUCAUGGACUGUUGGUAGUCCAAGUCUUUGUGGACUUUGACUUUGCCCUUACUGGUAGACUAUUCUUUUAUUUAUCUAUUUUCUUUGGAGAGUGGUAGGUAAUGCAAUCUUUAAUUUAAUGAUUUUAUUUUGAUGCAAGAUAAAAUUGUAUAUAUACUGCACUUCACAUGAUAACUAAAAAUUCUAUGUUUCACGAUGGAAAAAUAGCCACUUCACAAUUGAAGUUUCACAAUGCUAACUCAACAAUAGCCAAGGUAAGUUGCAUAUACCAAAAUCAGCUUUUGUCGACCAUUUUUUAGUCAAUAAAAGUCACCCGUAAAGCGUUGAUAUGUACGAUAUCAUAAGCUUUUCACGGUCCAAAUUAUGAUCAAUCCAAUGAUGAAUAAACCAAGCAUUGCCUCAUUUCCGUUGAUCUCAUUUGAUGUUUUCUUUGAGAAAAGAUUCAGACAUGGAAAAAAGUUCAGGAGCCCUACUUAUCAAGUGCUGCUAGGCCGGAAAAAAUAAAAAUCCUUGAUCAAAUGGUGGCCGCCAAUCAAUCAACUAUCAAAGUAAUUAACUCAUUGGGGACCUCAACCAUCAUUCAUGGCGAAACUGGCCCGUGAGGAUCCAUGAAAAUCUUGUCAAAAAAGCAAAGUGAUAGUGAAAAGAAAUAAAGCAAUACGGAAAAGAAAAAAAAAUAUGGAUUCUAGUGUGGAAAAGAAGACCCGCCUUUGCUUUAGCAUGUGCAUUUGGUAGUCCAAGUCUUCGUAUGCUUGGGUCAAUCAUUGGUUUGAUUCCUUCUUGGAGUAAAGCUGGUUCAUCAUGGACUGUUGUUAGUCCAAGUCUUCGUAGACUGACUUUGCCCUUCUAAUGCUGUGAUGUUUCAAUCCAAUGAUGAAUAAACCAAGCAUUGCCUCCUCUCUGUUGAUCUCAUUUGAUCUUUCCUUCGAGAAAAGAUUCAGACAUGGAAAAAAGUUCAGGAGCUCUACUUAUCAAGUGCUGCUAGGCCCAAAAAAAUAAAAAUCCUUGAUCAAAUGGUGGCUGCCAAUCAAUCAACUAUCAAAGUAAUUAACUCAUUGGGGACCUCAACCGUCGUUCACGGCGAAACUGGCCCGUGAGGAUCCAUGAAAAUCUUGUCAAAAAAGCAAAGUGAUAGUGAAAAGAUAUAAAGCAAUACGGCAAAGAAAAAGAAUAUGGAUUCUAGUGUGGAAAAGAAGACCCACCAUUGCUUUAGCAUGUGCAUUUGGUAGUACAAGUCUUUGUAUGCUUGGGUCAAUCAUUGGUUUGAUUCCUUCUUGGAGCAAAGCUGGUUCAUCAUGGACUGUUGUUAGUCCAAGUCUUCGUAGAUUGACUUUGCCCUUCUAAUGCCGUGAUGUUUCAGUUCUCUCGCACCUCCCCUAUGCUGUUCCGCCUUAUUUUUUCUCUGUUUUAGAGUGGUAACUAAUGUUAAUGCCAUGGUAAAAUGAGGCACAGGGAGCUUAGAUUUUAGAUUGUUGGCAUCUAUAUCAAUAUCACAUCAAACAAUCUCAUGCAAUUCAUAAUCUAAUGAUUGUAUUUCAGUGCAACGCAAAAACCAAAUAUAUGCAGCACUUUCGUACUUUCCAUUAAGUUAAAUUAGAUGGUAUCAACUUUUUUUUAUCGAUUGAUGACAUAAUUGGCAAGACUAUUUAAAAAUCAAAGUAUUUCUAAAUAGAUAGUGUUUGUUUGCAAGUUUAUUUUAUUUUAUUUUAUUUUAUUUUUCUAAAUCAAUUUUGUGGUAAUUAACAUUCCAUGUUUCACAAUAGAAAACAAAAUCUCGCUAGAUCAGAGGUAUAAAGAUGUUCCAUUCUGAAAUUCAUAAGUUCUUAAAUCUUUUCAGGCAUAAAUCCAAGUGUGAAAAAAACCAACAUUUAAGAUUGAAGUUAUUAAUCGCGAUGACUUGAUGAGUCAAAAAACACUUUUGGAAAGUAUCGAAUUCCCAUUUGAGUAGCAUCUAUUUUCACAAAUCUAUUUAUUCACUUGCUAAAUAUUAAAUCAUGAUUUGAUCAUAUCACUUAAUGAAUCAAUUUUAGUAUACUUAUUUAAAUUACUUGUAAAUAACCUAGAUUUAUUUGUUAAACUUCAAAUGAUGAAGAGCUCAUGCUUAUUGAGCUUCCUCCUUUAGCUCAAAAGCUCAGGGAGAAGAGAAAAUAUGUGGGAUUCCAUUGCCUAAUUCUUACUCUUUUUAAAGGAAGAGAAAGACUUCUCAUACAAAUGUGGGCCAUAAUUAUUGAGACAUUUUUUCCUUUACCCUAGAAUACGUAGGGAGUCAUGGGCCAGUUUUGCUGCAAAAUUGGUUGGCAAGCAUGCUUCCUUGCAGCAUCAUUGCGGCCUGUCAACCGUGACAAAUAUUACGUUUCUGAACACGGAAAAUCACUCGACUAUGUGGUGCAGAAAUUUUGGGAUGAAAAUCUACUUUUGCCCCCAAAUAAUUCAUUCAAAGUCAAGUAAACAAAAGCAGACACGGAACUUCCAAAACAAGUUCGUUUCCCCCAUUCUAAUUAAGGUGAACUCCAGUCGGUCCAGUUUAAUGGGCUGAUCAGGCCCAGGCCCGGAAUAACUCUGAAGCAUAAAGCCUAGUGGAAUUAUCACGCUUGAUCUUCAUCAAAGCACUCCCUAGUGGUCAAUUGAAUUAAGAAAAUAUUACAUUUUAUUUCGGAGGUGAACCAUCCUUUGCAUUUAACCUGUCGUUAGUGUCAAAAAUUGCUUAUCACAAAACGUUUUAGUUGGACAUUAAAUCCAUGCAUUGUGCUGAUUAUUAUAUAAAACAUUACUAAAAUAGAGUACACAAAACCAAUGUGUAAGCACAGUCUUGUGGCGUAUUAAAACUUUGAGCCACCAACAAGCGUGGUAAAUAAGCUCAUGAACAUGAUGUGACCUAUUAGAUCUCAUUUGGAAUUUAACUCAAUUAGCAUUUCCACAUUCACAAUUGAACUCGAAAGCCUCUAUGAUGAUUGGGAAAAGUUUAGUGAAGCCUUUCUAAUGACUAUAAUGAUUAUAAAAAAAAAAAUAUUGACUCCCCCUGAAUUCAAGUAUGAAAGUUUUCUAUUUCAAAUAAUGUUUCGGAGGUGUGGCUCUUUGAUCUCUCAGUUAAUGCUUGUGGAUUAUCUAUUACAAAGGGGGAAAAAAGAGGCAAAAAUAAAAGAACUUAUGGACAACACGAGACUAUUCCAUGUUAAAAUUUGAGAAUUGGAAAAAAUUUGCCACGCUUCUAUUAAUUUGAAAUUAAAUGAUUUGGGUUGCUAUUUCAGAUUUACCUUGACAUUAGAUGAUGUCAAACCAAGUCCAUUUGCAGCUAGAAACAUUUUUUUAGUAUAAUUAAGAAUUGAAAUGGCUCCUCUUCAACUUCUGUGAAUCCAACUUAAGAGCCAUGCUUUACUGGAAAAACAAAUUGGACAUGCAUUUACCGAUGUAGAGUAUUAAUUUUCUUCACGCCACAAUUUUGUGUUGGUUAUUGUCAUAGAGGUGAUGCCAUAAGUGCUAAGAUACUUUCACACACAUUGUAACAGCUACUUUGAUGUAUAUAGUAUUAUGAAGUUAUCGUUCUCUUGCGUGAAGAAAGGAAAAAUGAUGCUUAGCUCUUUGUUGGUUGAUCUCCAACUUGAAAAGUUUGCUUUUUACAUGGAAAUGAACAAAUAUUGGACAGGGAAGAAAAAAGGGGAAAAACUCAAGUCUAAGUGCAUAUGGCACCAAAAGGAAAUCUGAUUUUGAUAAGACUAGAUAUGAAUCGUAGUUCAGAUUCAAGUUGAUUCAGUGAGGGCGACUGCAAAAGUCACCGAAUGGAUCAGUCUUUUCCUUUAGUUUUUGUCCUAUUUAAUAAAAUAAAAAAGUGUGGGAGGAUGUUGCAGAUGUCCAUGAUGGACACGACUUCUUGUAACACUAGAAAACCACUAGAAGACACUCAGGACCAAAGCAUGUUGUGAAAGAAGCACAUUGGGGCAUUGACCAAUUUCAAAUAUAGUAAGACAAAGCAAUAAAUUAUAAGAUAUCUAAAAAUCACCACAUAAUAUAUUGACAAAAUAAGGCACUUGGAAUUUAUAUAAUUUGACCCAACCUCACUAGGUAAGUUAAUUAGCAAAUCAAGCCAUUGAAACAUAUAAACCAAACCAAACCAAAACAAAGAAGAUCUGAACAAGGUUAUUUGCAGAAAUAUAUCACUAGUCAACAUGCAAAGUGCACAAAAAAGGAAGAUUUACAUAAACCUCUUUGUAAGUCAUAUGUUUAACAGGAUAAGAAGCACUUCUUAUCAGACAAAAAAAGUACUCAACAGGGCAGAUGUCCAUUUUUUUUUUCUUCCGCAGAAAUUUGCCAAGUUUGAUCAAGCAACUCCUUAAUGUGCUGAGUUUCCAAAUCUCCCGUGGUGAAGAAUGCCUAUUUGUUUCAAUUUCCUCCACAUUGAUACAUCAGAAACAUCAGGAUAGAGUUGCCAGAGAAGAUACGCAAAUUGUCUAGUGAUUCUGGUCAACCAGAUUACCACAAUGAUCUAAAUGAAAAUCCAUUAGUUUCUUCAAGCCACUCAGUCGGCCAAUCUGUCCAGUCGGUUGAGUUCGUUCAGCUCCAAAUUCCAGAUUUAGUCUGGUGGCAUCUUUAUCCACUUGUAGUUUCUCAAAGACUAGCGUUCAAGGCUUAUGAUGGUAACCAAUCGAGUGAGGAAGCUCCAAGAUCCCAGUUCCUUACAGAGAAAGCCUCAACAGGGAAGUCGGGUAACUGAUUGAAGGUUUUGUAGUCAGUGAGGAACGAUGGCAAGCACAGAGAAUUUCUAGACUCUUCAAUCCUUGACAUUCAAGCAUAUGAUUCAUUGAUGUCCCAUCAAUCAAGGGUUCUCUCAAACAUUCCAUUUUACUAGGCUCCUAGGGAGAUGGUGGAGAUCAAUCUUUCUAAAUUCACAUGUAUCUGAAAUCUAGCAUCUAACAUAACCAUUUUGACAUCGAAAGGUCCACCUGAUCUGACUGAAUUGAGGUCAUAUAGCAAUCUCUUCCAAGGCAGUAAGCCCAUGUCAGACUUUCCCCUUCCAUCUUGGUAGUUUGUAGAUGUACGUUCCCGAUAAGUUAGAGACUGUUGAUGUCUGUCCAUCUUGGUAGUUCUUACAAUAUUUUCUGUUCGUGUGAAGUCCUCCGAGAUGCACUAACCGAGACAUACUCCUUUGAUCAUUUUAUUCAAAUCAAUUCACUGUUCCCGCUGCUCCAUGGUUUAUAGCAGCAUCGUCAUAUGGACCACCCAUCUCCAGUGAUCUUACUUGUGCUUAGACUCCUCUGGAAGAAAUAUUUGAACAGAACAGCAGAAGCAACGAUGGUAGCAACUGUCACCACACACAGGACAACCUCAAGUGCAUCAAUCGUUUCACGCCAGCACAAGUGGUCCACCUUGGCAGAAACAACAAUUGUUGAGCUGCUGCCCCACGUGUCGGAUUCUGAAUGGUCUUUACCCUAAGCCUACGUGGAGGGUAAGACUCACCCAAUAUUUCCUCUGGAUCGGAAUCCGAAGUGACGAUCUGGAAUUAAAAUGGGAGGAGGAGAGUCGGAGAGGGAUGGUGGGAUAUUCGAAGUCGUAUCGGAGUCAGUGUCGGAAACUGGAGGAAGCAGAGGAGGGUUCUUUACGUCUUUUCGUAUUUUUGUUUUAAUUUCUUUUCACGCUUUUUCCUUUUUAUCUUUCGGAAUUUGGUUUUUUCCUUUCGGUUGCUCUUUUCCUUUUUCGCUACAUGCGAGUGGCCCGAACAUUUUCCGCCAGUAAGAGGGGAAAGGGGGAGGGGUCAAAAUUGUAUUUUCGUUUCCCCUGCUGCAGAGUUGAAGGCAACAGCGUCAGUUCCCGCGCGAGAUGGGACUUGCGGCUCGAGGAUUAGAGGCGGUCCGACCUGCCCUUGCUGCCUGACGCAACCAAUUCUUAACGUUGCAGUCUCAUGUACACUGUGGAAGAUUAAGUUCGAACCAAAACUAAGUUUACGUACGUAUACAGGCCUAUUAUUGCUGUCUUGCCAGCGUGCUAGAAGCCAGGAAAUAUCUCCAUAUGAGGUAGCGAUAUAUACAACCUCGGCCAGGAUUCGCUCACAAUGUGAUUCAAAUUAUUCAAUUCAUGGAAAAUAGUGUGACCUACCUAAUGUUAACGGUGCCAUGACAACAUUUAUGUUUCUUUAUUUCUUUUUUUUUGUUCCCCGGAACAUGUUUAGAACAGAAAUCUAUUUGGUAACGCAAUUUCAUUUUUCUAUUUCUAGAAUAUAUUUAUAUUUCAGAAAUAAAUUUGGAGCGGAAAUCAGAAGUUAAAAUUUUUAGCUUUUCUAUUUCUGAAACAUAAAUGAGAAAUCAAAAUUUUUCGGGAGAAUUACCAAAAAAGUCCUAAACCUAUUGCAAUUGUGUCAAUUCAGUCCUAAACCUUUUACUUUUGUUCCAGUUCAGUCCUUCCGGCCAAAAUUAGCCGGCCGGCGCUGACGUGGCAGCCGGCCGGUGCCGGCGAGCUUUUUUUAAUAAUUUUUUAUUUUGCAAAAACAAUAUUAAUUUUUUUCUUUUUUUCCCUUUUUUUUCCUCCUCCCGCCGGAUCGCCUCAGUCCGGCGACCGGCCAGGCUGGCCGGUCGUCGGAGCCCAAGGAAGGAGGAGGGAGGAGGAAAAAAAAAGGAAAAAAAGAAAAAAAUUAAUAAAAAAUUUUAAAAAAUCAAAUAUUAUUAAAAAAAACUCGCCGGCACCGGCCGGCUGCCACGUCAGCGCCGGCCAACUAAUUUUGGCCGGAAUGACUGAACUGGAACAAAAGUAAAAAGUUUAGAACUGAAUUGGCCAAAAAAAAAAGUUUAGGACUGAAUUGGCACAAUUGCAAUAGGUUUAGGACUUUUUUGGUAAUUCUCCCAAAUUUUUCUCAUCAUUCACUCUCAUCACCACCUGUCGCCCACUUGCCGCUCGUGGGAUGCUAGACGCCCACCGCCGGUUGCCGACCGCCCGCCAUCAGCCCUGACCACUAGCCACCGACCGCCAGCCACCAAACUCUAGCCACCUGUCGCCAACUGCCGGUCGCUGGAUGCCGAACGUCCACCGGUUGUUGGCUGCUCAUUGCCAAUCAUUGGAUGUUGGAGGCUCACCACCAACCACCGGAUGUCCGCUACCAACUGUCUGCCGCUCGACACCGGCCGUUGAAUGUUGGCCGCUUGCCACCCAUCGCCGACCUCUUGUCGUCGGACUCCGGACAUCGGACAUUGGAUGUCGAACUUUGGACGUUGGACGCUAGUUGCUGGUCGUCGGACUCUAGACUUCAGCCACUCGCCACCGAUCGUCGAACUCUAGCGCUGGACGCCGGACUCCAGACUCCGACUACCCACCGUCAGUCACCGGACGCCAAAUGCCGAUCGUUGGACGUCAGACUCCGACCACUGGAUGCCGAUCGUUAUUGCUUUGAGAAAUAAAAAUUUUAUUCUAUUAUCAAACGAAUUUUUAUUUCAGAAAUAGAAAUUUUAAAUUGUUAUCAGACGCGUUUUUUUGCUCAAAAACCCGUCCAUAGAAUAAAAAUUGAGAAAUCAAUUUAUGGCCAUAAAUUGAUUUCUAUUCCAGAAAUUUUGUUAUACGCACCCUAAGUCACCGCAUUUGGGGGUGGGCUACAAUUUUUUCACUUUCAUUGUUCUUUCUUUUUCAAAUUGUUUCACGUGAAUGAGUCGUGUAUGAAUUUGAUAAAAGCGCGAGAGGUGUAUAAAUUUAUUUCGUGCUUAUUAACACCUAAGUUUGACGAGUGACCGAUCUAUCAACACUGGCCAUAAAUGAAGAGAUUAGGGGAUUGUUCUCUGCAAAAAGUUAUUGUCACACCCUUCACGCUCUUGAAUCGCACCUUGUUCUUCACUUCCGUUGUUGUUUUGUGUACUAACUUCUCUGUAUUUUGGAAUAAGACGAAUUUUUAGAUUAAGCUUGAAUCUGAAAAUAUUUGACUAGAGAAGUUUGCCAUCAUAAUGAAGUAUUUGCAAUUUCAUAUACCUCCACUAAUAUAAAUAGACAAAUGAAUUAUAUCAAUUUUAAUUUGAGCGUAUAGUAACCAACUAAUUGAACUGUAGAGCACCCAUUUGCCCAACAGAAUGUCUCCUUCUCUUUGGCUAAAAUACAACAUAAGGCAUCCCCACGCAAUCUUUCUAAAUGUUCCGAUUUUAGCAAAACUUACUUCAGUGCUCUGAUGCACACGACGUAAAUCACCAAAUGUGACAUUGAAAAAGCCUGCCAACAAAAUAAGAUCUGAAGGGCAAAUCAGGAAAGAUCGUAAAGAAUCUAGAAUGGAACAUAUCGCAUUUGAGGGUGAUGGUUGUUCUGACAUGCUUGAUUGCUGUUUUGACAUGCUUCAUUGCUGCAAAGUGAGGCGAUACUCAAGCUUUUCAAGUUCAAGAGAUUGGAAAUGCUAUCAUCAGCUCGUCGCUCGGUAUGAAUAUGUAGACAGAGAAGAAUUUCUAGGAGUCUCGGCACUUGGUGUAUCUCAACACAUGUCGGUUUCAAAAUCUUCCAAGAUGAACAUCUCCAGAUAUCAUAGGAAUUUCUGAUUAGAAAAUUUUCACUAAGCUCUGCAUCUAUUCUUCUAGCUAUUCCUGCUUCCAUACUGCACUAGUUAUUGUUCUCAUGAUAGAGAACCUCAUCUUCAAUACUUUCAAAUACUUCAUGUUCCCGACCAACCAGGCAGCUUCUCUAUGUCCAUGUUCAAUUUAUCGAACUUAGCAAGUGAUUCCAAAUUCCAGAUUGAGUCUAGUAGUGUCUUUAUUGACUUGCAAUUCCUGGAAGACUAGUGUUCAAGGCUUACAAGGGAUCCACUUGAGUUGGGAAGCUCCACGAUCCCAGCUCCUCACAGAGAAAGCCUCGAUAGGGAAGUUAGGUGACAGAUUGAAAGUUUUAUAGUCAAUGAGGAACAAUGGGAAGCACAGAGGACCUGCAAGCUCUUCAAUUCUUGACAUUCAGGCAUAUGCUUUAUUGAUGUUAUACAGCAAUCCCUUUUUAAGGGAGUUAAUUCCAUGUCAGACUUUCCCCUUCCAUCUUGGUAAUUCGUAGAUGUAUAUUCCCUUUUAAGAUAGAGAUUAUCGAUGUUUGUCCAUUAAAACCAACAUGUGAAAUUGCGAAUCGAACAAAGUCAACGUCUAGCAAGCUAGUCGCAUAUCUUUCUCCCAAAUAUCAUGUACUUUUAUUCAUGUGAAGUCCACCAUCAGGUACUAACUGAGUUAUCCAAAGUUAGAUUCAUCUACUAGUAAGAAUACUUUGAGGGACCUUGUUUAGCUUUAUUAUACUUGUUUCAUCGUUUGAUUCCGUCAUUUCUCGGUUCACGCUGUUCCAUGGUUUAUAGCAGCAUCGUUAUUUGGUUUGCCCUCUCUAGUGAUCUUGCUGCUCUUAAUCUUCCCUGCUCCAUGGUCUAUAGUAGCAACUGUCGCCACACACAAUGCAACCACAAGUGGUGAAUCGUUUUGCACCAGUACAAGCGGUCCACCUCAGCAGAAACAACAAUUGUUGAGCUGCACGAGGAUUGGGGGUCGUCUGACUUGGCCUCCCCGCCCGAGUCGCAAUGGGUCAGGAUUUUUUCUUUUUUUUCCUUUGAUAAAUUAUAAAGUGUGGGAAGAGAGGACCAAUACAGUUAUCCAUUCUUGUUGUUACAUAAAGCGUUAUGUACAUUACAAAAUAUCUCCAUUAAGCCAUAACCACUCGAUUCAUCGACAAGUGUGCGAAUCUAUCACCAUAACUAAUAUGCCAAAAGCCUAAAAAUCUUUCUACAUAAUGUUGUGAAUAUCUAAAAUAUUGAGUGGUGAAAAGUCCACUCAUAACAUGAUUCGAACUCAUGAAUUAAUAGAAGAUGGCGUGAUCCCUUCAUCAUUGGGCUACUUUUUUUUUUUUCACUUUCAAAGUGAGCCUGAUCCAAAAAUGAGUGAUCUAUAAAUCUAUUUUGUGCUUAUAAAAUUUGAUUUAAGUCGAAUGAGGUGUUGAUGUGUUAAGGUUACCAAUAAAAGAAGAGGUUUGAUGACUGGUUUCUAUAAAAUUGAUUGAUUUAAUCUUCAUAGUUUUAUUGAGUUUCACUUAUUAUUUAGGGUUAAUACCUUGAAAAACCCCAAACUGGUACACUUGUGACAAAUUUAUCCCAAACUAUUUUUUUGACCGCAAAAAACUUCAAACUGGUAUAUCUUUGACAAAUUUACCCAAACUGGUACACUUGUGACAAAUUUACUCUCUGUUAGUUUUUGUUAAAUUUUAUUUUCAAAUUAUUAAGUUAAAUGAUACGUGACAAUUGACCGGUAUACUAAUUUAGGAUUUUACGCUCCGUUUGUUACCGUUUACAAUUUCUGUGAUUUUUUUUGUAGUAUUUAUCCAAUUUAGCAUAGGGUAUAUUUGUCACAAAUUUACCAUUUUGGGGGUUUUUUGCAGUCGAAUAAAUUAGUUUUGGGUAAAUUUAUCAUAAAUGUACCAGUUUAGGGUUUUUUAUAGUCAGUCGGGGUAAAUUUGUCACAAGUAUACUAGUUUGGGGUUUUUCAUGGUCAAAAAAAUAGUUUUGGGUAAAUUUGUUACAAGUGUAUCAGUUUGGGGUUUUUUAGGGUAUUAACCUUAUUAUUUAACUUCCAUCAUUUUGUUUUGUGCACUAACUUUUCUGUGCUUUUUAUAAACAUUUGACUGUGAAUAUAAAUCCGUGAGAGCCACCAAACAUCACGCAUGCCAUGCAUCAGGGUUCUUAUAUUAUUUUGUUUGCGUGAGCUAAUUGCGAUUUAAGGGGAAAAAAAAAUGUUCCACGCUCUUUGAUAAUUUGAAAAUGACAUUUUGUGACUUUUGUUGUAUAAGGUUAUAGACUAUUUUUACUUCGAACACAGGUGAUGAAAAAGUCCAAUGACUUUUGUUCUCAAAGAUUAUGGACCUUUUUACUUGUUUAAAUCUUUUACAUGUAAAGUAUCAACUCAUACAUCCAAUAAGCAAUUAUGAAAUGACGAUGGCAUCAUUCUAUAAGAUAGUGAUCAGUCUGAUCAUAUUCACACUAAAUAUUUUGUAAAUUCUAAAUAAAACAUAUACGUUCAUCUACAAAUAAAAACUAUCAAAUCCACUUCCAUAUAAAUUUUAAAGAAUAGAAUCGAUCUGUCAUGAUAAGUCACGUUCUGGAAUUCUCUCUCAACCCGAGAAAUAUGGGCUCCACAAAUAAGCAUAAUUCACUUGUCUCGCAUGUUGAAUAAUAUUCUUUUCAAGUUUGAAUAUUAUUGGCAAAGAAAAAGUUUGAAUAAUUCGAGUUAUUGGAUUGAUUCGAGCUUGGAAUCGGAAAAAUUUUACUCAAGCAGCUUGUGAUCAAAGGAAGCGCCAAAAGAGGAAGAGACAGAGAACGGAAAUUUGUCCAGGAGCACGCCUUAUUUUAGCCAAACUUCCUUCAUUGCCCUCACGGAAACGACGAAAUCACCGGACGUGACACCGAAAAUGCCCACCGACAGAGCAAGAGCCCGAGGUCGAAUCAGGAAAAUUCGCAAAUCCGUCGUCCUCUCCUUCCUUUCCCCCCCACCCAAAAACAAAAGCUCGCCGUAGCUUUCGAUCGCCAUCCGCCGCGAACAUCGGUACGGAGUCCACGAACGCUGCGACGACCAGGAUUCGAGGUUUGAAUUCGAGCAAUGCGCACGAAGAACGCAAUCGAUCUCUCCACCUCGCCGGGCGAUCGCGCCAUUUUGAUUGCCUGAGAUUGGAAUGAUGUUGUUGCGCGGAAGAAUGUGGAGUUGAGGGUGAUGGUUGUUCUGAAGUGCUUCAUUGCCGCGAGUGAAGGCGAGAGGUAAUUGCAAUUCGUGUUCAUGUAAUCAGUUACGGCUCUGAUCCUCCCACUUGAUUGGGAUUGGGAGUCUAGUAUCGAGCAUGUCGGUUUUGAGGUUGGACAGUGAGGUUUGUAGUGUGAAUUUGGCGGAUUAGGCACUUCAGGGUUGGGGGGGAUCGUCGACCGUGUUGUGGAGCUGUAGUGCCUGAUUUAAUGGGGCAUACUAUUACUGAAUUAUUUGGUUGGAUUAGCUAAGCUCUUGGAUUGCCGAGUUUGGAUCAAUACUACAACUGGAAUAUGGUCUGAUUGAAUUUCCAUAUAUUUGUUCGAUUCAAAUAUUUCAUCCCGCUGUUUCUACUUUGGGGAUAAAAUUUGUUGAGUGUCUCACAGUAGUGAUUGACUAUGGCUAUUCGGCCUUUCUCCAGUCGAGUAAUGGACUGUAGCUUGUAGGUUUUAGCAACUAGCUUUAUGGGAAAGAGGAGCCUUAUGCUUUUCACUUAUUCGCCUUUCGUUGCAUUUGAACAUAUAGUUCUUUAAGUUCACGAACAAGGAUGGCAGAAAUAUACUGAAAUAUUAUUUUGAGUUGAUGUUUCCUUGUGAAGUGUUCCUCUUACUUGAUUGUCGAAAUAGCUUGCUAGAGACAUAAGAAACUUGCUCCUUUGCUUGUCAUUAAAUGAGUUUUUGACCACAUUUUCAAUGUGAAAUUUUCUCAACUGGUAAAUGCAGAACUCAGAGUGAGGUCCAAGGCUUGUAAAGCUGUUUACAAUCGCACUCUUGCCAUGAUAUCGGCGGAGUAUGCAUCUGCUGUAAGUGUUCUUUAUAAGGAUUUUUACAUUUACCUAGAGCUUGUUGUUGUUAUUACUCUUCAGGUUUCACCAUUUAAAUACAAUAAUAUUGUAACUAGAUGCACAGCUUUUUAUUUUGCAUGUUUAAUGUCAGAUUUGACAGAACUUAGUAGUCGGACUUGUCCUAGAUGUGAUGGAAAGACCAAGGUAAUUUAAGAUGGUUUAAUAUGACAUUGUUGCUAAGAUUGCCUGAACAAUGGAUCCUCAGUACAGUAUUAAAUAGUCAAUUUUGUGGGCAUAUGCCGCCUCCUCUUAUUAGCUUCUAAACUGGUAGUUAAUGCCUUUUGAUAUGAAAGCUGGGGUUCAAAUUCAUUGGAUAUGAUAGUGGGCAUUCAGCACUGCUUACACGCAAAUCAUUUGGUUGCAGUGGCUUAAAAAUCUGCAAUGCUUGCGAUGCCUAUAUGUUUAAAUUGCAUCUAAUUGUUUAUAUCUAUUUCUAAACAUACAUAUAUGUUACCUGUAGGCAUACGUUGGGGUGGCCAAGGAUCUUAAUGCUGUGAUUAUAGCUUUUAGAGGUGCACAAGAACAUAGGUAUGCAUGUUAACUUUAGCAACUCUUCCCCUUACAAAUGACUUGCAAAGGUUUUGAUGAAAAUUUAGGCUAAGAAGAGCAGCCUCCUGUGAGUGCGUACACAAGACCCAUGGGUCGACUGUCCAUAAGAAGGGAAAAGGGUGAAUCAUUUCCACCAAGAUGCAAAAGUUACCUUCUUGUAAUUUUAGAUUGGUUCAUGAGAAGAUCACAUACUUCACUAAUUUUGUUCUGUGAAAAAUUCUAUCACCUUUCUUUGUCAUUUGAGCUUUUCAGGUAGUGAUUACUUCUAUUUAUGUCUACAGCAUACAGAAUUGGGUUGAAGAUCUCUACUGGAUAGUGGAAACAGCUUGACGUACUACCCUGGCAUGCAUGGUGCCCUGGAUAGCUCUAAAGAUGAUUAUGCCUCUUGCAAGCUGUGGAUUCUUCUCAUUUGGAUUGAGUUACAGUCUUACUCUAUUGAUUUCUGCUUGGGUUAAUCAUGGAUUUUACUAUUCUUAUCUUGAUAUGACAAUUCAACCUGGUAUUUUGGAUGCUGUUAUAAGAACCAAGGAUUUAUAAGAGGACAUCAAUGUCACGGUGACAGAGCAUUUUAUGGGAGGGGCUAUGGCAUCUUUUUGCGGAAUUGAUCUUGUGGUAAGAUAGUUAAAAACUGCUAUGGUCUGGAAUUGUGAAUUUUAUCGUUUUUUUCCUAUUGCGUUCUUCCAAUAUUCAGAUGAUAAUCUGUUAAGAGUCAUCUAGAAUUCUCUGUCAAAUCUGUGUUGAAGAGUCUAGACUCUUUAUGUGGAUCUUGAACUUUCUAUUGCUCUCAUAUUUAUAUUCACAAUUCAUCAUAGACAGCAUCUUGUUUUCUUUCAGUUUUGGUAAGUCAAACCAUAGACAAAACACAAGCAGAAUGGGGUGCAAAUAGCCAUUUACGCUAACCACCAAUUGUUUAAGUAUCUAGCAAUGUAAAUUAAGUCUUACCCAUAAAGCUAUGGAGCUUCAAGUUGGUUGAAUACCUAAAUAUAGUGGAUAAGGUUACUUCCAACUAAUCAUUACAAGGUUUACUUGCUGGAAAAUUUAUGGAGUUGUCGAUAUGUUUAUGGUCUGGACAUAUAACUUUUUAAAGCACUUGAAGCUCAAGUUUUAUGUCAUGUAAUCUUGAAGUGCUAAUGCAUUUUAAGAUAGAUUAUAUAUCAAUCCUAAAUGUGUGUUUGGUGUACUGUUUCUAUCUAAGUCUCUCUCUAAUCAAAAGAAGCAGCUCCUCUUUAGUAGGACUACAAGGCCAGAUAUGUUGUAGGCUGGAGCCAAUGUUAAGAUGUCUAAAUUAUGCCUUUUCCCUCAGCUUUAUUGGACGGAGUGUUCCAGGGUACAUUUGGAGGCACCUGUUGCUCAACUGGUACCAGAAAUGGUGCCCAAUCCAAAAUCAUGUCCCAUUGAUUCUCUUCUCCAUGACAAGUGGUGAUUUUUUAGAGUUAAACUUUAUCUUGAAGUCUGAUUACACUCAUGUUCACUUGGCCUAUGAUAGGAUCAUAGGUUGCAUGGACUUUAGACUAUACCCUUUCUCAAAAUAUUAGUAGCAAGUAUAACAUCUUGUCCUAAAACUUUUAAAUGAUUUAAAAUUUUAUUUUUGUUUACUGGUUUCUUGCUGAAAAUUUUGUCGAGCCAAUUGUGACGUCCUGCCCAUUCGUUGCGAUCCUUUUUAAGAUUGAGUUUCUCCUUCGCUACUUGUGACAGUAAGUUUUGUAGUUCAAGAGGCAUUUUCACCAUGAACCAGGAAUUUUUUGUUUAUGUUAUUAGCAGGAUGUGACUCACCCCACCAACAUUCAAGUGCUUCUUGUGGAAGCAAUUAAAUGCGCUUCUGUUGUAAAUUCAUGUCCAAUCCCACUAUUCCAUAUUAUUAAACACCUUUUUGUGGUGCUGAGGGUGGGUUUGGUUUUGUUGUGUGUGGGGUUUGGUGUUGGGAAACUUAUGGAUGGGAUCUUGAUGGAGUUAACACUAGACCUUCGACCCUUAUGGAGACAAAGGGCUGUCUAUUGUUCACCUUUGUAUAUGAAAUGCAAUUUAUGGUUAUUGAUGCAUAGUGCUUUUUUCCCAUCUUGGAAGGGCUAUUGAUGUAUUGACAUUCAAGUUAUUUGGCUGUCUAAUUAUGUGUGCUGAAACUGUCUUUUCCAGAUCAGCAUUCGCCUGAUUUACUUUACCGAAACACUUUAUUUCCUGGUUAAUCAUGAAGCACAGGAUAUUCAGGUUUUAACAUUUGGACAACUCUGUAUUGCCAAUGCAGUGUUUGCAUCUUACUACAGUGACUGCAUACCAAAAACAUUACGUACUCCUCCUGGACAAGAUUUUUUGUCUUAUUUGCCUCCGUACUAUUUUUGGUUCCCACAGAAGACGUACCAUCAAUUCCCUAGAGAGGUAUGGUGUUGAUCUUGACAGAAUAUCAAAUAAAUUAUGGGAAAUUGUUAGGCUGCGCAUGAUAAAAUUUUUGUUUCUUAAUUUCUCUAUUUCUCUGUUCCCGAAACAGGUUUAGAACAGAAAUCUGUUUGGUAACGCAAUUUGAUUUCUUUAUUUCUUAAACAGAUUUUUAUUCCAGAAAUAGAUUUGAAGAAGAAAUCAGAAACUAAAAUUUUAGCUUCUCAGUUUCUGAAAUAGAAAUUGAUAAAUUAGGGUGCGUUUGUUUGCGUUUCUGUUUAAAAAUUGUUCCAGGGAACAGAAAUAGAAAAAAAGUGUUUCUGUUCCGGGGAACAAUUUUUGAACAAAAAAACGCGUUUGGUAAAUUUGUUCCGGGAAUUAAAAAAUAAACAGAAACACGUUUGGUAAAUUUGUAUUAUUUGUAUUAUUUCUUUUAUUUUUUUAAUAUUUUUAAUAUUUUUAUUCUUUUUUUUUUCUUUUUUUCUUUUUUCUUCUUUUGGCCGGUCGCUGACCUCGGCCAUGGCCGGCGACUGGCCGACAAGGGCCGGCGGCCUCGCCGGAUCUGGGCGAGAUCGAGCUCGCCCAGCUCAGCGCGAGGUCGGCCUCGCCUUGGCUAGGCGAGCUCGAGCUCGCCCAGAUUCAGCGAGGUCGCCUGGCGGUGGCCCGGCGAGGCCGAGCCUCACCGGCCGCUGGGCGAGGUCGGCGCGAGGUCGGCCUCGCAGGGGGCCGGCGAGCCUCGACGUGGCUGGGCGAGGCCGACCCUCGCCAGGGGCCGGCGAGCCUCGCCGUGGCUGGGCGAGGCCGCCGUGCCCUCGUUGGCCGGUCGCCGGCCAUGGCCGAGGCCGGCGACCGGCGAAAGAAAAAAGAAAGAAAAUAAGAAGAAAAAGAAGAAGAAAUACAAAAGUGUUUCUAAGAUUUGUUUCAGAAAUAAGAAAUACAAAAUUUGUGUUUCUUAUUUAUGUUUCUUUUUUGUUCCUAGGAACAAAAGAACAAAAAAACAGAAAAAGUGUUUAAAAACAAAAAAAAGAAACAUAAACAAACAGACCUUAAUUUCUGGCCAGAAAUCAAUUUCUAUUUCAGAAAUUUUGUCAUGCGCACCCUUAAUGACUGAAUUUGAGGUUUGCUUCGCAUUUCUUUCAACUUGUCUAACAAGUGAAGUAUCAUAUAUUCCGGCAUUGUAUGUACUCUCUUUUUUCAGCUUAUAAAUUAUGACUGUCUUGUUUGUUUUUCUUCUUAACAAAGCAGGGUAGUUUGUAGGACUCAUUACGUUAUAAAUUUUUUUUUAGUAACUCUCGUUCUUGCAAAAGCCAUCAUGAGUUUUUCAUUUCGAUUCCAAAGUUUAAGACACAUAAUAAUGUUUAUUAUACUCUCUCUCUCUCUCUCUCUCUCUCUCUCUUACACACACACACACACACUAUGUAUGUCUACUAAUGCGUAUAAUUAUUAGUGACUAGCUCAAAGACAGCCACGGUUGAACAUAUUAAUGUGACAUGAAAAUGAUUUGAUUCCACCUGCUUCUCUAAUAACGAAUCAUACUCGUAACAGUUUUCAUGUAAUCGGAAUCUUCCCUUUAUUGUAGGUAUGGCUAUAUAACAUAGGAUUCGGUAGUUAUCAGGUUGAGAAAGUUUGUGAUACCUCAGGAGAAGAUGCAUCAUGCAGCAAGUGAUGAGCUAGUUUCAGUCGAAGCUACUUGUUCAAACAAUUAUUUUGUGGAUUUAUCAUGCAAGAUGCAAUAAGUCGUGAUGGACCAGCUUGUUCUAGAGAAUGUCUGUUCUUUGUUACUAGGAAUAUUUGUGGACAACUGAUCAGGGUAUUUUCCUGCAGAUUGGUAACCGGUAACAGCAUUGUGGACCAUUUAGUCUUUCUAUAGUGUGCAAUUAGUGGCUAAGACAUGAGAAUCGUGCAAAAUCGUCAUGGACACUAUUGACGGAAUGUGGAAGCGAAGAUGUCAAAGGUAGAUGUGUGAAUGUUGCAACUCUGACACUUGCAUGGUUAGGCAAUUAACCGGUUUUUAUAAGGUGAAACAAAGACUACGUUCACAGACCACUUCUCAAUCUAUGACACGUUACCUUCUCCUACAGGCACAUUGGCACAUAAGAUUUCUUGGCAGAACUAAGUACUUCAACUAUUUCCUCGUAGGGAAUUGUGCAGAUGAACUGUUAAAUCAAACCAUCUCGGAGACAGAUGAUGACUUUUGUCUUACAUCAUUUCCACUGGCAACCUUCGCAAAAUUUUUACUUUUAGGAGGUAAACAAUUUAUAUCAUCUUGGCUUUGAUAUGUAACAAUGAUCAUAUCAGCAUUUGGAACAAGAAUUGUAAGCUUUUACCUUCUUUUUCUAAUAUGCAGGAAUUAACAUUAGUGGAAACCUGAAAAGUAAAAAACUUGGGGGGAAACUUCUGCCACUGAUAAGAAGGGAAACAGAACUUUUGUCUUGCUGACAGGUACCUGUUCAAAACGUCAAAAGUGAGCAUUACCAAAGUGCUAAGUAAGCUCAUGGUGCUACACAAGUCAGGUCUAAAGUACAAUGCCAAAUGUUUACUAAUGUUUCAAAGAUCCAAUCUAGUUCAAAAGCAGAUACUCAACCAGGUCAGCCAAGCAACAUCUUCUUCAACAUGUACAAGCAAUUGUUCAAACUUUUCUUCACUAGAGUGCUUGAAGUUUUGCCCAUAAUACUGCGACAUCCUUCUCCUCAGUAACCUCUAUUAAGACCUCAUCCGUCAAAUUUAAUUCAUUUAAUAGAAUUAUGCUAUUUGCUUUUUUCAUUAGCUCUACCCUUUCAAAGGCUUUCAUGAUAAUAGGCAACUCAUCUUCGCCUUCCAGUACCUUGGCCAAAUCUUAUGUUAUCAAUAAAGCUCGCAUCUUGAUGCUUCAUAACACAAAAUUGUUACUCCCAUUAAAUUUCUCAAUUUCAGUUUUCUUCUCAUGAUUGCAAUAACAGAAUUUUCAGAUAAUAAUCAGACAAACAAAAUCUCCAAAUUAUAAUCAAGAAAUUCAACCCCAAGCUCUGAUACCAAUUGUUGGGAUAUAAUACGUGAAAACGACGGGAUCUUGCAAUUUAAGUCAAUGCGAAAUCGCCAGAGAAGUAAACAAGAAAUAAUAAGGAUACCAGAAAAUUUACGUGGUUCGAUUCAAGUAACGGUACCUACGUCCACGGGGAGAACUAGUAACAAAUAAUCCACUAUAAUCGGAGUAUCAGAGUUUACAAUCACUCAAUGAUUCAAGUGUUUUCCACAUUUAGAUUUAACCCCAAGUUCAAAGUGUUUAUAAAUAAAUAACUCACUUGGACAUAAACUCAUGGCAUAAAAUUACCACGUAACAAAACGCAGCUCUAUGUACGGCUUCGCGAGGCUGCAAAGACUUUGGCUUCAGAUAAACUCGCAGAUCGCGGCUUUCUUCUAAGCUUCGGAAGACGUACGUUCAGCGGCUCCUUCUUCUCGACUUGUACAUGCAGCAGCCAAGGAAAGAAAACCUCAUGUGAUGUCCGUUUAAAAUAUAUAUAUACGUGUGUGCCCAAGGUCAAAAGUUUGACCUUGGGCCCCACCACUUUAACUCCUUCACGUGCGGGGCUUCUUCCUUCGGCGGCAUCUUCCUUCUCUACGUGGGGGUGCAGCAGCUUACGAAAAAACGAAAGAAGACCCAAUUCUUUCUGCUUUUAUAUAUUUAUAUAUUUCCUCUUUUGUAGAUUUUGAAGAGUCCAGCGAAUUUCUUCUACUUGAAAAAUCUUUAUCAAUAAAAUUUGAUAUAAUAAAUCGUCAUCCGAAUUCAUACUCAAGACAUUGAUUUAACAGUAUCCGUGGUUGACAAAAGGAAGAUGUCUUUUUUUGCUGUGGGUUGAGGGUGGAGAGGAGACAGUUGCAGCUUAAGUUAAAAAGGGGAGUUUCUCCCUCGAAUCUAGAAAACGACAAUUCGUUUCUUAUUAUAGGUGGGGUUUUCCUUUCAUUUUUUCCAACCCAACCUUAGUUCAAUGAAAAAACAUACUUUAGAAUUAACAUAUGCAUACGUCCAAGCAAAAUUCAAUAUUGAAAAGACUGAAUUAUUCCUACUCAAAAACUUUAUUUAAGUCUCUCACUUCAUGUUUGAAUAAUAUAAUUUUCAGUUAGUUUUGAGUACUUUUGAUGGUGAGACUUUAGGAAUUGUGGAUGGACUUUUUUUUUUAGAGAAAAUGACAAUUCUUUUAUACAAAGGAACACAAGGUUAAUCGACCUCAUAAAUCAAGAUUCAUUUGGUCGUGAAACAUGAGAUUGUUUGUACUAAUCCGAUUGAAAAUUAAACUUACCUAAUUUUCCAAAUUCACAUAUAAAUCCUUUCAUGAACCAUUAAAUCAAAAUUAACCAAGAGUAGGUAUGUCAAAAAGCGAAAUAUCACCAAAAGAUGAAUUAUAAUAAUAUUAGCAAACAAAUAAUCAAAAUAUUACCAAAUAAUCCCACAAAUGCUUUACUUCCCAAAUGGAAUUUAAAAUUCUCUCAACUUGCCAUAAUUUUCUUUUCUUAGGCUAAAUAAUAAGCAUCUCCAAACAUAUAUCCUCUCCAUGGCUAAAUAAUAAGGAUCUCCGAACAUAUAUCCUCUCUAUAUAUAUUACCCUAUCUUUCUUUCAUCUCGAGAGUGUCGUUUGCAAAAGUUUUUAUGAUUGUUCCGCACCGUAAGUGAUGAUGGACGCCGCCACAGGGGAACAUGACCGUAUUCCCUUCUUCCUCCUCGUCGGAGCCCUGCACGCUGCCGCCGCUGCCGCGAGAGCUCGCAGGCUCCGCCGCAUUCCCAAGCCUCUGGUUCAUGUCAGCUCGGUUGGAUUCGUCCCUCUGAAUGACCACCGAGUCGCUGAAUGCGCUUGGAUUCGUGCGCAAGCAUGUCGAGAUCGCAGCUCCUCCUCCUCUUUUGCUGCUCAGUCCCUCGGUUUUCGCAGGUAGCGUGCUUGUUGUCGUCCGUUAGGCUUUUCUUUUUUCGGUGCUGAGGAAUCUCGGCGUGGAUUGUAUAUGCCAGACUGAUCGGUUCUUGGUCAGUAGGGGGCCUUCUUUAGGUUGAGUUUGAUGUCUAAAUAUGGGGCGGCAGGUGGAGAAUUUGAUGAUUGACGAGGAAGUCUGGAUAACUAAUUCGAGUGAUGUGUACCUGGUGGAGCAGUCGAGUUGAAGCAGAGGGAUGAUUAUGCUGUCAGGAUUGUGCUUGUUGAUUGAGACACCGUAUUUUUUUAAUCAUGUUCGUCGUGUUUGCUUUGUAUAUUUGAUAUUGGAGAUGAUUAUGUAAUAGAAUGAAUUGCGUCGUUGUUUCUUCUAGUCUAGCACUUCAUGUUCUUCAAUGUCGGUUCUGGGUUGAAUUAGUUUGUUGAUACAAAACGGAGCUGCAUUUCUCUUGGCGGUAUAAGGUUUUGAGGGAUAAGUACACUAAUAGUGUCAUAAGUUGUGUACGAUACUCACUUUGGUGCCAAAAGUUUCCGUCGGAUCACUUAAAUGCCAAAUUGAAGAAAAAACAAUCACUUUGGUGCCACCGGCGAGAAAUUCCGGCCAAAAUGAUUACGUGGCUUUUAUAUUUAAAAAAAAAAUCAACAUGGCUUAAGAUUGUCCACGAUGGAUAGCAUAAAACGACACCAUUUUCCUUUUUUCAUAAGAAACGACGUCGUUUCUUGUCAUCCACUGUGGAUUCACAUAAGAAACGACACCGCGUUGCUCCAUAACAAAAAACGAUGUUGCUGAAGAGGAAGUAAAAUAGGGUUCGUAUACAAUUCUCCUCGACGCCGGCCGUAGCUCGCUCACCCACCGUCGUUCACCCACCGUCGUUUGCUCGCCUGCCAUCGCUCGCUCGCCGUCGCUCAGCCACCGCUAUAGUUGCGCCGUUGUUCACGAUCAUUCAGGUUUGUCAUGUUCUCUACGUGGAUCAAUUUUGCGAAAAAUUUAAGGUUCCGAUGGGCAAGUUAGGGCACGGUAGGCAAACUGAGGGCUCGGCUUAGGAGGAAAGUAGUGGGGAAAGUGGUGGGGAUGUCACUUUUAUGGGGACGGAAUAGAAAAAUUAAUUCUUCCAUCGUUCGUUCGCUUUCUGUUGUGGGGACCGAAUAGAAAAAUAAGGUGCAGAGAAGCUUAACUCGGAGGAAAACAGUGGUGGGACCGAAUUUGUUUGUUUAAUUAAUUGGACUGCUUUUGUGGGGGACCGAAUGUGAAUGUGAUUGAAUUGAAAAAUGGGUGGUGGGGACCUCACUUUGUUUAUUUAAUUCAAUUUCUUUUGUUUCUAUAAAUGCACCGAAUUGGGAAGAUUUUAGUCGCAUUGUUCCUUGACAACAAAACGACAAGGACCUACAUGUGAAGUUAUCGAUUCUGUCAUGUGGUUCCAACAAAACGAUAAUGAUUAUUUUUUUUCAUUGGGUGUAGCAUUGACAUGGACGUGAAUCAGAUAGGCGUCAUUGUUUGCUAUGGUGGAGAGUUUGUUAUUGGCACUGAAGAUUGGGAAUAUAGUGGUAGAAAUGAUGGUACUAUUUAUGUCAAUGUUUAGAAGCCAUCAUAUAUUGAUUUUCUGAGGGAUUUUGUGUAUUUUUUACGAUGUAAAGUGCAAAAAUUACAUUACUGUGUUCCUAGAAAGGAAUUGAAGGAUGGGUAUUAAGGAUAUCAUUUACCAUUAUCUUCACAGUGAAGAAGUUAAGGUAUUUGUUGAGUAUUAUAGUGAGGAUGAGGAUAAGGAUGGGGAUGGGGAUGAGCAGACCACCACUGAAGGAGGAGAAGUGAGGGAUCAUGUUCAAGCGAGUAAUUAGGUCGGGGAUGAGUUUAGGUUAGAUGAAGCACAAAAUGAGAGGGAGAUAAGUCAUAUUGAUAGAGAUGAACAAAGAGGGAGAUGUCCUGAAAUCUUGGGUGAAGAUUUGAGUGAAGAUGUGGGCGAUGAAGACUUCAUUGGAUUAGAAUGAGAAAUUGUUUUAUCUAGUGAAUCGGAAGAUGAAUGUUUGGCUUUAGUAAAUUUCCCAAGUGACGAAGAUGAUGAUGAACUCCAUAGUCAAGACAAAAACAAAAGGAAUUUCUGAGAAAAAAACUUACAGCUUCAGCAAAAAGGCCCGAGCUAGUAAAUAGGGAUGGAGAUCCAGUUGAGGGUAAUAGAAGUGAAGAUGAAGAAAGCUGUGUCGAUGAAGUUGUUGGUUCGAAAAAUGAGCUUGACAAUAAUGAUGAAGAAUCUGCUCCUCGAAAAAAAAGUAAGUACCAUUGCUAUGAUCCGACUGCUAAUAAAUCUGUUUUGUUGGUGGGCAUGAGAUUUGACGAUGCCAAACAAUUCAAGGAAGCUAUUGUGAAGAACACAAUUGGUGAACAGAGGAGCGUUAAAUUUAUUAGAAACACGAAGGAAUUUGUGAGAGCUAAGUGCUCACAACCUAAUUGUUCGUGGAAGCUCUAUGCCGCACUUAGUAAGAAUAGGUCAUUCCAGAUUAGGUCCUUUUAGGAGGAGCAUACUUGUCCAAUUAUCUUUAACAAUAAAAGGGUAACAAGUGUGUGGUUAUCAAAGCAUUUUUUCAAUACUAUCAAAGCAAUGCCCGAGAUCAAGAGUCUUUAAUUUCAACAGUUAGUUAAGGAGCAAGUAGGGGUUAAUGUAUCGAGGAAUCAAUGUAAGAGAGCUAAGAUGAGAGUGAUGAAGAUAUUGAUGUGUGGGUAUAAGGAAGAAUAUGCGCAUGUAUGGGAUUAUGCUAGUGAAUGCAUAUUUCAAAACCCAUCUAGUAGAGUAUAUGUAGAGGUUGUGGAGAGGCCACUCCCUGAUCUUGGGCCUAGAUUUGAUAGAUUUUAUAUCUGUUUUGAUGCAUGCAAACGGAGCUUCUUGACUGGUUGUAGAAGAGAUAUAGGAUUGGAUGGAUACUUUCUAAAGGGUUUAUGCAAUGUAGAGUUAUUGGUUGCUGUGGGGAGAGAUGCCAAUAAUCAAAUGUUCCCGAUAGCUUGGGCGGUGGUAAAGAUAGAGAACAAGGAUAUUUGGUCCUAGUUCCCAAAAAAUUUAAUGGCUGACCUUGAGAUAACCGAUGGGGAAUGAUGGAUAUUCAUGAGUGACCAAUAGAAGGUAAUUUCAUUAUCAAUUAAUUCACUCCAUUUUAAUAUUAAUCACUUACAUAUUUUUCUUAACUUAUAUUUAUUGGUUUGAAUUUUUGUAGGGACUUAUUCCUGCAUUGGCUGAAUUGAUGCCAUAUGUUGAGCAUAGAAUGUGCGCGAUGCACAUAUAUGCAAACUGGUCAAUGAACUUCAAAAGAGAUAGGAUGCAGAAGCAGUUUUGACAGAUAGCAAAGAGUACGAAUAUGGCUGAUUUCAUAUUAGUCAAACAAGGAUUGUUGCAGCUGACAAAGAAAGGUUUUGAUGCACUCUUCCAAACAGAAGCUAAGCACUGGUGUCGAGCCUUCUUUAGCGAAGAGUUCAAAUGCGAUAUCAUUGAUAACAAGCUUUCAAUGGUAGAAUUUUAGAGGCCAAGUGCAAAUAAAUCAUCAGCAUGCUUGAUGAUAUUCGAGUUAUGAUUAUGACUAGAUAGCAUAAGUAACAAGAUGAGGCUACAAAAUGGAGUAGAGACUGUACCCCUAGGAUUGUGAAGAGAUUUGAUGCAAAUAUUGCUGCUAGUAGGUUCUACCAUUUAGUUUGGAAUGGAGAUAAUGGAUAUGAGAUUAUUCAAAAUCAGGAUAAGUAUGUUGUCAACCUAGAUAGAAGAAAGUGUUCAUGCCGAGCCUGGCAACUAAAUGGAAUUCCCUGUGCCCAUGCCAUUUGUGCUAUUCAGAUGAAGCAAAAAAAACCCAGAUGAUUACCUACAUGAUUGGUACAAAAAAAGUUCAUACCUUGCUUCAUACCAAUUCAUGAUGCAGCCUAUCAGAAGCAGCAAAUUUUGUGAGUCAACAAAUCAUGAAAGCCCUCUACCUUUAUCGCUAAAGAAGCAAAUAGGAAGACAAAAAAAGAGACGAAGAAUGCAGCAAGAAGAGACAUAAAGUCAAAGGAUGAGUAGGACUGGAUCAAAGAUGAAAUGCUCCUAUUGCCGCAAGGAAUGGCACAAUAAGAAAGGUUGUGAGCUGAAAAAGCAGCAUCAACAGCAAGAUGUAAUAGCUGAUUCAGUGCCAGGGACAGGACCUACUAAGAGUUUCUUGUUAGGCAUAUUGAAGGGAGGACAGAAGGCCCUGCUGUAAUGCCUACUGAAGGGAAAACAGAAAGCCAUGCUGUAAGGUAAGUAUCAUCUUUGUCUUAGUAACUUUACAGUUCUUAUUCGAUAGAGUUUGAUGAUUGACCAUGUGUACUGGCUUCUCUUGUGCUUUUCCUCUAUCAUGCACUUGUAAUUUGAGAAGUUUUCUCCAUUUGUUUCCACCGUGAAAAUGAGUAAAUGUCUAAUUAUUCGUUGUAGUUGGUCAUAAUCUUAAUACAGUACAUUGUUGUAAGGCCUACUAAAGGGCCAGAAAAAGGCCCUGUUGUAGGCUCAAGUGUAGGGACAAGGACUGGAAUAGGCAGGACAGCAACAACAACAACUGAGUCCACUGUUGAGCAAACAAGAAAAAAAUAUCUUGUAAGUUUUACAUCGUUGUGUUUGGUCUUUUAUGAGCUAAAAUUUACAUUUGUUAUGUGUUUCUCAGGUGAGAAGACGAGCAACUGCACAAGUUACAAAGAUUGCUACAAGGAUUGUUGUUGUUGAAAAUGAUGCACCACAGCGAACAAGAGGGGCUCUUGGAAAAAGAUUAAAGCAAUAUGGUUAUGGGAUUUACACAAAUGAACGUACUAGAAUGACUAUUUUGAAUGUAAGAUUUAUAAGUUUUAUGCAUUUAAUUUGUUGUACUUCAAUUCAUUUGGUUGACAAUAACAAUAUCACUAUGUUCUUAUAGCCUGGGAGAACUUCGGAGGUACUUCUCUCUCAAAGUGGGCCAACUCAAGAAUUAAGGGCGCAGCCAAAGAAGAGUGCUCCAAAGAAGAAGAUGACAGCGGAUAUAGCUGCGAAAUAGCCAUCCAAAAAGAACCCAACACCAGUUCCAUCUCAACCAACAAUUGGGAGCGGUAGUAAUGAUAUGGACCAACACAUGACACGUGCUAGAACAAAAAUAGCCGCCAUAAAAAACAAGGAAAAAGAAAAUGAGGUGACAGAAAGCCCAGUUAAAGAACCUGCACAUCCAGUUCGAAAGAGUGCUCGGAUUAUGAAUCAAUUCAAAGCUCCAAGAGGAAAAAGAGAUCAUGGUGUUGUCAAUAUUUACUAAUGGGAGGGUGCUGGACAUGGUCUCUUUUUAUGUGAUGCUGGACAUGGUAUCUUUUCAUGUUUUCUUUUUUUAGGAGUGUGCUGGAUAUUAUAUCAUUGAUGGUAGUUGCUGCAUGCAUAUUGCUAUUGUUUUUUUUUUUUUUUAAGAGAGUGCUGAACUUUCGAUGAUUGUGGAGUGAAGUUAGACAUGCUUUUCUUUUCUUUUGUAAACAAUAAAUUACUGUUAAUGGCAACUACAGGAAUGAUUAUUCAUUUUCUCUUGUGUUGGUUUCGGUUAGAAUGCUAGCAAGUCAGUUAUGCUGUAUAUUUUAUUUUUGAUGUUACUGUAAUGUUGUUGUUGCUGCAAUGUUACUGUUGUUGAUUGAAAUUGUGGAUUAUAAUGAAUUUGUGGGGUUCUGAGUAUAUGUGUUGCUACAAGAAUACUUUGGGUGCUGGUACAUCUUGUUACAUCAACACCUAUAUGGGCUGGUGCAAGAAGACCAAUAACUCAACUAGUGCAAGAACAAGGUGCAUUUGGAAUGUGACGUUUGGCACUAACAUGGUCUUUUUUAAAAAACUUGUACAACAUAAGUAAUCACUUUGUAAUCGUGAUUGGCACUUAAAUGAUCACUUUUAUAAAACUUGGCACUCAAGCGAUCACUAUUUACAACUUAUGGCACUGAAAUGGUCAAUCGUGAAUUUGCCACCAUCUUUUAAUUUCGGCUAGUUUGCAAUUGCAACAAACCAGCAAACUAGAAAACUAGCAAACCAGCAAACCAUUACCAAAUAAAAAAUGUAGCAAACCAUUACCAAAUAAAAAAUGCAGCAAAUCAUUACAAAAUAAAAAAUGGUUAAUAUCCUAAAAAACCCAAAACCAGUACACUUGUGAUAAAUUUACCCCAAACUAUUUUUUAAGUUAAAUUAAAUGUGACAGUUGACUAAUAUAUCGAUUUAGGAUUUUAGGCAUUGUUUGUCACAGUUUACAAUUUUUGUGAUUUUUUUAUAGUAUUAAUCUAAUUUAACGGAAUGUAUAUUUGUCACAAAUUUAUCAGUUUGAGGUUUUUUGUAGUCGAAUAAAUUAGUUUAGGAUAAAAUUAUCGUAAAUGUACCAGUUUAUGGUUUUUUAUAGUCAGUUAGGGUAAAUUUGUCACAAGUGUACCAGUUUUAGGGUUUUUUAUGGUAAAAAAAAUAGUUUUUGAUAAAUUUGUCAUAGGUAUACCAGUUUUGGGUUUUUUUUUAGGGUAUUAACCCAAUAAAUAAAUGCAGUAACCAUUACUAAAAGCUUUCAAUGCAGCAAACCAUUACCAAAUAAAAAAUGCAGCAAACCAUUACCAAAUAAAAAAAAUGCAGCAAACCAUUAUCAAAAUUUUUCAAUGCAGCAAACUAUAACCAAAUAAAAAAUGUAGCAAAUCAUUAUAUUUGAAGCAAAAAUUAAUCAAAACAAAUAUUGACAAUACACAACUAAACAAAAAAACUUUUAAGUGCUCACAACUAAUACAUUUCAAGUCCAAUCUUGCAUUUCUACCGAUAUAUUACAGCAACAAAAUAUUUUGCUCCAUACAAAAAUUGCAGCAAACCAAAAAACACAUUUUAUUUAUAAAUAAUUCAAUACAAGUGCAUAUUCCAUGUCUUCGACUAUGGUAGACAUACAAACUUCUUCUCAUUACUCACUUUACCUUUGAAUAAACUACCCAAGAGAAAAAGAACACAAUCAACGCUUGAUAAAAGUUUCUUCCAAUUUUUAGCCUUGAAAUCCCCCUCUUCAAAUGGUCCACCAAAUAUGUUAAACCCUUCAUUUGAGCUUGCAUUGAGUCGACAUCCUCCAACUCAUCCAUUAACAUAGGUGGAAGUUGAUUUUGGCUUUCAAGUAACUCCAAUAUCAUGUAUGUCGCUCGAUCAAAGAAUUUCCUAUCAACUCAUUUGAAGUAUUGGCACUUCGAGCCUUUUCUAUAUCUGCCGCACCCAUGGAAUCUUCUCCUGGGAUUCAAUCGAGUCCAAGAUGUUCUUCUCGAACUUGGUAACCCACAAUAACAGUAACACUCACCAUCUAAUUCGCCUUUUUUUAUAGGAAUGUGAGCCGCUGUUAAAGCUUUUGUCAUCCAUUUGCAAGAGCGAGUUGAUAACUUCAGGAGAAAAUUGAAGUAUGCACUCAAAAUGGUCAAAUUGGGGAUUUAGAGUUUUCAACUUCCGAUUCUAGUAGAAAUUGGGGAUUUAGGGUUUCUUAUGUGGGGGAAAAUGAUAAAAAGCAUCGUUUUGUUCUUUGUAUGCUGAUUGUAUUCUCUAGCGAUCCACGUCGGCAUCAAAAAUUAAUAAAAAACUGCCAUGUCAGAUUUCCGGUCAACCAAAUCGGCGAUGGCACCAAAGUGAUCGUUUUUCAAAAUUUUUGGCACUUAAGUGAUCCGACGGAAACUUUUGGCACCAAAGUAAGCGCCGUACACAACUUAUGGCACAAUUAGUGUACUUCUCCCAAGGUUUUGAUGUGAUUGUCGUUGGAAUUUACAGGGCCGUCUCGUGGCAAUAGAUUGCCUGCUUCCCCUUGUUUGAUAAUUUCUAGUUUACCGUAUUCUUCUGAAGCAAGUGCUGAAAUGGAGGAACCCAUAGGAUUUUUUGCUUUUUUCCAUCUAAUGUGUCUUGACACAUCGUGGAGUUCUUUUUCUGAUAUUUGGUUCUUGUAAUAUUAUGCAGAGACCGUGAAGGAGAUGUAUGAUAAAAUUCUUGAGUCCGCUAAUAUGAAAAGAACAAUGGCUCCAAACGCAUGGACGUGGUCGAUGAUUGAAAAUUGCAAGAACAGAGAGGAUAUCAGAGCUUCUCUUUGAUGUCUUGCAGAACCUACGUAGAUUUGUCUGUUGACUUCUUGCUCCAUUUGAGAAUUAAAGUUUUAGUUUGUGAGCAGUUGACAAACCAACUUGUUUUUUUCUUUCAUUGGGCAGAUUGUCAAAUCUUCAAAUUCAUGAGAAUUUUAACUGCAACCUUUGUCGGAUAGUCACAAAAGCAUGAGUGCAUGCAAGGGCUCUUGAUUUUGGGGAGCUUUAUCUACACAAGUUGUGUGCCAAGUUCAAAAAUUUUAUAUCUUGCUAAUAUAUUCACCCGAUUCUUCUUCUUCAUUCGAUUGUUGCUAUGUACCCUAUCAUUAGCACAAUCAUUUUGUUGUUAUGUUGUUUGCUCUCACAUGAUCUUUUUACCUAAAGUCUGUCAUGCUCGGAGAACAUAUUCAGUUGCUUAUGAAAACUUUUGACUAUCGCGCUGGUACCGGUAGCUAGUUAUGCUUUUUUGUUUUUUUUCCUUGAUGCAUCAAUUAUGUAAACCGGAAUUUUGUCCUACACGGUUGCUACACGUCUAUUAAGUGUGGGUAUUGAAAUAACAUGACACAUUCUUGCUAAUAGUUUUUCACGUUUGAAUGUGUAAAAGCACAUUCAAUUUAAAGUACAUAGGACAUUGUUAAAAAUGUAUUAACUUGUCUUGUGUGAGUAACAUGUUAACUUGCUCGACAUGCUUCAAUGUGUUUAAGUGGUAAAAAGGUCAAUUUAUUUUACAUGUACAAACUUGUUAACUCAUUGAUGACUCAGACAAUUUUAAGCUCAAUCCAACUUAGUAUGUGUCAAACACUUAUUCUGUAAACAGGUCUUUUCGCACAUUGCUGGCUCUGUAGGACUCUGAUUUAUUGAAUGACACCUCCACUUCAAGUUAUUGAAUUCAUUGUUGAAGCUUGGCAAAGAGCAUUCACUUUUUGCGGACUUGUUUUUAUGAACAUCAAGCUUCAGUAGUUGUCAGUUCAACCUGUUUCUAGUAAUUAAGCUCUUCAUAAUUUUCAAGCAAAAUAAAUCAAAUCAAUCUGCAGUUCCAAAGUGUAGUUCAUGUUAGGAGAUUGCAGCAAUUAAUUGUCACUGGGAGUACAUGAUUUAAUCAGAACCUAUAUCUGUAAAUCCUUAUUUAGGCUAAGAAAUUAAUUCGCAUGGUGCACUUAGUACUUGAUGAUAGAAACUAAGGGUUGACAAAAUUGUAGGUAAGAAGGCCUCGUGGGAGCAUAAUGUCUAUGGAUUGACCCCUACGAUUGGCUAUGCAAACCAUCUUUUGGUAAUGAUGAAGUGUAUCUAAAUCAAAAAAAUUCUUUUUUCCAUUUGUUUUAUUUACACAAUUCUUCCGCUAAGUUGGGGUAUUGCAAUGCAGCAAUAUGCUAAAGAGCACAAAGAUGCCACUCUCAGAAGAAGAAUAACUUGCCAUUGCAACCCAGCACAGCUGAUAGUGUUUUCAGGUUCACUUCCGUGCUGUUUUCCUGAGAAUGAUGUCAUUAUCAUGUAGGAAGCCAUUAUUGCACUUAAUUGUGUGAAAUGUACUACAUAGUUAUCAAGCAAUUUAUCCAAUUUAUAAGUGUCUUUUAUAUAUGAUUUAAUCAACUUGUUUUUAUUUUGAAUCAUUUUGUCUGCACUGCUACUCUCGAUCUAAUAGUUUGCUCAUGUUACUUGACAUCCUUUAUUUCCAUGGAAAAAUUUUGCAGCAUUUGUGAUGAUACAGACAAUUGGGGGUUGCUCACAAAGUAUUCAAAGAGAUUUGUCAAAAAGGGAGUGAAUCUGCAUAAAGCUGCAUUUGACAUCUGGAUGGAGUUUGCUGCAAAAGUAGGUGAGAAACACUCGCUCUGUCUCCCUUCACUGCUCUCAAGCCCUUGCCCCUCAACAAUCUUAUUUUCCAUUUCUCCCCACAAAUAGUUCUCUCAUCUAGGUCCCGCCACUUACUACAAAAGAUGGGAUGUGCUAGAAUAUUUUCUUACUGUACAAUGAUUUCUUUCUCUCCUUAAGCAAAAGGGUAGAAAUAAGAAUUGAAAAGAAUUUUCACUGCGCCAUGUCUUUCAAUGUCUUUGUUUCUUUAAUUGUUCUGAGAUUAUGCUUCUUUAUCCUAUUUAGUGGUUUGACGAAAAUUACCCUUUUCAGGAGACAUUGAAUCUCUAUGGAAAACUGAGAAGUUAAGAUGUGAGUCCAUGAAGCAGCAUACCAUGGGCAGUGGGUUCUCAUGUGCGAAGGUAGUUUACAAACACAAACUGUUGAAAUCACAAAUAUCAGACCCCGAAAGCACUAGGUCUUCUUGCAUUAGAAAAUCUGAUAAUGGGAAAAUAUUACUAUUGCGAUACAGAUCAGUACAAAGUUCUUGGUAAACCAGGUGAGAGGUCUAUGGCCAAAAAAAGCGGGAGUUAAUGCUUGAAUAAACCAAAUUUUGGCUCACAUCCUAGGACAUGAAGCACCUAUGGGCAUGAGAAUGCUCAUUGUCAUCACACGAAGGAGAUAUAACUACUUUUUUCGGUAUUUGGAAGCAUUUAUUGUGGCUUUUAGCACUCUGGUUUAAGAUUAAAAUUUAACCGACUGUCAUUUACUUGUUUUGUGGCAAACUAAAUGGUUUUAUAUUCAAUUUUUUGUGCAGGGAUAUUUACUUGAAGGCAAACCUGAGGAGGCUGCUACAGUCAUUCGCGUCUUGAAUCAGGUGCUCCUCACUUCUCAGAGCAUCUAUAGCUAUUAUUAAUAUGCUCAUCAUCACCAUCUGGCAUGAUUGCAAUCCUAAAUUACCUCAGCCUCUGAACUAGUCAUUCAAUUUUCCAUAUACUGUCAAGGAAUGAAGCAAUUAGUGGAAGAUAUACGGAAUUGUCCCCCGAAAUGUGCUCAGAAAAAUUACCAUGACAUAUCCUCUCUCGAGGGGGACUGGGUGAUUUGGGUUUCGUAUUUGGUGCCUACUAUACUAUUGAAAUAACACGAGUUAGUUCCAUGGAUCCUAAUAGAGUUUGAAAGAUCAUCUCAGACUCCUCCUGAAUUGAAUAAAGUUGGAAAGACACCAAUGUAGGCUCUGUUUGUUCAGAUGUCGCUUCUUAGGUGUCGCAAUGUGAAUGCCUUGGAUUGAUGCCAGAGUAAACCUGAUGCUAAGAGGUCCAGCAUCAUGGUUGAACUUCAAAAGCUUGUCAGUGAGUGGCUUUUCGAGGUCAUCAAAAGGAAGAAAGAAGAUGACCGCAAGGUACUUCCUUUGACUAAAUAUCCAUCACUUUGGGUAGAAGUAGAAAUAUUGCCUGUUUGGAGUUAUAUAUUGCUCUGGUAAUGUUUGAAGAUGACCCGUUGCUGGAUGUAUAUAUGCUGCUUUGAACUAUCUCAAAAUUUUUAAAACCUCUCAUUCUUUUCGCUCAUGUAGGCAUUGGCUGCUUCUCUCAAAUCCGAUAUCCCAGCCAUGGUUAGUUCCUUAUUAAACACGGGCUUGCAGGUGAAAGCGAAUAACCACCGAAGGCACCCUUUGUUAAAGUAUGACAGAAUUGGAGAUUGAAUGCACUAGCUGCAGAUCUGUCUCCUAUGUGGACCGCUAAGGUUGCCAUGUAAGUUUAAACCGAUUCCGCUGAGAAGCAAGACAAGCGCGGUACUCACGUCUCGAGCAACAAGCAUCUGAAGUUCUCUUGUAAAGGUCCCUGAACCAUGAAAAGAUCUGCUCCUUCUUGAUUUGAAUGCUGUCACUUCUGUACUUUCGGAUAAUGAUUUUUUUCUUUCCCAAAAAUAUCUGAAUGUAUUAGAGACGAUAGGUGCAUCAUCAGCAAUUGAAUUCUGAGAACAACCUCGGAUGACUAGUUUUUGCUGAGAGGACUCUUCUGGCUCACAAAUUUUAGAUUGGACCAAAUGGGCAGUUAAGAGAGACAAUUGAUAAGGUGGUCCUUUCAAUUUCAAUCUGAUUUGGCAGCGUUUUGUUAUAUUUCUGACAGAAUUUCGCUGUCCAAAAUUAAGAGAGUGAAUUUUAUGCCGACUCAUUCGAUCUUGGCAUACAGCGACCACCAUUGUUUCCUGAUUUAAUCGGAUUGAACUGUCCAAUCGUGGUGCCAGAGUGCAUAACAUAAAUUACAUGCCUUUUUACAUCAUGAAAGAUAACGAAGAACCUGAAUUACCAGAUUUGGCUUUGGUACCCACAUGCGUAGGUGCGUGCGUGCGUGCGUGCAUUUUGUGCAUAUAAGGUGUAAAAGAGGUGACAAACGCAAUCCUCUAGAAUUAAAACAUGUGCAUUAAUCGUGCGCAAGUUUUAGCAAUGAAUUGACAUAAUUGUAAUAGGUGUGACUUUUUUGAUAAUUUUUCCGUAUUCACACUAAAAAAUUUAGGAUUAUAAUCAGAUUGUAUAGGAUUGAAUUUGAAUUUAUACAAUAAGCUUAUGACUGAAUUUACGAUUCUCCCAACUCAAAUAAUUCUCCCCCUCUUCUAUCUCCUCUCCUCAUUUGUAUAAAAUGGGCAAUGAGGGUUGGCUUAGGUAGUGGAAGGGAAACCAUCCUCCCAAUGACCAUCCUGGAGAAAGUCCACCCAAAUUCAAAUCGCAGGGGAAGAAAACAAACCUCUUCUCACUUUGAAUCACCACACUGAGUGUUGAUUUUAGCUCCUUAAAAUCUUCCUACACAUCCAACCCCUCGGGAUCCUAGCAUCAAGAGACAAUCCUUCCGGAUUAUAAGAGUGAGAGUAGAAGUCACAUCCUAUGAUUUCCAAUCUUUCGCAAGACAUGCAAAUAGAUUUGCGUAUGGUUAAUAUGAGAAAAGAGCUAUCCUAUACACUCGCAUUUAGUUGAUAAAAAGGUUGAUCAAUUUGUAGAUGACAUGCAGCGACUUAAUUUCCAUUCACAUAUAAAUAACAUGUAGCCCAUCCUAGGUUGUGUCAAAGCCCCAAUACAUGUAUUAGAUACUAUGCCAUCUCAAUCCGAAAAAGCAAAAGGGACAUAUUGAUGUUUUCCAAUCAUCACACCUUGAGAAAAGACGACACAUUUUUUACUCUAGCAGGUGAGACAUCCUUCCGACGGUAGUCUCGGAAGAUGAAUCUUGCUUCCGAUCUCCAUAAUCUAGCAACAAUGAUGGUGAUUCCACUGGACUAGUGAGGACUACUUUUAUCUUCCUCUCCUUUAUGUACUUAUCACUUCCUUUAUCAAACAAAAAAUCUAAAAGAAAUUUCUCGAGUUACUUAACCCGAAACAUUAUGGAACAUAUAUUAGUAAAACUUGUCAUGUCAACAGUGAUGUCCUCUUCAUCUGUAUCAGGAACUUGUCUCUGCACCGCAGGACAGGUGGAGCUACUUGUGGUGCUUAACAUGGUAACUGCAUCAAAUAGAAGAUAGGAUGAAAAGCUACUCCAAUUUUUUUGAAAUAUCAGGACAUAGCUUCUGAGGCCUAUCACAGUUUCCCUUUAUCUAAGGUAUAUUAGACUACUAUGGCGGGCAUUCAGAAUCUUAUUCAAAGAUGAUCCUUGCUGUAAUGCGACUGACUCCACCUUAAGCAGUUCGUACCCCAGCAACAAUAUAGUCCAAUUGACAUGUCAUGGCAAAGAAAUUGCAGAAGAAUCUUUUAGCCGAUUCAAGUACCGUGGGCAUGUCCCUCCUCACAAGUAUGUUAGGGGCUCUAAUAAGUAUGUGACAUGAUAUUCCAUGGACUUGAGCUACACGAUUUCGAAUCAGAUGCUCCAUUGGGCUUGAUGAUGCCUACAUUCGGCCACACACAGUAUUUCUUCAAAGACGUAGACUUAACCCAGAAUGCUUUGGAUCUCUAGUAUAGAGUUCAUAUUGUCUCUCCCCAAUAGAGAGCUUUAAAUGCACUGGUGUCCUACUCUGAAAAUUAAAUUACAUCCACAAAUACAAGAUUGAAAGGAAAUUGUUCACCCGCCAUAACCUGAAAAGAGUAAAGCAUGAUCAUGGUGAAAGAAAAGGUCCAAAAAAUCUUCCCCUUGAAAGCAACAUAUCGAUCAGUCUUGUUGCCUAACAGAAUCGAGCAUGAGCUUUGUUUACCCAACUCAACUACAUAGACACGAAGAAGAGGCUUCAGAUAUAAGAACUUAACAGGGUACGUCACGAUAGCAGGAUGUGAUGAAAUGUAACAUUGUACAUUUUCUUUGAAGAUAUAAUGUAGUAAUGCAAUCUCGAUGGAUAUUCCAAAGAACUUACAAGAGAAGACAACUCCUAGUAACUACGGGGUACAAUGGAAAUGAACAUUCAAAGCCUGAGAUUAAUCCUGGGAAAAAUGGAAAAGUAUGGAACAACAAACUUUGAUUUACAUCACAUGAAGCAAGGACAACGUGAUAAGUGAAUUCAAGCAUCCCAUGGAAUUCUAUUGGCACCGGCAGCUUCUACUGAUUCCAGUUCUGCCACAACUAUAGUCCUGGAAGGCCACUCGUUAGGAGUCAUUUGGAGGCAUUGUAAAGCAAGCUGUGCUAUUUGGAAUGCAGAAUCUAUAUAUGUAAGGUAUAGGGAUGGUAUAAAUUUGGUUCCCAUUUCCUGCAGGCUGCAAACAUCGUGAGCCACCGGCUUCUUCCAAGAUAUCCAGUGUUUCUUUUUUGGGUAAUUGGAGCAUCUGCAGAAAUGAAAAGUUAUGUAGGCAAUACAACUGUAGAUUCCAUGCCAAAGGAUUUAAGUAGCUAAAAGGAAAACACACCUCGUAUUUCAUAGAGGGGAUUAUAGUGAACCUCACACCAGAAACUCAACCAAAACUCUGCAUCAAUUGAAAGUAAGGUUAACAAAAGGAAAAACUCAAAAAAUAUGGAGUUUCAAAAGACCAGUUGCACAUUGAACAAAAGCAACAGUAGAUCAAUUGCAAAUGUUUACACCUAGGUUUAAAAUCAAUCAAAUAUAUAUUGAGCUGUACCCAAGCAGCUGUCCUAAGCAAGCAAAAGAACAGAUAUUUAAUUUCCCAGAUGAACAACAAGCAAAGCAUCACAAAGGAGGGUCUAUGCGUAUAUGUAUGCAAGAAACACUCUUUUUUCCAAGACAAAUGAGAAGUAAAAUAUCAACUUCACAUUCAUCACAUUGCACUGACUGAUCAUUUGACCCAACAAAACAACUAUGAAGAAGACUAGCAAGCAAUACCCAAGACAGAGGGAACUUAUAAAUCCGAUGGCCCAACAAUAAUCAAGCUAUCAGUAUCAAGAGGUUUUAGACCUCCUUCAGGCUCUCCAACAUCAACCAAAUAAGCAUUGAACAUCAAUGACUCACCGGAACAAUUAACUUCAUCAUUCUUCAAAAUUAUGCAUUUUGACAGCUGCUCGCUGCCAUCAUAGGGCAUUACCUAUCAUAUAUCCGACCAUCAAUCACAGCAUGGACUAAUCUACUCCAAACAAGCUCAAUCACGGAGAGUAUUACAACCAAAAGCACAGAACAUAACAAUCCAUGAUGAUAGAAAAAAUGAAACCCUAGGCAGCAUCGAGCUGCUGCCAUUAAGUUUGAUCAAGCAAGCCAAAUAUGGGGGAAAACGGUAAUAAAUCAAUAGCCACUGCAAUUUUGACACAGAUUAGCCAAUCAAACCAAAUCAUGUCCAAGCCCAAUCAAAGGCAACUAAAUUGCCCACCAGGUUGAGCUGGACAUCACUAGAAGAGAUUAGUAGUGAAAGCAAAGGUACCUUGCUGGUGGAGGUGCAGAGUGAGAGGAAGCCGUCGCAAUAGACCUUGCGCUUCAGCUUCUGCUUCAGGUGCUUCUUGAAGGUGACAUUCCAGCACACACAGACUCAAGCACAUAACUCAUUUCAUCAAACACCAAAAUUGCACAUGAUCACCAAACACUGGACAGGCAAAACUUAGAUGGUUCACACUUACACGAAGCAUAAUUCGCACACUAAUUACAAACACAAUCCAAAAGCAGUUCAGGAUUGAAAAAGAAAACAAGAGCACAACACCGAUCCGCUCCUAGAACCUGUAUUGCCGGCUCAAAAUGCAGGCGUUGAGUCCAUCACAGAGCUGAAAGCUCUGAUGUAUUCAUCCGUGGGAUUCUGCUGAGUCCGGAUGUUCUGUAUAAGGGCAACAAGGAUGGUGAUGCCAGAUUUCUGUCCCUCAAGAUUCCGUUUGAUGCGAUGUUCAUUUUCCUAAUCAAAACUCCAGAGUUAGAGCUUAAGCUGGCAGACUUGAAAUCCAUAUCCUAGGUGCAAUUUCUCCCUCUUAACCCAACCUUGAUUGAGGAUGAGGACCACAAUACCAAUGUGUGCGCAGAAGCUCUCCCUGAUGCUCAUAGAGUUCAACUUGACUAAAAUUUCUGAGAUUCUACACCCAAAGACAGUCAGCCAUUGCUUCAGAUUUUCACUUGGUGAUCUGUCCUGUGCAAAUGUGAAUGAUGUUGAGCUACGGGUGGCUCUGGCAUCGACUCCAGAUAUGGAUCCCAAGUUGCUUUCUCAGCUGAAAGUAGCACAGCGGAUUGGAAAUCUUUUGGAGUUUGUACAUGGGAAGAAUUUGGAAGAUUUUCUCAAAUUGAUGCUUGGCUUGUGCAAAGCUCUUCUUUUAUGAUCACCAGGUUCCACGAAAGUUUUCACGUACAUGGAAGAGCCAACACUACCUGAUGAAAGUUCUUCUGAGGCAGCAAGUAGCAUAUGACACAUAGCUGACUCUGGUGGCAGUGCCAGUGUUUUCCUGGAAUUGAGUGGGUCUCAUGACAGAAACAAUGCUGAUAAUGCUUAUGAAUGCACAGUUCUAGUACUGAAGGCGGCCCCAAGGGAAGGUGCUCUCUUUUCCUUACCAAUCUUUUGUAAGUGAGUGCAAUUCUCAAGUCUCGGCAAGACAGCCUCCUUCUCUACUGGUACAGCAAAUGCUGCAUUCUAUCAGUUACAACUGUAGGCGAUGUUUGCUGCAUAGAAUGAUCUUUGUCAGUGUGCCCGUCAAAGAUUGCUAUGAUUGAAGGCAUCAUUGCUGAGAUAAAAUAUUCUGGUGCUGCUGUUCAGCCAGUGCUGCCACACUGGUAAUCUCCGAAUUCCAGUGGCUCCCUCAUUUAUGACUUCUCCAUAACAUUUGCAAAUCCCACUAAGAAGCACACCUUUCCUGAAAAAUAAACUGAACUUAAGCAUGGCAAUACAGAGUGUCUAUCUACUUCAAAGUCACAACAAUGAGUUGAUUGUGCUGUAAAGUCCUAGAAUGAGAACCAUAGUUGUAUGACCUUCCAACACACAUUCCAUCUAUUUGUUUACAGCAUAGCAAAUUUAUCUCCCAUGCAAAGUGAGGUUAUCAAUUUCAAAAUAUGUGUGAAGCAGCAAAUCAACGACGAUCUCUAAUAAGUUGUUACAUAUCAAAUAAAAAUGAUGCAAUCGACAUGCAUAUGUCACGGACCGAGAGAAGGCCGAUCCGUGAGGUUCCCCGAGGACGACCCCGACUCGUCCAUGGAAGACCUCCUACUCCAACUCGGGUUCCCAUCAAAGCUUCUCCCUGAAGCUUCCAAGGGAGGACGACACCGUCAUUUUGCCUGACUCUAGAAGCUUCCGUUAUUUAUGUCGGUAGACGGUAGUUAAAUAUUUAUGUCAGUAGUUGAGGCGGUGCGAUCUCGCCCGUCAGAUAAAAAGUAGAUCAACGGAUGUAAACCGAGGCCCUCAACUAUAAAAAGGGGUGCCCUCCUUCAUUUGUAAUCACCCAACAUUUCAGCAAUACAAAGUUCAUUUCCUUCCAGAGCUCCUCUCUCUUACUUUCUCUCUCAACGAUUCGGGUAAGCGAGCGGGUUAGCGUUCGAUCGAGCAACGCUUGGCCCGGGUAGUCCAAAAUCGCCCGAGUCGCCGCGCGGUCAUGAUCCCAAUUGAUCGGCCCGUGACAAGUGGUAUCAGAGAAAAAUAGAGAUUCGUUUGAGAGACCAAGGAGCGCCAACUGUUCGAAGGAAUGUCGAGCCAAGAAGCUGUCAUGGUUGGAGAGACCGUGCAAGUCCAAGAGGACCGCGGUCGUGGAAAGAAAAGAGACGCCUCGAGGGACGUCAUAGCUGUGUUCGAUGAGAAGAUCGCGAAUGUCCGGAGCGCUGUGCACGAACUCAUGGAAGGUCUUGACGACGUGCGAGACCGGAUCAUGGAGGUUGACAGUUCACUCUGUGAAGACUUCACUUCAUGCAUCAAUGAAGCUACCGCGCCAUUACACGACAAGGACGAAACCCUUGAAGCAUCGAUCGAUGUGUUGAAGGAGCGUGUCCAAGUGGUCGAGGAAGAAGCUCCGCGUAGGGACGAGGUCGAAGCCAUGAAGGCCGAGAUCCAAGAGCUCAAGACCGAGCUUGCCCUGUGCAAACUAAGCAUCACCAAUGGUGCUGUGCCGAACCAAGCGGUGCCCAAAAUUGAGGCGCCAAAGCCGAAAGAAUUCAAAGGCGAACGAUCCGCCAAGGAGGUGGACAACUUUGUUUGGAGCAUGGAACAAUACUUCGGUGCCGUCAACAUGAACGACGAGAUGACCAAGGUACGAACCGCGUCAAUGUUCCUGUCUGAUACGGCAAUGCUUUGGUGGCGCAAUAGGUGUGACGAGGUUAGACGAGGCGCUGAUCCCGUGUGCACAUGGGACGACUUCGUACGAGAGUUCCGGGACUACUUUUUCCCCCAGUUCGCUCAACAAGAGGCCCGUAGCAAGCUCCAUCCCUCGAGCAAAGAGGCACGAUCCGAGAGUACGUGAAGGAGUUCACCAAGCUCAAACUCUAGAUUCGCAACCUGAGCGAAGAGGAGGCUCUCGGAGCGUUCAUGGAUGGAUUAAAGCCAUGGACACUUCUCGAGCUCAAGAGACGGGACGUGAGUAGCCUGGCGCGUGCGCUGAGCGUGGCCGAGUCGCUCGUCGACCUCACCAAGACCGAACCAAGGAGUCGACAAAGAGAUUGGAGGACUGAUCGACCUUGCGAGGAUGAAGCUGGAAGAAACACUCCCCGGGCUGCGCAUGAUCAAGGCGGUCGAGCCAAAGCAUGGGGAGAAGGGUCUUCAAAGCCAGCCUUCCAAAAGGGUAGACCACCGACAGACUACGCGAGCAGGUUUGAUCAACCCCCGCCUUCUCCUUGUUUCAUUUGCCAAGGUCCGCACUGGACCCAAAAGUGCCCAAAGAAGGGUCGAAUCAACGCCCUCCUUGCCAUCGAGGAAGAAAAGGAGGAGUCCAAAGAAGACCGACGACAAAUCCGACUUGGAGCCGUGAAGAUGAUCAACUCCGUCCAAGCUCGGUCCCCAACCAAAGGAAAAGAAGCUGCGUCGGACAUAGAAAUGUUCUUCGUGCAAGUCAACGUGUGCGGCCGAACGCUACACGCCUUGGUCGACACGGGUGCGUCGAACAUGUUCAUGUCAAAGGAAGUGGCAAAGGCCUUGAACCUUCGCGUGGAGCCGACCGAGAACACCUUCAAGCCAAUCAAUUCGGAAGGCGUCCAUGGCGUAGGAUCGACUUCGAAUGUGGACGUCAAAAUUGGCGAUUGGAGGGGCAAAAUGGAUUUCGAGGUAAUCCCGCUUGACGAUUACGAUCUCAUUCUUGGUAUGCAAUUUUUCAAUAGUGUGAGAUCCAUGAUCGACAUGAGGACCAAAUGCCUCGUGAUUCUCGAUCCGGAUUACCCGACGACGGUCCCAAUGAUCAAAGGGAUGGUCGACACCAAGACCAUCGCGUCGAUCCAACACCUCAACAAGAGCUUGAAGGCCGUCAUGCGCAUCAACAAGUUUCCAAGGUGAAGCCGAAGGUCAAGUUGGAUCCUACUCCAACAAAUGCCAUGCCAAUCCAAGCGCUCUUCCCCGAGGUUGAGUACGCACCGCAUGCUCCGUCCAAGCCAAAGGCCGAGUCACGUGCCAAAUCCGACUUCAUCAAUGAAGGUUGCGGUCCGUCAUAUGAGAGCGUCCGCACCAAAUGAAACAAGAACAAGAGAGCCCGUGCCAAAGCCCGUGCUCGUGCCAAGAAGGCCAACCUCCGAGCUGUGAGCGACGAGGGCGUCGCUCGAAUGAGUGGGGGAGAAUGUCACGGACCGAGAGAAGGCCGAUCCGUGAGGUUCCCCGAGGACGACCCCGACUCGUCCAUGGAAGACCUCCUACUCCAACUCGGGUUCCCAUCAAAGCUUCUCCCUGAAGUUUCCAAGGGAGGACGACAUCGUCAUUUUGCCUGACUCUAGAAGUUUCUGUUAUUUAUGUCGGUAGACGGUAGUUAAAUAUUUAUGUUGGUAGUUGAGGUGGUGCGAUCUCGCCCCUCAGAUAAAAAGUAGAUCAACGGAUGUAAACCGAGGCCCUCAACUAUAAAAAGGGGUGCCCUCCUUCAUUUGUAAUCACCCAACAUUUCAGCAAUACAAAGUUCAUUUCCUUACAGAGCUCCUCUCUCUUACUUUCUCUCUCAACGAUCCGGGUAAGCGAGCGGGUUAGCGUUCGAUCGAGCAAGGCUUGGCCCGGGUAGUCCAAAAUCGCCCGAGUCGCCGCGCGGUCACGAUCACAAUCCCAAUCGAUCGGCCCGUGACACAUACCUCUAGGAGAAACCAUCCUAAGAAAAUGUAGCAAAAAAAGGCAAACGAAACUUGGAAAAGAACACAAAUACUUGUACAUAAUUAAGAGCCCUCUGGCUGUUCGGAGGCAUCAUAAUUUAAAUACCUUCAUUAGAUUUUCAGGCAAGAAUCCGCUAAAAGGUCAUUAAAAAGUGCAUGCAAAACUUCUCUGUUCAUAUCUAUGAAAGAAUUUGAUUGCCAAAAAAGGAAAACAUUGGUACUUACCUCAAUUUGUUUAAGGUUUGAACACAAGGGAACAAUUUGUGGUCGUGCAUCAAAAAGCUUCCAAGUGCAACGUGCACUUAUUCAUCUUCUUGCCCAUUAUCCUCUUACAUAUCUUAGUAUUCUUGUUACAUAUCUCAGUAUUCUUGCCCAUCGUCCUCUUACAUAUCUUUGUAUUCUUGCCCAAACCAGUAAUUUGUCUUCUUCAUCAUCUUAUCCCACAAAUUUGAUUGACUUCUCCGAGCAAAGCCGAGAAAUUUCCUCCGCUGCUAAUUUCCCACAACGUCUUAUUGUAACCUCUUGCAGUCCCUUCAAGCUUGAUAGAUCAGACAACUUCUGUAAAGAUCCACACCAUUGAAUCCACAAUGUUUUCAAAGAUUGAGGUAGUUCGCCUUGAAUCUCAACCAGAUUACCGCAGGAUUCAAUGUUCAAGUAUUCCAAAGAUUGGGGUAGUUCAAUCUCAACCAGAUUACGACAAUAUUCUACUGAAAGAUAUCUUAUUCCAUCCAUAUUGCUUAGAUCAGGGAUCUGUAUAUUCAAACCUUUGAUUGUGACCCAUCGCAGUCUCUUCAAGCUUGACAGCUCAGGCAACUUCUGUAAAGAUCCACACCAUUUAAUCCGCAAUGUUUCCAAAGAUUGGGGUAGUUCGUUUUGAAUCUCAACCAAAGAUCCACAGCUGUCAAUAUCCAAUGUUUCCAAAGAUUGGGGUAGUUCGCCUUGAAUCUCAACUAGAUUACCGCAUGAUUCAAUAUACAAUGUUUUCAAAGAUUGGGGUAGUUUGCCUUGAAUCUCAACCAGAUUAUGACAAGAUUCUACUCUAAGAAGUGUUAUUCCAUCCAUAUUGCUUAGAUUAGGGAUCUGCAUCUGUUUAAUGCCAGAAAGCUGCAACCGAUUUCCACUUAAAUAUUCAAAAACCUGAUUGCCACUAUGCACAUACACAUAAACAUGUGUCUUACCCAUUAUGCUGAACGGAUCGGGGAACUUUUGUAACGAAUCACGGGAACCAAUUUUAAGUUCAUCCAAAAAUCGUGGUAGUUCGCCUUGAAUCUCAACCAGAUUACAACACCCCGAUACUGUAAUACGCCUUAGCUUGUUUAACUUGCUUAGAUCAGGUAGCAUCGCCAGCUGUACGACGUCCCGAAGGCGGAAAUCUCGUAGGUUCUCCAAACAACCAAGGCCUUCAAUCUUUGCAACUGCAGAGCAGCAAAUGUCGAGAUCCGAUAGUUUCCUCAAAUUCGAUAGAUCCAUCGAGCCAAGUGAGUCGCAACCAGAGAGACGUAAGACGGAUAAACUUGAGGGAAGCCUCAGGAGGAGAGGCGGAUGAGGAGGGAGGCUGAGGUCUAUCGAUGAGGCGGUCCCCCCGAAAAAGCACAGUAGCAGAGAUUCCAAUUUGCUUAAGUUCCCAAUCCACCAUGGUAUCCGUUUUUCCAGGAGCCCAUAAGAUUUCCCAUCACAGUUAGGUGGGCCAAAGCCCAGAUGCAAUACCUUUAAGUUAGCGAGAUUUGAGAGAUCUGGAAACGUGUCCACCCUCAACUCCUCCACUACUAAUUCGAUGAGACUUUCAGGAAACCUUGGUAGGGCGUGUACUCCCGGCCAUCCCAAUAUCUUUUCCCAUGAACGCCCGUAUAAGCAAUAGCCACUUAUUGCGUGGGCAUGCGUGACAUGAUUAUAACGGUCGGCGAUUUCCAUUCCCUUGACCUUCCCCAUCUUCUUACAAGCAUCAUUGUUCGUUCUGUUUUCGAAACCAUUCUGCAUCUUCAUUACUUUCAAAUUCUUCGACAUUCCAAUGGAAUCGGGUACUUCUUCGAUGCUCGUAUGACUUAUGUCCAAAGUUAGCAAAUCCAAAUUUCUAACCAUCUUUGGAAGCCUCUGAAGAUUCCAACAAUUGCUUACAUCUAAGAAAAUUAAGCGUUUCAACUGACAAAUUGAUUCAUCAAUUUCGAUUAAUGAUUCACAGCCUGAUAAGAUCAAAUGUUCUAAAUUUAAAUGAGCAAAGAAGUUGGGGGUUCUCUCCAAGCAUUGGCAAUGGGCCAGAUUCAGAACUUUCAAAUUCUUAAUCCCCUGUGAAAGAAAAAUCAUGCACAGAUUACUUUCAAAUUUAAUGAGAUAGAAGAACAAGUAUCGUCUAGCAUAUGACAUACCUUCAUGUGGCUCCACCCUUUCCAAUCAUGAGUAAUUUCACUCCGAGAUAGAUCAAGGAUAGUCAAAUUCUCUACGGAGAAAUUUGCAAUCUCAAAUGUUGGGUGAAUAUUAUGCCAAGAAAGCCAGCGUACUUCUGGAAGGAGAUUUGAAUCCAAAACAUCAGUUGGAAGAACACUUGAUGGCCCUUUGUGCUGAAGAAGCAUCUUUUCUACACAAAAAGUUUGCUCCGAGUCAUCAACUUCAAGGAACCUUAGCCUUGAUAGGCUCUUAAAGUCAUUGUAGGUAAAACCAUGCUGAUGGUCCAAGCGGAGGCGAAGAGCUUCAACUUUUUUCUUCGUCUGCCCAAAGGAAAUUUUUUAAAAACAAGAGAGUUGAAGGGAAACACAUUUAGCCAAAUUCACUAUUUUAAGGGACUGAGUUGAGUACUACCGUUCCAUUAAUCUUAAAAAAGCAAAAAUGUCCAUAAGUAACUUGGAAAUUAAUGCACAGGGGAUUUUACCUUAGGGCUCUUCAACAAAUCCAACGCUUUCUCACGAUCCCACACCCUACUUUGUUUAUUUAUAUUGGUUUCUUGACAAACUAUUUGUCUUCCAAGGUCUCUAAGUUGGUCGUGCAUCCACACCUUAUUAUCCUCUUUAAUCUUUACCAAAGACAUGUUCUCCAAAACAUCCAUGGCAUAUUCCGGAUGGAAUUCAAAUUCCCAAAAAUGAACUACAAUGUCUUUAUCAUAUCCAAUUAAAAGACAAGCUAUAUCAAGGAACUUUUGCUUUUCCUUUUCUUCUAAUUCAUCAUAACUUAUUUUCAAUCUACUCUGGACAUCCUUAUGAGGAUCACUUUCCCACUUACGUAAUUCGAAAUCCCACUUUUUCUUUUCAGUAGUGCAAGAUAAAAGUGAACCCAUGAGCUCAAGAGCUAGUGGAAGACCUCCAGCAAUUUUUAUCGCCCUCUCGGAUUGGUCGAUAUACUCGUCCAAAGGAUGAUCUCUUCUAAAGGCAUGUUUGCUAAAGAGUUGAAGAGAUUGAUCGUGAUCCAUGCCCGAAAGCUCAUAACAACUGUCCACUUUAAGAACAUCAAGAACUUCUUUGUUUCUAGUAGUAAUAAUAAUUAUGCUCCCUUUACCAAACCAAUCACGCUCACCAACAAGUGCAUCGCUAUGAUUCUUUUCAUGUACAUCAUCGAGAAGGAGGAGGACUCUUUUGUUAGACAACCUGGCUUUGAUGGUAUUAAUCCCAUCAUCAAUGUUUCUUAUAUCGGUGCAUUUGUCUUUGAGGAUGUCGGAGAUGAGCUGAUUCUGCAAAGAUUCAAUGCCCUUGCGUUCUGACAUUUCACGAAUGCUGGACAGAAAGCAACAACCCUCAAAUUUUUCUAAAAGCUGAUUGUAGAUGAUUUUGGCAAUUGUCGUCUUUCCGAUGCCACCCAUCCCAUGAAUUCCUAUAAUCCGUGUUUCACUUGUCUGAGCACCUAUUUGUUCCAUGAUUUUACCCACAUGGUCGUCCAUAUUGACCAAGUUGUUUGAUACCACCAAAUAAGCCUUUUUCAACUCAUUGAAAACCUUCUGCGUGAUUGUUUUUGCAAGUUGACCUUCUUGCCUAUUGUUUGUUGAAAGUCAAAAGGCAAUGAGUUAGAAAAUUGAGUUAAGCCAAACUAUGCUCUGACAAGACCAAAUUCAAAACUACAGACCUAUUCUAAAUGCGUUCCUCAACGAUUUAUACCGUUUUGAUAAACUAGCACUAGAACUUAGGGUAAAUGAAUGACCUGAACUAACGAAAAAUGUUUCUUGUUGGGAAUGAAAUGGGACAAAAAUUGGCAUUGUGAUAUUAUUUAGCGUGAUUUUGCUGCAUAAUUUCAAUUGCAUACAAUUCAAUUUCAACAAGACUAACACAAAUCUAGAAAAGAAACCAAUUAAAAUGCAUCGAGUUUAAAGAUAUAAGGCACAUGAGAUGGAAUCCUAAAAGCAGUCACCUGUUGGGCAUGCUUUGCAGGUCCCAUCCAUUUACAUCCGCGACUGUAGUGAGAGCAUUCUUCCACUCUGCUAUAGUCUUUUCAUCAUAUCGCCCCUUUGUUUUGUGUGAAACAAGAGCUUUUUUAAAACUCCCGAUUUGGUGUCGAACCUCCGAAGGUGUCACAUCAUAAAAAAUGGGCAUGAUCUUUUGUCCUUCAUUUGUCUGGUGCUUGACCAUCUGAACUAGCUCCUUGAGACACCAUAUGCUAGAGGCAUAAUCUUUUGAAAAAAUAGGUAUUGAGAUCCUUGAGUGAUUGAUUGCUUCAAGAAGUUCUGGGGCAAACUCUUCUCCAAUGUGGAGGUCUUUGUCGUCCUUAAAUGUGCGGAUUCCCACAUUUGUAAGGCUAGUGUAGAGGUAGUCGGUAAAACCUGAUCGUGUAUCUAGCCCUCUGAAACUCAAGAAUACCUCAUAGUCAUGUCCGGAUGAUGUUGCAGUUUCCUCAACUUGUGGUGUAGUGCAAGUACGAGCAGCCCUCUCUACGAUACCAUUCUCUGUAGCUGAAUCAUUAUCUGUACUGCCCUCCACAGCGGUCUAACCUGCUCUUUUCUUCAGGAAUCCUUUGAACAGGAUGGCAGAGAGAGAUAUGGCAGCAAUUGUCACCAUACAGGGCAACCGCAAGUGCUCAAGCAUUUUGUGAGUUAGCAAAGAGAAUGUUUUUAGUUAGAAAUACAGGGGAUGGUGGAACAACAGAGAUGAGAGGCAGCACUUAAAGGUCAGGAUGGAGUAACGAGCAACGGCGAGCCCGCGAUGGCGAGAGACCGCCAGAGAAAGAGUAGAGAGUGAGGCGAGGGCGGCCACUGAUGCUGCGACGGAUCGGCAACGAGGCUGCAACUGCAAGUGAGGAAGGGCCGAAGGCGAGGCGGAGGAGGAGGAGAAGGAUCGAGAGGAAGAGGAGAGGAAGGGGGUCGUGUGGCGAGGAGGAGGAGAAGUAUCGAGAGGAAAAGGAGAGGAAGGGGGUUGUGCGGGUGCGGCGAGCGGCGAGAGGAGGAGGAGAAGGGGGCGCUAGCUAGGGUUUUGGAAACUCAAAAAGAAUAAAAUAAAGAGGCUGAUGGGGGUGAAGUGACAGCCUGUCACGUGGGUGGGGGAGGGGAAAGGCAAGCUGGUUCAUGAUGGACCAUUGGUAGUCCAAGUCUUCGUAGACUUUGACUUGGGUCAAUCAUUUGUUUCAGUCUUCUUGCACCACCCACAAGCUGUUUUGUCUGAUUUUUUUUCUCUUUCUAAGAGUGGUAGCUCAUGCUAAUACCACGUUAAGACGAGGCACAUGGAGCUUAGGUUUUGGAUUGUUGGCGUCCUUAUCAAAAUCACAUCAACCCAUCUCACGCAAUUCUUAAUCUAGUGAAUGUAUUUUGAUGCAAAAUUAUAUGUAUGCAACACAUUCCAUUUCUAUUUAGUUAAAUUAGAUGAUUCCAACUUUUUCAUUGAUUGAUGACAUGAUUGACUAAAUUUUUAAGAAAAAAGUUUUUUUUGGACAUAUAGUGUUUCAUUGCAAGUAUUUUUCUAUUUUUUGAAUUGAUUUUGUGAUAACUAAACAUUCCAUGUUUCAUAAUAGAAAACAAAAUCUCUCUAGAACUGGAGGUGUAAAAUUGUUCCAUUUUGUAAUUCAAUGUUCAUAAGUCUUUUCAAGCAUAAAUCCGAGUUAAAUCCGAGUGUGACAAAAAAAAAUUAAGAUUGAAGUUAUUAAAUCACAUGACUCAAUGAGUUAAAAGGAAGAAUCUUGGGAAGAAUCAAAUUUCUUGAAUUGAGAUUGAUGGAAGAUCGAAUAUGUUCUCUGAUAGCUUUAGCUUUCAUUAUCACUCCACUGAAAUUUUGUUUUAGUAAAACCAAAAUCUCGUCCCAAUUUUUUUUUUUUUUUUGAAAUUAGACACCAUCCAUUUGAAUCAAAAUUGAGCUUCCUCCAUUAGCUCAAAAGCUCGGGAAGAAGAGAAAAUAUGUGGGAUCCCAUUGCCUAAUUCUUAGUCUUUUUGAAGGAAAAAAAAGACUUCUCAUACAAAUGUGGGCCUUAAUUAUUGAGACAUUUUUUCCUUUACCCUAGAAUAUGCAGAGAGUCAUGGGCCAGUUUUGCUGCAGAAUUGAUCGACAAGGAUGCUUCCUUGCAGCAUCAUUGUGGCCUGUCAACCGUGACAAAUAUUACGUUUCUUAACGCGGAAAAUCACUAAACUAUGUGGUGCAGAAAUUUUGGGAUGAGAAUCUACUUUUACCCCAAAAUAAUUCAUUUGAAGUCAAGUCAACAAAAGCAGACACGGAACUUCCAAAACAAGUUCGUUUCCCCCAUCCUAAAUAAGGUGAACUCCGAUCGGUCUAGUUUAAUGGGUUGAUUAGGCCCAGGCCCGGAAUAGCUUUGAAGCAUAAAGCCUAGUGGAAUUAUUGGGCUUGAUCUUCGUCAAAGCACUCCCUAGUGAUCAAUUGAAUUAAGAAAAGAUCACAUUUUAUUUCGGAGGUGAACCAUCCUUCGCAUUUAACCUGUCGUUAGUGUCAAAAAUUGCUUGUCACAAAACGUUGUAGUUGGACAUUAAAUCCAUGCAUUGUGCUGAUUAUUAUACAAAACAUUACUAAAAUAGAGUACACAAAACCAAUGUGUAAGCACAGUCUUGUGUCGUAUUAAAACUUUGAGCCACCAACAAGUGUGAUAAAUAAGCUCACGAACAUGAUGUGACCUAUUAGCUCUCAUUUGGAAUUUAACUCAUUUAGCAUUUCCACAUUCACGAUUGAACUUGAAAGCCUCUAUGAGGAUUGGGAAAAGUUUAGUGAAGCCUCUUGACUAUAAUGAUUAAAAAAAAAAUAUUGACUCCCCCUGAAUUCAAGUAUGAAAAUUUUCUAUUUUAGAUAAUGUUUUCGGAGGUAUGACUCUUCGCUCUCUCAGUUAAUGCAUGUGGAUUAUCUAGCGGAAAAAAGAGGCAAAAAUGAAAGAACUUAUGGACAACGUGAGACUAUUCCAUGUUAAAAUUUGAAAAUCAGAAAAAAAAAAUAGCCACACUUCUAUUAAUUUGAAAUUAAAUGAUUUGGGUUGCUAUUUCAGAUUUACCUCGACAUUAGAUGAUGUCAAACCAAGUCCAUUUGCAGCUAGAAACAUUUUUUUAGUAUAAUUAAGAAUCGGAAUGCCUCCUCUUCAACUUCUAUGAAUCCAACUUAAGAGCCAUGCUUUACUUGAAAAACAAAUUGGAGAUGCGUUUACGUUGUAGAGUAUUCAUUUUCUUCACGUCGCAAUUUUGUGUUGGUUAUUGUCAUAAAGGUGAUGCUAUAAGUGCUAAUAUACUUUCACACACAUUGUAAUAGCUACUUUGACGUAUACGGUAUGAUGAAAUUAUCGUUCUCUUGCAUGAAUAAAGCAAAAAUGAUGCUUAGCUCUUCGUUGGUUGAUCUCCAACUUGAAGAGUUUGCUUUUACAUGGAAAUGAACAAAUAUUGGACAGGGAAGAAAAAAGGGGAAAAACUCAGGUCUAAGCGCAUAUGGCACCAAAAGGAAAUCCGAUUUCGAUAAGACUGGAUAUGAAUUGUAGUUCAGAUUCAAGUUGAUUCAGGGAGGGCGACCGCAAAAGUCACCGAAUGGGUCAAUCUUUUCCUUCAGUUUGUCCUAUUUAAUAAAAUAAAAAAGCGUGGGAAGAUGUUGCAGAUGUCUAGGACGGACACGACUUCUUGUAACACUAGAAAACCACUAGAAGAUACCCGGGACCAAAGCAUGUCGUGAAAGAAGCACAUUGGGGCAUUGACCAAUUUCAUAUAGUAAGACAAAGCAACAAAUUAUAAGGUAUCUAAAAAUCACCACAUAAUAUAUCGACAAAAUAUGGCAUUUGGAAUUUAUAUAAUUUGACCCGACCUCACUAGGUAAGUUAAUUAGCAAAUCAAGCCAUUGAAACAUAUAAACCAAACCAAAACAAAGAAGAUCUGAACAAGGUUAUUUGCAGAAAUAUAUCACUAGUCAACAUGCAAAAGUGCACAAAAAAAGAAGAUUUACAUAAACCUCUUUGUAAGUCAUAUGUUUAACAGGAUAGGAAGCACUUCUUAUCAGAUAAAAAAAGUACUCAACAGGGCAGCUGUCCAUUUUUUUUUUCUUUCGCAGAAAUUUGCCAAGUUUGAUCAAGCAACUCCAUAAUGUGCUGAGUUUCCAAAUCUCCCGUGGUGAAGAAUGCCUAUUUGUUUCAAUUUCCUCCACAUUGAUACAUCAGAAACAUCAGGAUAGAGUUGCCAGAGAAGAUACGCAAAUUGUCCAGUGAUUCUGGUCAACCAGAUUACCACAAUGAUCUAAAUGAAAAUCCAUUAGUUUCUUCAAGCCACUCAGUCGGCCAAUUUGUCCAGUCGGUUGAGUUUGUUCAGCUCCAAAUUCCAGAUUUAGUCAGGUGGCAUCUUUAUCCACUUGCAGUUUCUCAAAGACUAGCGUUCAAGGCUUAUGAUGGUAACCAAUCGACUCGGGAAGCUCCAAGAUCCCAGCUCCUUACAGAGAAAGCCUCAACAGGGAAGUCGGGUAACUGAUCGAAGGUUUUGUAGUCGGUGAGGAACGAUGGCAAGCACAGAGAAUUUCUAGACUCUUCAAUCCUUGACAUUCAAGCAUAUGUUUCAUUGAUGUCCCAUCAAUCAAGGGUUCUCUCAAACAUUCCAUUUUACUAGGCUCCUAGGGAGAUGGUGGAGAUCAAUCUUUCCAAAUUCACAUGUACCUGAGGUCUAGCAUCUAACAGAACCAUUUUGACAUCGAAAGGUCCACCUGAUCUGACUGAAUUGAGGUCAUAAAGCAAUCCCUUUUAAGGCAAGUCCAUGUCAGACUUUCCCCUUCCAUCUUGGUAGUUUGUAGAUGUACAUUUCCGAUAAGUUAGGGACUUGUUUGUCCAUCUUGGUAGUUCUUACAAUACUCUGUUCGUGUGAAGUCCUCUGAGAUGCACUAAUCGAGAUAUACUCCUUUCAUCAUUUUAUUCAAAUCAUUUCACUGUUCCCGCUGCUCCAUGGUUUAUAGCAGCAUCGUCAUAUGGACUACCCAUCUCCACUGAUCUUACUUGUGCUUAGACUCCUCUGGAAGAAAUAUUUGAACAGAACAGCAGAAACAACGAUGGUAGCAACUGUCACCACACACAGGACAACCUCAAGUGCGUCAAUCGUUUUGCGCCAGCACAAGUGGUCCACCUUGGCAGAAACAACAAUUGUUGUGCUGCUGCUAUUGCUCCUCCUCCUCGGAGGCAUGGGACGACGCCUGCUGGUUCCAGCUUGGUCGUCACUGCUCGUUCGAAAGAGAGGCCGAAUCGGAAUCCGAAGUGACGAUCCGAAAUAAAAAUGGGAGGAGGAGAGAGUUGGAGGGGGAUGGUGGGAUAUUCGACCUGGCCUUGCUGCCUGACGCAACCAAUUCUUAACGUUGCAGUCUCACGUACACUGGAAGAUUAAGUUUGAACCAAAACUACUCAGUUCACGUACGUAUACAGGCCUGUCAUUGCUGUCUUACCAGCGUGCUAGAAGCCUGGAAAUACCUUCAUAUGAGGUAGCAAUAUAUGCAGGAUACAACCUCGCCAAGGAUUCGCUCACAAUGUGAUUCAAAUUAUUCAAUUCAUGGAAAAUAGUGUGACCCACCUAUUGUUAAGUCACCGCAUUUGGGGGUGGCCUACAAUUUUUUCACGUUCAUUGUUCUUUCUUUUUCAAAUUGUUUCACAUGAAUGAGUCGUGUAUGAAUUUGAUAAAAGCACGAGACGUGUAUAAAUCUAUUUUGUGCUUAUUAGCACCUAAGUUUGACGAGUGACUGAUUUAUUAACACUGGCCAUAAAUGAAGAGAUUUAGGGAUUUUUCUUUGCAAAAAAGUUAUUGUUACACCAUUUACGCUCUUGAAUCACACCUUGUUCUUCACUUUCUGUUGUUGUUUUGUGUUCUAACUUCUCUGUAUUUUGGAAUAACAUGAAUUUUCAGAUUAAGCUUGAAUCUGAAAAUAUUUGACUGGAGAAGUUUGCCAUCAUAAUGAAGUAAUUGCAAUUUCAUAUACCUCCACUAAUAUAAAUAAACAUUAUACCAACUAAUUGAACUGUAGAGCACCCAUUUGUCCAACAAAAUGUCUCAUUCUCUUUGGCUAAAAUACAACAGAAGGCAUCCCCACGAAAUCUUUCUAAAUGUUCCGAUUAUAGCAAAACUUACUUCAAUGCUCUAAUGCACACAACGUAAAUCACCGAAUGUGACAUUGAAAAUGCCCAUUGACAAAAUAAGAUCCCAAGGGCAAAUCGGAAAGAUCGUAAAGAAUCUGGAAUGGAACAGAUCGCGUUUGAGGGUGAUGGUUGUUCUGACAUGCUUGAUUGCUGCAAAGUGAGGCGAUACUCAAGCUUUUCAAGUUCAAGAGAUUGGAAAUGCUAUCAUCAGCUCGUCGCUCGGUAUGAAUAUGUAGACAGAGAAGAAUUUCUAGGAGUCUUGGCACUUGGGGGUAUCUCAACACAUGUCGGUUUCAAAAUCUUCCAAGAUGAACAUCUCCAGAUAUCAUAGGAAUUUUUUAUUAGCAAAUUUUCACUAAGCUUUGCAUCUAUUUUUCUCGCCUUUUAUGCUUCCAUUUUGCACUAGUUAUCAUUCUGAUGACAGAGAACCUCAUCUUCAAUACUUUCAAAUACUUCAUGUUCUCGAUUUCAAAAAAAAAAAAAAAAAAUACUUCAUGUUCUCGACCAAACCAGGCAGCUUCUCUAUGUCCAUGUUCAAUUUAUCGAACUCAACAAAUGAUUCCAAAUUCCAGAUUGAGUCCAGUAGUGUCUUUAUUGACUUGCAGUUCUUGAAAGACUAGUGUUCGAGGCUUACGAUGGAUCCACUUGAGUUGGGAAGCUCCACGAUCCCAGCUCCUCACAGAGAAAGCCUCGAUAGGGAAGUUAGGUGACAGAUUGAAGGUUUUAUAGUCAAUGAGGAACGAUGGGAAGCACAGAGGACCUGCAAGCUCUUCAAUUCUUGACAUUCAGGCAUAUGCUUUAUUGAAGUUAUACAACAAUCCCUUUUUAAGGCAGUUAAGUCCAUGUCAAACUUUACCCUUCCAUCUUGGUAAUUCGUAGAUGUAUAUUCCCUUUUAAGAUAGAGAUUAUCGAUGUUUGUCCAUAAAAACCAGCAUGCAAAAUUGCAAAUCGAUCAAAGUCAACGUGGCUAGCAAGCUAGUCACCAUAUCUUUCUCCCAAAAAUCAUGUACUUUUAUUCGUGUGAAGUCCUCCAUCAGGUACUAACCGAGUUAUCCAGAGUUAGAUUCAUCUACUAGUAAGAAUACUUUGAGGGACCUUGUUUAGAUUUCUUAUACUUGUUUCAUUGUUUGAUUCCAUCAUUUCUCCGUUCACGCUGCUCCAUGUUUUAUAGCAGCAUUGUUAUUUGGUUUGCCCUCUCCAGUGAUCUUACUUGUUGCUCUCAGUCUUCUCUGCUCCAUGGUCUAUAUUAGCAACUGUCGCCACACACAGUGCAACCUCAAGUGGUGAAUCAUUUCGCACCAGUACAAGUGGUCCACCUCAGUAGAAACAACUGUUGAGGUGCACGAGGAUUGGGGGUGGUCUGACUUGGCCUCCCCGCCCGAGUUGCAAUGGGUUAGGAUUUUUAUUUUAUUUUAAUAAAUUAAAAAGUGUGGGAAGAGAUGACCUACGGUUUUCCAUUCUUGUUGUUACAUAAAGUGUUAUGUACGUUACAAAAUAUCUCCAUUGAGCCAUAACCACUCGAUCUAUCGACAAGUGUGCGAGACUAUCACCAUAACUAAUAUGCCAAAAGCCUGAAAAUCAUUCCACGUAACGUGGUGAAUACCUAAAAUAUUGACAAGUGAAAAGUUUACUCAUGACAUGAUUCGAACUCAUGAAUUAAUAAAAGAUGGCAUGAUCCCUUCAUCAUUGGGUUAUCGUGCUUGGGGUUGGAUUGCGAUUGCGACUUUUUCAUGUUCAAAUAUAUAUAUUUUUUGUGCUUAUAAAAUUUGACUUAAGUCAAAUGAGGAGUUAAUGUGUUUAUGUUACCAAUAAAAGAAGAGGUUUGAUGACUGGUUUCUAUAAAAUUGAUUAAUUUACUCUUCAUAAUUUUCUCUUGAGGUUCACUUAUUAUUUAACUUCGACCUUUUUGUUCUGUGUACUAACUUUUAUGUGCUUUUAUAAACAUUUGACUGUGAAUAUAAAUAUGUGAGAGCCACCAAACAUCGAGCAUGCCACGCAUCGGGGUUCGUAUAUUAUUUUGUUUGUGUGAGUUAAUUGCGAUUUAAGGAAAACAAAUCUUCCACAUUAUUUGAUAAUUUGAAAAUGACAUUUUGUGACUUUUGUUGCGUGAGGUUACAAACUCUUUUUACUUUGAACACAGCCGAUGAAAAAGUCUAAUGACUUUUGUUCUCAAAGAUUAUGGACCUUUUUACUUGUUUAAAUCUUUUACAUGUAAAGUAUUCAAUCCCAAUGAUUGUAUAACUCAUAUAUUAAAUAAGCAAUUAUGAGAUGACGAUGGCAUCAUUUUAUAAGAUAGUGAUUGGUAUGAUCGUAUUCGCACUAAAUAUUUUGUAAAUUCUAAAUAAAACAACCCAGCUCAAACUAUUGCAUAUACGUUCAUCUAAAAAUAAAAUUAAAAACUAUCGAAUCCACUUCCAUAUAAAUUUUAAAGAAAAGAAUUCAUCCGUCCUAAUAAGUCACAUACUCAAACUCUUUUUCAACUUGAGAGAAGUGGGCUCCACAAUCCACAAUUAAGCUCAACUCACUUGUCUUGGAUGUUGAAUAAUAUUCUUUUCAAGUUCGAAUAUUAUUGGCAAAGAAAAAGUUUGAAUAAUUCGAGUUAUUGGAUUGAUUCGAGCGGAAAAAUUUUACUCAAGAAGCUUGUGAUCAGAGGAAGCGCCAAAAGAGGAAGAGACAGGGAGAACGGAAAUUUGUCCAGGAGGACGCCUCAUUUUAGCCAAAAUUCCUUUAUUGCCCUCACGGAAACGACGAAAUCACCGGACGUGACACCGAAUUUGCCCGUCGACAGAGCGAGAGCCCGAGGUCAAAUCAGGAAAAUUCGCAAAUCCGUCGUCCUCUCCUUCUCUUCCCCCCACCCAAAAAUAAAAGCUCGCCGUAGCUUUCGAUCGCCAUCCGCCGCGAAAAUCGCUACGGAGUCCACGAACGCUGCGAAGACCACGAUUCGAAGGUUGAAUUCGAGCAAUGCGGACGAAGACCGCAAUCGAUCUCUCCACCUCGCCGGGCGAUCGCGCCAUUUUGAUUGCGUGAGAUUGGAAUGAUGUUGUUGCUCGGCAGAAUGUGGAGUUGAGGGUGAUGGUUGUUCUGAAGUGCUUCAUUGCCGCGGGUGGAGGCCAGAGGUAAUUGCAAUUCAUGUUCAUGUAAUCAGUUACUGCUCUGAUCCUCCCACUUGAUUGGGAUUGAGAGUCUAGUAUCGACCAUGUCGGUUUUGAGGUUGGACAGUGAGGUUUGUAGCGUGAAUUUGGCGGAUUAGGCAUUUCAGGGUUGGGGGGAAUCGCUGACCGUGUUGUGGAGCUGUAGUGCCUGAUUUAAUGGGGCAUACUAUGGCUGAAUUAUUUGGUUGGAUUAGCUAAGCUCUUGGAUUACUGAGUUUGGAUCAAUACUACAACUGGAAUAUGGUCAUAUUGAUACAAAUAUUUCAUCCUGCUGUUUCUAUUUUGGGGGUAAAAAUUUGUUGAGUGUCUCACAGUGAUUGACUAUCGGCUAUUUGGCUUUUCUCCAGUCAAGUAAUGGACUGUAGCUUGUAGGUUUCAGCGGACAAGCUUUAUGGGAAAGAGGAGCCUUAUGUUGUUUACUCAUUCGCCUUUUGUUGCAUUUGAACAUAUAGUUCUUUAAGUUCACGAACAUGGAUGGCAAAAAUAUACUGAAAUAUUAUUUUGAGUUGAUGUUUCCUUGAAGUGUUCCUCUUACUUGAUUGUCGAAAUAGCUUGCUAGAGACAUAAGAAACUUGCUCUAUUGCUUGUCAUUAAAUGAGUUUUUGACCACAUUUUCAAUGUGAAAUUUUCUCAACUGGUAAAUGCAGAACUCAGAGUGAGGUCCAAGGCUUGUAAAGCUGUUUACAAUCACAUUCUUGCCAUGACAUCGGCGGAGUAUGCAUCUGCUGUAAGUGUUCUUUAUAAGGAUUUUCAUAUUUACCUAGAGCUUGUUGUUGUUAUUACUCUUCAGGUUUCACCAUUUAAAUACAAUAACAUUGUAACUAGAUGCGCAGCUUUUUAUUUUGCAGGUUUAAUGUCAUAUUUGACAGAGCUUGGUAGUUGGACUUGUCCUAGAUGUGAUGGAAAGACCAAGGUAAUUUAAUAUGGUUUGAUAUGACAUUGUUGCUAAGGUUGCCUGAAGAAUGGAUCCUCAGUACAGUAUUAAAUGCCAAUUCUUCUGAUGAGAUUUUGUGGGCAUAUGCUGCCUCCUCUUAUUAGAUUCUGAACUGGUAAUUAAUGCCUUUUGAUAUGAAAGCAGGGGUUUGAAUUCAUUGAAUUGAUAGUGGGCAUUCACCACUGCUUACACGCAGAUUAUUUGGUUGCAGUGGCUUACCAAUCUGCAAUGCUUGCGAUGCCUAUAUGUUUAAAUUGCAUCUAAUAGUUUAUAUCUAUUUCUAAACGUACAUAUAUGUUUCCUGUAGGCAUACGUUGGGGUGGCCAAGGAUCUUAAUGCCGUGAUUAUAGCUUUUAGAGGUGCACAAGAACAUAGGUAUGCAUCUUAACUUUAGCAACUCUUCUCCUUACAAAUGACUUGCAAAGGUUUUGAUGAAAAUUUAAGCUAAGAAGAGCAGCCUCCUGUGAGUGUGUACACGAGACCCAUGGGUCGACUGUCCAUAAGAAGGGAAAAGGGUGAAUCAUUUCCACCAAGAUGCGAAAGUUACCUUUUUGUAAUUUGAGAUUGGUUCAUGAGAAGAUCACAUACUUCACUAAUUUUGUUCUGUGAAAAAUUCUAUCACCUCUCUGUGUCAUUUGAGCUUUUCAGUUAGUGAUUACUUCUUUUUAUGUCUACAGCAUACAGAAUUGGGUUGAAGAUCUCUAUUGGAUAGUGGAAACAGCUUGAUGUACUACCCUGGCAUGCAUGGUGCCCUGGAUAGCUCUAAAGAUGAUUAUGCCUCUUGCAAGCUGUGGAUUUUUCUCGUUUGGAUUGAGUUACAGUCUUACUCUAUUGAUUUCUGCUUGGGUUAAUCAUGGAUUUUACUAUUCUUAUCUUGAUAUGACAAUUCAACCUGGUUUUUUGGAUGCUGUUAUAAGAACCAAGGAUUUAUAAGGGGACAUCAAUUUCAUGGUGACAGAGCAUUCUAUGGGAGGGGCUAUGGCAUCCUUUUGCGGAAUUGAUCUUGUGGUAAGAUAGUUAAAAACUGCUAUGGUCUGGAAUUGUGAAUUUUAUCGUUUUUUUUUCCUAUUGUGUUCUUCCAAUAUUCAGAUGAUAAUCUGUUAAGAGUCAUCUAGAAUUCUCUGCCAAAUCUUUGUUGAAGAGUCUAGGCUCUUUAUGUCGAUCUUGAACUUUCUAUUGCUCUCAUAUUUAUAUUCACAAUUCAUCAUAGACAGCAUCUUGUUUUCUUUCAGUUUUGGUAAGUCAAACCAUAGACAAAACACAAGCAGAAUGGGGUGCAAAUAGCCAUUUAUGCUAACCACCAAUUGUUUAAGUAUCUAGCAAUGUAAAUUGAGUCUUACCCAUAAAGCUAUGGAGCUUCAAGUUGGUCAAAUACCUAAAUAUAGUGGAUAAGGUCACUUCCAACUAAUCAUUACAAGGUUUACUUACUUGCUGGAAAAUUUAUGGAAUUGUCGAUAUGUUUAUGGUCUGGACAUAUAACUUUUUAAAGGACUUGAAGCUCAAGUUAUAUGUCAUGUAAUCUUGAAGUGCUAAUGCAUUUUAAGAUAGAUUAUAUAUCAAUCCUAAAUUUGUGUUUGGUGUACUGUUUCUAUCUAAGUCUCUCUCUAAUCAAAAGAAGCAGCUCCUCUUCAGUAGGACUACAAGGCCAGAUAUGUUGUAGGCUGGAGCCAAUGCUAAGAUGUCUAAAAUAUGCCUUUUUUCUCAGCUUUAUUGGACAGAGUGUUCCAGGGUACAUUUGGAGGCACCUGUUGCUCAACUGGUACCAGAAAUGGUGCCCAAUCCAAAAUCAUGUCCCAUUGAUUCUCUUCUCCAUGAAAAGUGGUGAUUUUUUAGAGUUAAACUUUAUCUUGAAGUCUGAUUACACUCAUGUUCAUGUGGCCUAUGAUAGGAUCAUAGGUUGCAUGGACUUUAGACUAUACCCUUUCUCAAAAUAUUAGUAGCAAGUAUAACAUCUUGUCAUAAAACUUUUAAACGAUUUAAAAUUUUAUUUUUGUUUACUGGUUUCUUGCUGAAAAUUUUGUCGAGCCAAUUGUGACGUCAUGCCCAUUCAUUGCGAUCCUUUUUAAGAUUGACUUUGUCCUUCGCUACUUUUGACAGUAAGUUUUGUAGUUCAAGGGGCAUUUUCACCAUGAACCAAGAAUUUUUUGUUUAUGUUAUUAGCAGGAUGUGACUCACCCCACCAACAUUCAAGUGCUUCUUGUGGAAGCAAUUAAAUGCGCUUCUGUUGUAAAUUCAUGUCCAAUCCCACUAUUCCAUAUUAUUAACACCUUUUUGUGGUGCUGAGGGUGGGUUUGGUUUUGUUGUGUGUGGGGUUUGGUGUUGGGAAACUUAUGGAUGGGAUCUUGACGGAGUUAACGCUAGACCUUCAAUUCUUAUGGAGACAAAGGGCUGUUCUAUUGUUCACCUUUGUAUAUGAAAUGCAAUAUAUGGUUAUUGAUGCAUAGUGUUUUUUUCCCAUCUUGGAAGGGCUAUUGAUGUAUUGACAUUCAAGUUAUUUGGCUGUCUAAUUAUGUGUGCUGAAACUGUCUUUUCCAGACCAGCAUUCGCCUGAUUUACUUAACCGAAACACUUUAUUUCCUGGUUAAUCAUGAAGCACAGAAUAUUCAGGUUUAAACAUUUGGACAACUCUGUAUUGGCAAUGCAGUGUUUGCAUCUUACUACAGUGACUGCAUACCAAAAACAUUACGUAUUCCUCCUGGACAAGAUUUUUUGUCUUAUUUGCCUCCGUACUAUUUUUGGUUCCCACAGAAGACAUACCAUCAAUUCCCUAGAGAGUUUUGGUGUUGAUCUUGACAGAAUAUCAAAUAAAUUAUGGGGAAUUGUUGAUGACUGAAUUUGAGGUUUGCUUUGCAUUUCUUUCAACCUGUCUAACAAGUGAAGUAUCAUAUAUUCCGGCAUUGUAUGUGUCACAAAACUGAUUAGAGAACCCGCAGCAAGUAGAAAGAGAGAAAGAAGGAAGAGAGAAGGAGGAGAAAGAGAACGUAAAAGAAAGAAAGAGAGGGCUGUAGUUUUUCUGUAAUCAGAAACCCUACACCCAUUGUAUUUAUAUUGAAUAUAAAUUGUAUAUAACAAUAAUAUCCUUAUGUAAGUAAAAAAGGAAAUAAAACUCUGAUAAUAAAGGAAACUCAAUUAAAGUAACUUAACACUCCCCCUCAAGCUAGAGCAUAUAGGUCACCCAUGCCUAGCUUGGAACAACCAACAACAAAAGCAGGAUGAAAUAAUGCUUUGGUAAACAUAUCAACAAAUUGAUCUCUAGAGGCAACGUAAGGAGUAGCAACCAUAUUCUGCUUCACAGCAUCACGAACAAAGUGACAGUCAACUUCUAUAUGUUUAGUUCGCUCUUGAAAAACAGGAUUCCCAACAAUAUAAAUGGCUGCUUGAUUAUCACACAUCAUGUCAAUAGGUUGAUUAAUAGAAAAUCCAAGCUGCUGGAGAAGAGAUUUUAACCACAACAAUUCAGCCACAGUAUGUGCCAUAGCACGAUAUUCAACCUCUGCACUAGACUUGGCAAUGGUAGUUUGUUUCUUACUUCUCCAAGUAACCAAAUUACCACCAAUAAAAGUGCAAUACCCAGUUGUAGACCGUCGAUCAUAUGUUGACCCAGCCCAAUCAGCAUCAGAAUAGCCAACCAAAGUGGAAGAACCAUUAGAUUUAUAAAUGAGUCCCUUACCAGGAGAGCUUUUAAGAUAUCGAAGAAUGCGACAUACAACAUCCCAAUGAGCUUUCUUAGGUGACUCCAUAAACCGACUCACCACGCCAACAGCAAAAGAAAUAUCGAGACGUGUAACAGUAAGAUAAAUUAGUUUCCCAACUAGACGCCGAUAUUGAUGCUUGUCUUCAAUUUCUUUUCCAUCAUCAACUCCAAACUUUUGAUUUUGAUCCAUAGGAGUAUCAACUGGCUUGGAAGCUAGUGUACCUGUCUCAGACAAAAGAUCAAGAACAUACUUUCGCUGAGACAAAUUAAUACCUUUUUUACUUCGUAAAACUUCAAUUCCCAGAAAAUAUCUAAGAGUUCCCAAGUCCUUAAUCUGAAAUUGCUGCUGAAGAAAUGAGUUAAUCUCAAAAAUGCCAGUCACAUCACUACCAGAGACAAUUAUAUCAUCCACAUAUAUCACAAGAAUGACUACCCCCGAUUCCUUCUUGCGAACAAAAAUAGAAUGAUCAGAAUAAGAUUGGUGGAAUCCACAUCUGGAAAUCACCGAACUGAAUUUUUCAAACCAUGCUCUUGGAGACUGUUUCAACCCAUAAAUUGCCUUAUGUAGCCGACAUACUUUACUACGAUUCUCCCCCUGAGCAACAUACCCAGGAGGUUGCUCCAUAUAUACUUCUUCAGACAAAUCACCAUAAAGAAAAGCAUUUUUGAUAUCUAAUUGAUAUAAUGGCCAAUCGAAAUUCACAGCAAGAGAAAUAACAACACGAACAGAGUUGAGACGUGCCACAGGGGAAAAAGUCUCAAAAUAAUCCACUCCAUAAGUUUGAGUAAAACCUUUAGCAACGAGUCGAGCUUUAAGACGCUCGAUUGAGCCAUCCGGAUUGUACUUGAUAGUGUACACCCAACGACACUUCACCACAUCUUUCCCAAGGGGAAGAUCAACUAAUGACCACGUUUGGCGAGAGACUAGAGCUUCCAUUUCCACAUCCAUAGCUUUCUUCCAUUCAAGGCGAGACAAAGCCUCAGUGGUAGAAGUAGGGAUUGUGUGAGUUUGUAAUGAUAGAGCAAAGUCAUGUAAUGGAGAAGGAAUAUGUGAGAGAGACACAUAACGCUCAAUAGGGUAAGCCAAAGAGGAUUUUUGUGUGCAAGACCGAGUACCUUUGUGAAGGGCAAUAGGAAGAUCGUCUGGACUAGGAGACAAGGAGGAAGAUUGAUUGGAGGGCAUUGAAGAGCUUGAGACUAGUGGUGCCGUAGACUGCUUUCGCUGCUGAUACACCUACAAUGGAGGAAAUACUAGAGACGGACUAACAGAAUCUAAGGAGAUUUGUUGUGGGAUAGGAGGAUCAGCUACAAUGUCAGUUGAAAACUCUUUACCCUCAGUAGAAUAGUAUGGUGUGCCCUCGAAAAAAGUAACAUCAGCACUAACAUAUUGAGUAUAAGUUGUAGGAUCAUAACACCGAUAUCCCUUCUGUGUAUGUGAAUACCCGAGAAAAAUACAUUUAGUAGCACGAGGAGAUAGUUUAUCAAAACCGGAACGUAGGUUAUGAACAAAACAGACACACCCAAAGACACGCGGGGUAAGAGAGAAUAACGGCUUGUCAGGAAAUGCAACACUGAUUGGUGACUGAUGAUUGAGGACAAUGGAAGGCAUACGAUUUAUGAGGUAACAUGCGGUAAGGACAGCAUCACUCCAAAAUGAUUUUGGCACAUUCAUAUGAAAUAAGAGUGAACGAGCAACUUCUAGAAGGUGACGGUAUUUUCUCUCGGCCACACCAUUCUGCUGAGGGGUAUAAGUACAACUUAUUUGAUGUAUAAUGCCAAGAUUAGAACAAAACAAAGAAAUUGAUUUCUGUGUAUAUUCUAGAGCAUUAUCUGUUCGCAAAAUUUUCAGGGAUGUAUUAAACUGAUUAGUAACCUCACGAUGAAAUAAUUGAAAAACAUGUAAAAAUUCAGAGUGGUCAUGAAGCAUAUAGAGCCAUGUUAAACGAGAAUAAUCAUCCACAAAAAUAACAAAGUACUUAAAACCAUUUCUACUAGCAAUACGGGAAGGUCCCCAGAUGUCCGAAUGAACAAGUUCAAGUAAAGUAGAUGCACGAGAAUCACUACGACUAGGAAAUGAACUACGAUGAUGUUUCCCAAGUUCACAAGCCUCACACUCAAGAGUAGAAAUUGAUUUACACUCGGGAAUUAUUUGUUGUAACUUAAAUAAAGAUAAAUGCCCUAAACGAGAAUGCCAUAAUAGGGGGGUAAUAGAACUAGCAGCUAGACCAUUGGCGUCAGCAGUGGAGAGACCAUUGAGAUAGUAGAGUCCAUCACAUUCAUGUCCUCCACCAAUCAUCUUCUUUGUCUGAAGGUCCUGAAAAAUGCAAUGAGAUGGAUAAAAUGUAACUGAACAACUAAAAGCUUUAGUUAACUGACUAACAGAUAACAAAUUUAAAGGAAGUUGGGGGACAUGUAAAACAGAGGACAAAGAUAAGGAAGAUGUAAGUGAAACAGUCCCUGAUCCAACCACUUGAGUCGAUGAACCAUUAGCUAAAAUAACUUCGGAUGAAGGACUAGAAUUAGUGUGGGAAGAAAAUAGUUCUUGCUUACCCGUCAUAUGACUAGAAGCCCCCGAGUCAAUGACCCAAGAGGCGUUAGGAGACAAAGUAGAGAAAGAGGCCAUGUUACCUGUACGUGCAAGAGUAGCAGUGGAUGAGAAAUUGGAAGCCUCUAGUUGUUUGACACGUUUGAUGAGUUGUGCAACCAUAUCAUCUCGAGUCGUAGACUCAGAAGAACUACCCCCAAGUGGAAGAGAUGGGUUCAUGUCGUUGUAAGACACAUUUCGAGCACUCUCUUCAGACAUAGCAGCAUUUGCAAUAACCUUGGCCCAACAAGUGUCAACAAUAUGACCGAAUUUGCCACAGUGUAUACACUGACGGCUAUCUCGAUCAGAACUUUGUCCACUACGUCCACCACCGCGACUACGAUUUCCCCCGAAACCACGACCUCUAUUGGAAAAUCCACCACGACCACGACCACCACUACUAGCCACAAAUGCUGAAUUGUCUUUAGAUGAAGUAGAAGACGGAGGGAUAAUGCGCUGAAUUCGACAAAAUGCUUCAUUCAUAGAAGGAACUCUCUCUCCAGCAAGAAGCUGACUCUUCACAGGCUGUAAGUCAACAUUCAAGCCAGAUAGAAAUUUGGCCACUUGAAAUUCAGCUCGUUGUGUCUUUAGUCUCUCAAGAUUAGUAGUGAUGGGCUGAUAAAGAUUGAGUUCUUCCCACAUACCUUUCAAAGCACUAUAAUAUUCUCCAAGAGAUUUGUUUCCCUGUUUAAAAUUAAAAAUCUUCUCAUAUAGUUCAUAAACUCUAGACAUAUUUUUGUCUUGUGAGUAACUCUCCAUAAGAUCAUCCCACACUCCUUUAGCAGUUGUGUGGAACAUGACAUUAGCAGCGAUGGAUGGUUCCAUGCUAUUCCAUAACCACACCAGAAGUGUAUCAUUCUCUCUCAUCCAACCAUUAUAGUCUCUAGAAUUUUCAUCAGGAGGGUCUCUGGUAAGAUAAUGAAGUUUCCCUUUGGCAUUAAUAUAGACCUUCACAGCUUGGGCCCAUAACAAGUAAUUGGAGGAUCCAUUUAAUUUAAUAGUGGUAAUUUGAACGUUGACACUAUUUGUAGAAGCCUUAGUAUCACUCAUGAUGAUAAUCUCAAUAUAAGUAUAUCUACCACUAAUCAAGGAGGCUGAAACUUUAGUGCAAGUAACAAAGCAGCAACGCUAAUGUAUAAUCAGAUGUAAUUGGCUUCAUCAAUUAACCAAAGGGAUGCUGAAAACUCAUAAAUAGAGACUGCUGUAUAGAAGAAAAUAUCUGACUAGAAAUCUCGAUUCAAAUAAUUAUAUGUUUGACGGAAAACCAGCAAGACUAGUCAACCAUAAUCAAUAGAAUAUUCUGAUUCUUGAAUCCGCUGAUCAGCAAGUGUUGUAAUCCAUGUUCAUAAACCGAACCUGAUGAAUCCGAUAUCUUCUGAUCUCAUAUGUAUCGAGACUUGAAGAGAAAACAGAUAAAAAUUGCAGCUUUAGGUGGCUACGCACCAGAGAAGAAGUAGAGUUACUAGGGGACUCUCAAACCAGCAAUAUGAUUAAGUAAUCAGAUAGUUAGACCUACUCUGAUACCAUGUCACAAAACUGAUUAGAGAACCCGCAGCAAGUAGAAAGAGAGAAAGAAGGAAGAGAGAAGGAGGAGAAAGAGAACGUAAAAGAAAGAAAGAGAGGGCUGUAGUUUUUCUGUAAUCAGAAACCCUACACCCAUUGUAUUUAUAUUGAAUAUAAAUUGUAUAUAACAAUAAUAUCCUUAUGUAAGUAAAAAAGGAAAUAAAACUCUGAUAAUAAAGGAAACUCAAUUAAAGUAACUUAACAGUAUGUACUCUCUUUUUUCAGCUUAUAAAUUAUGACUGUCUUGUUUGUUUUUCUUCUUAACAAAGCAGGGUAGUAUGUAGGACUCAUCACGUUAUAAUUUACUUCAUGAUGAGUUUUUCAUAUCAAUUCCAAAGUUUAAGGCACAUAAUGAUGUUUAUUAUACUCUCUCUCUCUCUCUCUCUCUCUCUCUCUCACACACACACACACACACACACACACACACACACACACACACACACACACACACACACACACACUAUGUAUGUCUACUAAUGCGUAUAAUUAUUAGUGACUAGCUCAAGGACAGCCACGGUUGAACAUAUUAAUGUGAGAUGAAAAUGAUUUGAUUCCACCUGCUUCUCUAAUGACUAAUCAUACUAUGUAUGUCUACUAAUGCGUAUAAUUAUUAGUGACUAGCUCAAGGACAGCCACGGUUGAACAUAUUAAUGUGAGAUGAAAAUGAUUUGAUUCCACCUGCUUCUCUAAUGACUAAUCAUACUCGUAACAGUUUUCAUGUAAUCGGAAUCUUCCCUUUAUUGUAGGUAUGGCUAUAUAACAUAGGCUUUGGUAGUUAUCAGGUUGAGAAAGUUUGUGAUACCUCAGGAGAAGAUGCAUCAUGCAGCAAGUGAUGAGCUAGUUUCAGUCGAAGCUACUUGUUCAAACAAUUAUUUUGUGGAUUUAUCAUGCAAAAUGCAAUAAGCCGUGAUGGACCAGCUUGUCCUAGAGAAUGUCCUUUGUUACUAGGAAUAUUUGUGGACAACUGAUCAGGGUAUUUUCCUGCAGAUUGGUAACCGGUAACAGCAUUGUGGACCAUUUAGUCUCUCUAUAGUGUGCAAUUAAUGGCUAAAACAUGAGAAUCAUGCAAAAUCGUCACGGACACUAUUGACGAAAUGUGGAGGCGAAGAUGUCAAAGGAAAUCUUAUGCUUUCCAGGAAUCCUUUUGUUUCUGCAUUGAGGCCGCAUUCAGACUCUGAUGCCAAGAGGAAAUUCAGUUGAAAUGCUCCUGGGUCAGUACCUGGAUUCUCAAAGAUCAUCAGGGACCUUUGUGAUGAAGUUUGGUCACAAAAUGCAUUCCAUCGAUCUGUUGUCCAUAUCCAUCACAAGAUACAGAGGAGCUCUACUCUAAUUUACUCUGAAUGUAAAUAGCACAAAGUUGAAGGUAUCAUCCUUGUAAAUACAACUCCAUGGUUUCAAUUGAAUAAAUAUGUUCGCAAGUUUGCCUGUCAAUCUGUUAUUGGGCUUGGGGCUUUGUUACCUGACUUGAUGUGUGGAUGCUGAGCUGAGCUACAUUCAUAGUUGAAUGACGCAGCUAUUUUCCCUUGGUUUAAUGUGUUGAAGAAAUCCUUGAAACUGUAAACAGAAAAGACAAUCGCCAGAGAUGACCAAAAGCUAGUUUGCUAGACAUGGUUAUACUGUUUCGAUAGGAUAUUGCAGCGUAAUUUCACUGUGACAAAGUCAACGAUGCCUGGUGUACACCGUCCAUUCGUUUCCAAUGUACAGCCAAACAGCAGUGUGGUUUUGUGCUCUUCAGUAUCUAAUGCAUAAUGUAAGGUUCAUCAGUGAUUUCGUGGAUGAUUCCGACAAUUUGUUUUCAAUAAUCUAACCGCAGCGAUUGAGAGUCCACUGGGGAAGAAUGGACACAAAACAUCAGAUCCCUAUCCGAAAUUAGGACGGGCACAUGCCCACAUUGUCAGGCAUAUCGGAGAUAAAGAUGUCCACUGUUAAUGAUUGUUCAAAUAAGUUUUAGCACUAGGCUCCAAACUCAUCAUAGAGUACAAUUUAGGAAAAAAAAAGAAUGGCUCCUCAUAUCUAAGCACGAAAAUUGGUUCUUUAUGUGCUGCGACGCUCUCAAAAUUUUCUCUGUCAAGGACUUGCGGACAUCGUGAGACCAUUAGUCUAUAGGAAUUUCAAGCUCAGAAUAAAAUACUGAUACACUGCUAUACAUUUGAUAUGUCAAAACAAAAAAUAAAGCGCCAAUAUUGUGGUCAUUAUUUCAAGUUUAGCUCAACCGCAUUUGAACAAGUAUAUUUGUUCUAAGUCCUUUAAAAUCUAACUCUGCGACUCUAUCAUUAUGAUUUGACAUGUGAUUCAAGGUCCUCUUGUUUUCAACUUCUACUUCUGAUGAGUGUAAAACCACAAGGCGAUAGCAACAAGGGGAGUGAUAUGUAGGAACAACGAUCAUCUCUCCAACCCCAAUGCGCACAUAAAAAAUCCCAUAAAUCACAUCCAGUAGCUCCAACCCUUGAGUCUGUUCUCUGUUUGACAAUUUUUGGUGUCAAGAACCGAACUACAUCACUGUAAUUUUACGUAACUAAGGUAUAAAAGCUGCUUAAGAUUAGUUAUGGGAUUCUCGCGAUGCUGCUUCUUCGAUUCAGUUGCUCUUUGCUACUUCUCCGGUUGCUAAAUGAGCCACAAUUUCCUGCAAAGAAACAUAGUUCCAUUAACUUUGUUAAGAGUUAACCAUCUCAAUCAGAAAACCAGCUCAAAAAGUCCGUCUGAGAUGUUUGUACCUCUUGGUCUCAACGUCAAUGUUUAAUGCGUAGUAAAUGUAUCAAAAUCAAUGGAAAAGAAUGGGUUGUGUAGAUUAGCGUGAAUAUAAUCCACGUCAAGACAUAUGUCUGCGAACCUGUACAUGUGAUCUUAUGAUCCCGAAUACAUGUAUCUAUUAUUCUAACUCAGCAGUUAAAUUCUCGGAAGAGUCAUUCAAGUACAUCAUCAGGAGCAGAGUCAUUUUCCUUCUUCCCCAAUUCCUCUUCCUUUUCCAGUCCAGUUGGAUUCUUCUCUUCCACCACCACUUUAUCUUACUCGCCCUCCUUCACACGUUCAUGCCGAGGCAAGUUGUACUCGGAGGAGAGGCCCUCAGACACGAUCCCUUCCGGCACUUCCUCGUCUCUUCUGGGAGAGAAGUAAUGAUCCGGCGAGUCGUGGGAUGUGAACCUCCCUGGCUCUGCCUCUUCCUCUUCUACUAGCGGUUCUGUCUCCGGCUCUAGCUCCUGCUCCAGCUCAAUCUCCUUUUCUUCCUCUACACGCUUCUCUUCCUCUCUGUCUUCAUCCUCGGCCUUUGUUUCUUCUUCUUCUUCGUUCUCUUCUUCUUGUUCAGACUCGGGAUGUUCAGUUAUGUCCUUAACAUCAGCCGCAUUUUCUGUAUCCUGGCUCACCGCAUUAUUGAUUUCUUGUUGCACGAGUAAUGCCGCACCUCUCCCAAUUGCUUCCAUCUAAAUAACGUUCUGUUCCACUUGUUUGUUCUUCUCGGGAUUGGCGCUCGAAACUCCUACUUUUGACUCCCCGCAACCCAUUGUCAUAAAAAGGAACGUCAAUCGAGAGGAAUUUGAUUGGGGUAUUGAUUCUCUCUGCCUUUGUGCAUCAGAUUGAAAUGAAGUUUCGGCUUUUGUCUUCUUUGCCCGUUGCAGUUUUGAUUUGCUGAAGCGGGUUGUAUCCGUGGUUGACAAAACGACAGAUCGUUUCUUGUUAUCGGUGGGGUUUUCCUUUCUUUGUCUUUUUUUUUUUUUUCAACCCAACCUUAGUUCAAUGAAAAACAUACUUUACAAUUAACAUAUGAUGCAUCCAAGCAAAAUUCAAUAUUGAAAAGACCGAAUUAUUCCCACUCAAAAACUUGUUUAAAUCUCUUGCUCCAUGUUUGAGUGAUUUAAUUUUCAGUUGGUUUUAAGUGCUUUUGAUAGGUAAGAAUUUAGGAUUUGUGAAUUGACAUUUUUCGAGAGAUAAUGACAUUCUUUUAUAAAAAGAAACACAAGGCUAAUAGAUGUAAAAAUGUAGAAAAUGAUAUAUAUAUAUAUAUUUAUAUUUUUUAACAUCAAUCGGCCUCAUGAACCAAAAUUCAUAUGGUCGUCAAACAUGGAAUUGCUUACACUUAAUCACGUUGAAAAUUGAACUUAGCCAAUUUUUCAAAUUCACAUAUAAAUUAUUUUCUGAACCACUAAAUCAAAAUAGACAAAGAGUAAAUAUGUUAGAAAGUGAAAUAUCAUAAAAAGAUGAAUUAUAAUAAUGUUAACAAAUUAACAAUCCAAAUAUUACUAAUUAAUCCCACAAAUGGUUUACUUCACCAAAUGGAAUUUAAAUUUCUCUCGAGUUGCCAUAAUUUAUUUUUUCCUUAGGCUAAAUAAUAAGCAUCUCCAAACAUAUAUCCUCUCUACAUAUAUUACGCCAUCUUCUUCCAUCUUGAGAGUGUCGUUUGCAAAAGUUCUUUUAAUUGUUCCACACCGUAAGUGGCCAUGGACGCCGCCACAGGAGAACAUCAAACUUCAGUAGUUAUCAGUUCGAGCUGUUUCUAGUAAUUACGCUCUUCAUAAUUUUCAAGAAAAAUAAAUCUAAUCAAACUGCAGUUCCAUGGUGUAACUCAUUUUAGGAGAUUGCAGCAAUUAAUUGUCACUGGGAGUACAUGAUUUAAUCAGAACCUAUGUCUGUAAAUCCUUACUUAGGCUAAGAAAUUGAAUUGCAUGGUUCACUUAAUCCGUGAUGAUAGAGACUAAGGGUUGACAAAAUUGUAGGUAAGAAGGCCUUGUGGGAGCAUAAUGUCUAUUGAUUGACCCCUACAAUUGGCUCUGCAAACCAUCUUUUGGUAAUGAUGAAGUGUAUCUAUAUCAGGCAAUUCUUUUUUCCAUUUGUUUUAUUUACACUAUUCUUCUGCUAACUUGGGGUAUUGCAAUGCAGCAAUAUGCUAAAGAGCACAAAGAUGCUAACCUCAUGCAGGAAGUUAUGAAGCUUUUGAAGAAGAAUAACUUGCCAUUGCAACCCACCACGGCCGAUAUUGUUUUCAGGUUCACUUCGGUGCUGUUUCUCCUGAGAAGGAUGUUAUUAUCAUGUAGUAAGCCAUUAUUGCACUUAAUUGUGUGUUAUGUACUGCAUAGUUAUCAAGCAAUUUAUCCAAUUUAUAAGUGUCAUUUAUAUACGAUUUAAUCAACUUGUUUUUAUUUUGAAUUAUUUUGUCUGCACUGCUACUCUCGAUCUAAUAGUUUGCUCAUGUUAUUUGACAUCCUUUCUUUCCAUGGAAAAAUUUUGCAGCAUUUGUGAUGAUACAGACAAUUGGGUGUUGCUCACAAAGUAUUCAAAGAGAUUUGUCAAAAUUGGAGUGAAUUUGCAUAAAGCUGCAUUUGACAUCUGGAUGGAGUUUGCUGCAAAAGUAGGUGAGAAACACUAGCUCUGUCUCCCUUCGCUGCUCUCAAGCCCUUGUCCCUCAACAAUCUUAUUUUCCAUUUCUUCCCACAAAUAGUUUUCUCAUCCACGUCCCGCCACUUACUACAAAAGAUGGGAUGUGCUAGAAUAUUUUCUUCUGUACGGUGAUUUCUUUCUCUCCUUAAACAAAAGGGUAGAAAUAAGAAAUAAAAAGAAUUUUCGCUGCGCCAUGUCUUUCAAUGUCUUUGUUUCUUUAAUUGUUCUGAGAUUAUGCUUCUUUAUCCUAUUUAGUGGUUUGACGAAAAUUACCCUUUUCAGGAGAUUUGAAUCUCUAUGGAAAACUGAGAAGUUAAGAUGUGAGUCCAUGAAGCAGCACACCCUGGGCAGUGGAUUCUCAUGUGCGAAGGUAGUUUACAAAGGCAGACUGUUGAAAUCACAAAUAUCAGACCCUGAAAGCACUAAGUCUUCUUGCAUUAGAAAAUCUGAUAAUGGGAAAAUAUUAAUAUUGCAAUACAGAUCAGUACAAAGUUCUUGGUAAACCAGGUGAGAGGUCUAUGGCCGAAAAAAGCGAGAGUUAAUGAUUGAAUAAACCAAAUUUUGGCUCACAUCCUAGGACAUGAAACACCUAUGGGCAUGAGAAUGCUUAUUGUCACAACACAAAGGAGAUAAUAACUACUUUUUCGGUAUUUGGAAGCAUUUAUUGUGGCUUUUAGCACUCUGGUUUAAUAUUAAAAUUUAACCGACUGUCAUUUGCUUGUUUUGUGGCAAGCUAAAUGGUUUUAUAACCAAUUUUUUGUGCAGGGAUCUUUACUUGAAGGCAAACCUGAGGAGGCUGCGACAGUCAUUCAUGUCUUGAAUCAGGUCCUCCUUGCUUCUCCGAGCAUCUAUAGCUAUUAUUAAUAUGCUCAUCAUCACCAUCUGGCAUGAUUGCAAUCCUAAAUUACCUCAGCCUCUGAAUUAGUCUUCAAUUUUCCAUAUACUGUCAAGGAAUAAAGCAAUUAGUGGAAAAUAUACAGAAUUGUCCCCCAAAAUGUGCUCAGAUAAAAUUACCAUGACAUAUCCUCUCUCGAGGGGGACUGAGUGAUUUGGGUUUCAUAUUUGGUGCAUGCUAUACUAUUAAAAUAACACGGCUUAGUUCCAUGGAUCCUAAUAGAGUUCGAAAGAUCAUCUCAGACUCCUCCUGAAUUGAAUAAAGUUGGAAAUUCACCUAUGUAGGCUCUGUUUGUUCAGAUGUUGCUUCUUAGGUCUCACAAUGUGAAUGCCUUGGAUUGAUGCGAGAGUUUACCUGAUGCUAAGAGGUCCAGCAUUGUGGUUGAACUUCAAAAGCUUGUCAGUGAGUGGGUUUUCGAGGUCAUCAAAUGGAAGAAAGAAGAUGACCGCAAGGUACUUCCUUUGACUAAAUAUCCAUCACUUUGGGUAGAAGUAGAAACGUUGCUUGUUUGCAGUUAUAUAUUGCUCUGGUAAUGUUUUCUCAAUCGUUCCCUUUGCUGGAUGUAUAUAUGCUGCAUUGAACUAUCUCAAAAUUUUUAAAACCUCUCAUUCUUUUCGCUCAUGUAGGCAUUGGCUGCUUCUUUCAAAUCCAAUAUCCCGGCCAUGGUUAGUUUCCCUAUCAAACACGGGCUUGGAGGUGAAAGUGAAUAUGGAACAACUAACCACCAAAGGCGCCCUUUGUUAAAGUAUGACAGAAUUGGAGAUUAAAUGCACUAGCUGCAGAUCUGUCUCCUAUGUGGACCGCUAAGGUUGCCAUUUUAAUUUAAACCGAUUCCGCUGAGAAGCAAGACAAGCGUGGUACUCACGUCUCGAGCAACAAGCAUCUGAAGUUCUCUUGUGAAGGUCCCUGAACCAUGAAAAGAUCUGCUCCUUCUUGAUUUGAAUGUUGUCACUUCUGUACUCUGGAAUAAUGAUUCUUUUCUUUCCCCAAAAAAUCUGAGUGUAUUAGAUACGAUAGGUGCAUCGUCAGCAAUUGAAUUCUGAGAACAACCUCGGAUGACUAGUUUUUGCAGAGAGGAUUCUUUUGGCUCACGCAUUUUAGAUUGGACCAAAUGGGCAGUUAAGAGAGACAAUUGAUAAGGUGGUCCUUUCAAUUUCAAUCUGAUUUGGCAGCCUAUUUUGUUAUAUUUCUGACACAAUUUCGCUGUCCAAAAUUAAGAGUGAAUUUAAUGCCGACUCAUUUGAUGUUGGCAUACAGCGACCGCCAUGGCUUCCUGAUUUAAUCGGAUCGAACCGUCCAAUCGUGGUGCCAAAGUGCAUAACAUAAAUUACAUCCCCUUUUACGUCAUGAAAGAAAACGAAAACCUGAAUUACCAGAAAUGGCUUCGGUACCCACAUGCGUGGGUGGGUGGGUGGGUGGGUGCGUGCAUUUUGUGCAUUUUGUGCAUUUAAGGCGUAAAAGAGGCGACAAAUGCAAUCCUCUAGAAUGAAAACAUGCGCAAAUUUUAACAAUGAAUUGACAUAAUUGUAAUAGAUAUGAGACUUUUUUGGUAAUAUAGGACCAAAUUUGAAUUCAUACAAUAAGCUUACGACUGAAUUUGCGAUUCUCCUAGCUCAACACCUUAAGCAGUAAUUAAGCUCUUCAUAUGUUCACCUGCCAUAACCUAAAAAAAGUCAAGCAUGAUCAUGGUGAAAGAAAAGGUCCAAAGAAUCCUUCCCUUGGAAGCAAACAAUCGAAUCAUUCUUGUUGCCUAAAAGAAUCGAGCAUGAGCUUUGUUUACCCAACUCAACUGCAUAGACACGGAGAAGAGGCUUCAGAUAUAAGAACUUAACAGGGUACAUCACAAGAGCAGGAUCUGAUGAAAUGUAACAUCGUACAUUUUCUUUGAAGAUAUGGAAAUGAAUAUUCAAAGCCCAAGAUUAAUCCUGGGAAAAAUGGAAAAGUAUGGAACAACAAACUUUGAUUUGCAUCACAUGAAGCAAAGAACCACGUGAUAAGUGAAUUCAAGCAUCCUGUGGAAUUCUAUUGACACUGGCAGCUUCUACUGAUUCCUGUUCUGCCACAACUAUAGUCCUGGAAGGCCGCUUGUUAGGAGUCAUUUGGAGGCAUUGUAAAGCAAGCUGUGCUAUUUGGAAUGCAGAAUCUGUAUAUGUAAGGUAUAGGGAUGGUAUAAAUUUGGUUCCCAUUUCCUGCAGGUCGCAACAUUGUGAGCGACCAGCUUCUUCUAAAAUAUCCAGUGUUUCUUUUUCAGUAAUUGGAGCAUCUGCAGAAAAUGAAAA
Molecule: long non-coding RNA, 107884 nt
Filed under: Eucalyptus grandis
Lineage: Eukaryota; Viridiplantae; Streptophyta; Magnoliopsida; Myrtales; Myrtaceae
Description: long non-coding RNA (EGRA_LNC005143)
Source: RNAcentral